UAGAUUUAACUGUGCAGAAAAGAUUUUUCUACACUACGAUCCCUAUAUGAUGACAGAAGGGGUUUGAAUAUGUGAAGGUUGUUAAUUUUUAUUGUGACUUGCUUCUUUGGCAAGCAAUGAAGAGAUGCUAUAAGCUCUCAUGGUUUGUUAUAUGGCAAAGAGAAUCCUUUAUGAGUAGCAAGUCCCCAAGCUUGCUAACAGCUAUGAGAAAUGAAUAUGUGACUCUUUCGCUUGAGUUAUUGUGUGGCUCUUUGGGGUGGGGAUUUGCUGAAAAAAAUUGAAUGGACUCAGUUCCCAUUGGUGGAGCUCUUUCUCCUUGUUGACACGUCAGCAUUAGAGGAAUGGCAUGGUGAAGUUGAUAUUAACUGUAUAGGCAUCAGUUUCGGCAACUUGAACCUCACCUAUUGCAAGGCAUUUCUGUUUCAGUUGGCUACAUGAAGCUCCUGUCUUUGAGUAUCUCUGACAAUUGUGUUGAUGGAAUCAUUGUGGCUGAUGGGGUUUCUAUAGUCUAAGUGCCGAAAGAUCUCUUUAAGCUUUCAGUUUAGUUAUAUGCCCCUUGAAUUGUAGCAUUGAAUGUGGGCCGGUCUUGUAAAAACCUCUUCAAUUGGAUUGUCGUGGCUGCUUUCAGUUUACAGGAUGUACUUCUGUGUCUUUUGCUGAUUUUCGAUGGAAAAUUAUAGCAACUUAAAAAGCCAGUACCGAUAAGUAUUAGCAAUCCUGGACCGUAUGUUUUAUGCAGACCUUAAACUCACUUUCAUAUGCUGAGUACUGAGCGGUUGAUUUCGUUAAGUAGGGCAUGCCAAAAUCAUAUCAAUUGGAAAUUCUUUCAUGGUUGAACUUUCUUUCUUUGCCUAGAUAUUGUCAUAAUAUUUCUCUCCUCAUUUUGUAUUCUCAUAAUUUCUCCUAUCUGGGAAGGAAUGGGAGAAGGAUCUACUAAUGGCAGUGGCAAUCGCAAUGCAUACUUGCAGCUUUCAGCAAUAGUUUUUGCUGCGUUCUCCCUCGGUUCCUGUAUCGUCUUUCUAAAGCUUUUCUUUCUUGGUGGGUGCCGAUAGUUUAAUCUGAUUACAUUUGUUGUUUUUUGCUGAUUUGGCUCGCGUUUCGUCUUCAAUAAAAGUUGGGUGGUUGAGCUCUGGUGUGUGAUCUGAUUUACAGAUUCUGAUUAUGCUUCUGGAUCGGUCCUUGAAUCCUGAUUUGUUGAACCAACACUAGCAGGUGAAGUUCAUAUAAUGUCCGUCUAGUGUUUAAUGAUCCAAAGCUGUUCGAUCUAAUCUGAUUAGAUGAACAGGAUGGAGAUCGCGGCAGGAAGCCAAGCAAUCAGCAGGAUGAGGGACUUGGAAUCGUUGCCGCAGAUGGCCAGGUACAUCUGGUUCAUGACUCGCCGCGCCCCUCAGGGAAGUUCUUGACGCAGGUGACGAGGGUGCCGGUGCUGGCGAAGUUCCAGGAGUUGGCGCCGACGCAGAUGUAGAGGCACGUUUGCCAGACGGCAGGGUGGGGGAUCUUGCCGGGGACGGCGAGCCAGAUGAGGAAGUAGCCGGCAAAGUUCACGGCGGAGCCAGUGAGGAGGACGAACCGGGUUGGGGUGACCUUGGCGAUGAGGCCGGAGAGGACGCCGACCUUGGCGCCGAGGUCCUUGAAGAAGCCGGGGAGGUUAAGGCCCUGAGGCUAGUCUGGUCGUAGCCGAGGGUGGACUCGAUCUGCUUGGAGUUGAUGCCAAAGAGGUGGCACCGGCGCUGGCGCCGAACAUGACGAGGAAGGAGGCGAGCACCGUGAACCACUGCCCGCGGAGCAGGGGACCGUGGACCGGAGCGCCUCGGAGCCGGCUGGUCCCGGCGGGUCGGCUGUUGGUGCAGAGUUGGUUUCAAAGUGAAGUGAGAGAGAGUGUUACGAAAUUAUUUGGAAAUGCUGAGUUUGCUUUGCUCCCAAUAUAAAAUGGAUGCGAUGUUUGAUCGAAAGCUCUUAGAUCUGAUCUGAUUACCCGAAAAUGGUCCAGAUGUCAGCCCGAGGUAGUUUAUGGACAUAUAUUUUAUCGGUCGGAUUCUAUAUAAAUAUUUCGAUUUAUAGGUUUUUCACAUUUUUUAUUUUAUUAUUUUUAAUUGUUUAAUUGACUUUUUUUUAAUUUAAUUUAAAUUUUUAUCCAAUUAGCAUAGAGCUUAAAAUGCGUAGGUUUUUCUAGAAUAUUAAUAGGUUUUAAUAAUAUGAAUCGGGUUAAAAAUGAGUUAUUAAAUUUACAUUACAUGAAUAUGAAUCAAUAUGGAUCAGAUUAUUUUCGACUUAAUUCAAAUCUGAUCCAACCCAUUCAUUUGAUGAAUCUAGUAUUUGAAAACAUACUUCCAUUUUCUUCUAUUCAAAUUUGUGUCACCCUCUAAAAAUUACUUCAUCAUGUUGAGAUUGAUAUGAUUCAACGAUAUAUAAAUCAAUUUAAUGAAAAUUCGAAACCAUCAACAGUUGAAGUGACAUUACAUUUAAUGACGUAAAAUAUCAAAGACAAAUUAAAUAACCAAAGAUAAAAUUUGGCCAAAAGCUCAUUGAUCAAAUGGUAUAGCCAAAAAUUCAGUGGGACGCUGCUUCAACGACGACGAGAUGUGAGCCUCCAAGUGACGGUCCUUUCAUUGCUGCUUCUCGCUCGACAACAGCACCGUCUUCCAGUUUGCCGUCCACCUGUUGCCGCCAUCCGCUGCACCUCCAACACCGCCCACCCAACAGCAACGGUGCUAGCCACGCGUCGGUCCCGACGGCCACCUUCUAUUAACAGCCUCCGCGAAUUUUCUUUUCCUAGAGGUUUCCAUCGCGGGUGACCAUCCAGUGACGCCUAGCACAUCUCCUGCACUUGUCAGGACAAAAAGAAAGGGAUGAUCUUGAACAGAGCGGAAGAAAAGUCAAGCGGUGGUCAAAGUGGAGAAAAUGAAAAAACUGGAACGGAGAAGAUUUAUUCCAUCAUCCCCCACUUUCCAGAAUAUACGAUACAGAUAGAAUAAAAAGAAAAGGGGAAAUUUUGGAAAUUCGCUCCUCAUGUUUUCCCAAGAGUCACCACUGAGCCAAGCCGAGCCGCGCCGGGUGACGAAUCACACGCCAAACCACCACCGGCCAUCCUCUGCCGUCAAGCACCACCGCGAGUAGCCUUGCCGCGAGCCUCACCCUCGAGCCGCCUUUGAAUGAGUCUGAGUUUGGAUUGCUCCCUUCAAAUUACGUAAUGAUCUAAUUUGAUUGGAGUAUUUUAUUACAAAUUUCGGAUUAAUUUCGUUAUCUAAUCGUGAUAUUCGAGAAUUUAGGCAUUAUUCAAUAGGAUUUAAUUGACAAAAAUUAAAUAUAAUCAUUAAUUUGAGCAGUGAAAUGACGGAUGAUUUUUAUUUUUUUAAUUUUAUCGCCAAGCUGGUAAGUGCUUUAUAAGACGCGUGAUGAUGAAUUAUUUUUUCAGAUAUCAUAAUCUUUUAUUUGAAUUUUGAUGGAUCUUAGGCUAUGUUUGAAAUUGUAAUUAGAUAGCCAACUUUAAUGAAUGAAAAAUAAAAGAUUGCAUGUUCGAAUAUGUGAUUCUUUUAUAUGAUAUUGCCUAAUUUAAAAAUUUUGCAUGUCAAGAUUGAUUCUAAAAAAAUAAAUUAGAACAUAUUCUAGAUAUGAAUUUUCUUUAAUAAAUAGGAUUUAUUUAGAUAAUAUCGCCUGUUUAGAAUGGUCUUCUAAGAUAGGACAACGUUAAGGUUAAAUUAUUCACUAAUCUAUAGACUAGAUAACCACUUAUUUUAGAUAAUUUAAUUAGGACAUUUAUCUACUUCAAAUUUAAAUAAAAAUACCAAAAUAUCAUAUGCAUGUCUUGUAGUUUAGGCCAUAUUGUAUAACUAUGUCAUGUGUGUCACAUAGUGUGCAUAUAAGGUUCAUUUAUACAUCUAGGCCAUGUCAUAUAGCAAAAUAAAAGAAAGCUAAAAAAUAAUUGCUUGCUGUGGUAUUUAAUUUCCUGCAAUUUGUUUAUUUAUUGAGUGUUAUCUUUAAUGUUUGUGCACCCACAUUAAUAUUAGAUUAAAAUCGAUUCAAACUAUCUAAAGUAAUUUAAUUCCAAAUAUUUUAAUUGGAGCAAUUUAAUUAUAAACUNNNNNNNNNNNNNNNNNNNNNNNNNNNNNNNNNNNNNNNNNNNNNNNNNNNNNNNNNNNNNNNNNNNNNNNNNNNNNNNNNNNNNNNNNNNNNNNNNNNNUAAUUGACGUGAACACCGAUCAUCUUACGUAAUACAAUUGACACUGACAUAAAUAUUUUUAAUAAUAUUUGAUAUUUUAAUAAUAAAACUUUCUAAUUUAGUACUAAUUGAGUCAAUUCGACUAAUUUUGAUCAGAAAUAAUUGACGUUCACAUGAUCGGGCUGACAUGUAUAUUUUUAAUAAUUUUUUGAUAAUUUUUUUGAAUUUUUUCUUUUAUUUUGGUGUAUUUUCUUUUUUGUCGUUUUUAUUUUUAUUUUUUAUUUUUUGAAGACAUCCUCUGGUUUCCCUAUAAUUCUGCUGCUCCAGCAGAUAGGGAGGAUGGCGCAGGUUUCUUCGCCACCGAGUCCUUCUUCUCCGUCUUCUUUUUUCUUGACCUUCUCUCCUGCAAGACCGUUUCGGACCAACGAAUUCUAACAAAAUCCACAGGACUGCUGUAAAACUAACGAUUGAUGGAAGCGGACCCAUAAGCAUUUUGGAGUUCUGACCUUCUGAUUCUUCAUCGGAAGAGCAAUUAGGGUCCGGCUCUGCUCCAGUCCUCUUCCUUGCCAAUCGUCGACGUAGCCUAGGAGGCCGUCGUCAUCAUCGACGAUGAAGCCCCGGACUUCUUCGUGAGAUGCUUGGCCACGAGCUCGUCGUACUCGUCCUCUUCGACCACGUUGUGGAUCGGAUCCUCGAUCUUGAUCUGCACGGCGGACUCGGCUCUCAGGCGGCCGCCGGCACGGAGGGCCUCGAGGCACCGCAACCCCUACAGACGCGCCGCUGAGGUGGCUCCCCAGCUCCUUCGCCGGCCGCCGAUGCUUGUUUGCUCGUAUUCCAUCUCUCUCUGUCUGUGGCCAGGGCUUUCACGGGCCACGACGAGGGCAUCGGGCGAGGGCGUUGCAGCUGUGUUAUUCAUGGAUUGAAUUUCUCUUCCUAAUCCUCAUAUAAUCACAAUGUCUUCAAUUCUCUGUGAUAGAGAAAAGCAGUACUCUAAAAUGUGUAGAUAAAAAUAGAAAGACGGGGAAAGAGAUCGAUAAAGUUGGAAGGAUUGUAUUAUGGACAAAUUUAGAAACCGCGAAAGAUUCUUGCAAGCGAUUAUGAGGUCACCUGCUUCUAUGUAAAUCAUUAACCUAGCUCUUUGGAAGAAUCUAAUUCUGUUUUCGGACUUGACUGGACGAAGACAAGGCGAAGCUGGCGCAGGAAACUGGUUUGCAAUUGAAGCAGAUGAAUAAUUGGUUUAUCAACUAGUGGAGAAAAAAAAAAAAAAAAAAAACUGGCAUAGCAACCCUUCAUUGUCGUCCGACUCAAAGUCCGACUCAAAGAGCAAAUGCAAAAGGUCCCUCAAAAUAGACAUUGCCUCGUUAAUGCGAAACUUCCUUGAUAUUCCAUUUCUUUGCAUGCUAAAUUUGAAGAACUUUUGCAGGUGAAAGCAGCAGCUAUUGAACCCUUGAUGUGGAUUUGAGCAAGAGCAAUGAUCAAAUUCUGACGGACAAUAUUCGGUGCUUCACUAAAAUGGGUACUUAAAGAGUUAAUACAAGGAAAAUUGGCCAGUGGCCUCAUACAAAGCUUCAUCAAAUAGGAACAUUUGGAAGAUGACUUUGGUUUUAGGCAAAAGAAAUUAUGUUAGCCAAGAGGACGCUCUUGCCUCUGACAGGAAUUUUGAUGACGGUCAAUUAACCAUAGAUGUGGCAUGAUCAUCGAGAGUGUAUUGAGCUAAGAAAUUAUACAUUUAGAACUAGAAUCAAUAUCAAAUGGUUUUAUUGUCUCUAUUGCUUACUGACAAAAAAAAAAAAAAAUUUGUCUCUAUUGCUUGUCCACUUUGCAUUUUGUAUAUACAUAGGCAUAGUUAGGUAUUGGUGUACAAUUGGUAUAAUGAUCUCUACGUGUUGACGCCUCAAAUUUUAAUUAAGUUUAUUUUAUCUUAUUAAUUAAGUUUUUAUUUUAUUUAUCUUGUCUUUUUUCGGAAUAAUAAACAAAUAAAAGUAAACAAAAAAACAAAAACAAAACAAAAGCAGAAAGAAAGCAGAAAAGCCCUCGCAUGGGCCCGUGAGGUCCAUUCCGCGUCAGCCCAGCCCAGCCGAGUCUUCUUCUUCCUCGCGCAAUUGCAGCGCACGCGCAGGGGGCGCGACGCCGGAGUGGAGGGGAGGAGCAGCAACGACGCACGUGGAGCAGGGGGCGGCUGGCGUCGGAUAAGAACGUGGGAGGGGCAGCUGGCGUCGGAUGGGACGCCCGUUCGGCCGGCGGAGGCCGCUUGGCGCACGGGGACUGGCGGUCGAAGCUCCGUCGACCGGCUGCCCCCUCACCUAUAAAUAGGCCCCCGUUUCCAUCGUCGAGGAGGCACGCCGAGAACGAUCGAAGGUUGCAAAGCUUCGAGCUUCCUGCUGAUAGACUUCAGAAGGGAGCCGAGGCCGAGCAAACCCAGAUCCGAAGGCUCGCGGCUGCAGAGGGAGCUAGAUCGAGUCGCAGCCCUUGGACACCCCACUGAGAGACUUCAGGGGAGCCGAGGGCUCGCGGCCUCAGAUCUAAGCCUCGCCGGAGGGAGAGUAGAGAGAGAGAGAUAGGCACGGAGAGAGAGAGACGCAGGAGGGGAAGGAAUUCGCGUGGGUCUNNNNNNNNNNNNNNNNNNNNNNNNNNNNNNNNNNNNNNNNNNNNNNNNNNNNNNNNNNNNNNNNNNNNNNNNNNNNNNNNNNNNNNNNNNNNNNNNNNNNUCGUCGCGCCGUCAUUGAGCAAGUAUCGCGCUGUCCCUGUCGCCGUCGCCGUCGCCAUCUCCCUCUGCAUAGUCCAGUCAUCUCCGCCUUCGCCGCCGUCUUUGCCGUCGUCGUCACCGGAGCUUCUCGGCGCCGCGAAUUCACAAACCCCAGGGUUUGCGACUUCCGGGUCGCGAAGCGGAUCCGGACCCGGAAAAUCGGGUAAGGUUCGCGGUCUGUGGGCGGCGGGAGUCGGGUCGGAUCCGGGUAGGGUUUACGGGGAGUCGGGUAGCGGAGCGGGCUGGAUCCCUCCCAAAACGACGGGCCACGACGCCGUUUCAGUAAAUAAAAAAAAAGAUGAAAAAAAUCCGAGUCGGGCCCAUGUUGCGGGCCCGUCCUCGUUCGGAUCGCUGGCCCGGGUCGGACCCAACCCGCGGAUCCGACCCGGGUCAGUUUUUAAUAUUAUUUUAAUAUAAAAUAAUAUUUUAAAUAAAUAAAUAAAUAUUUUAUUUUUCGAAAAAAAAUAUCAAAAAAUGUUUUAUUUUAAAAAAAUCGAGAAAAAUCAAAAAAUAAUUUAUUUUCCAAAAAUAUUAAAAAAUAUUUAAAAAUAUUUUAUUUUCCGAAAAAUCAAAAAAAUAAAAAAUAUUUCAUAUUUUCCAAAAAAUGCCAAAAAUCCAAAAAAAGCCAAAAAUUCAUGAGAAAGCCAAAAAGACUUGUAUUUUUCCAAAAAAAAUACCAAAAAACCCAAAAAAAUCCCUUUUGUGUCCAAAAAAUUAGAAAAUCACUAAAAAAAUGUUUUUCCUCCCAAAAAUGCAUGGAAAAUCCCUCGAACAUCUAAAAAACCUCAUGGUUUAAACAAGAUUAGUUAUCGAAAGGGCAUUAGUGAUUAACUAAUGUAAUCAAGUCCCCAGUCCUAAUUUCUCUGGUUGAGUAUUUCUUCCGAUACUUCACUUGGUUUCUAAUCAACCCAUCCCAAAUCAAUUAGUGGCGACUCCAUUUUAAAAAUUGAUUUAUAGCUUAAAAAUUUAGACUAUUAAAGUCGUGAAUUGGUGGACUUGGGAGAGUCCGGGCAUAACUAAUUUCAGCCGAGCCAUUAGCCUCCUUAGGCGCUCGUACCCGAUUGUGGAUGCCAGAAAAAAAGAGGUCGCGACACUACGUAGUUCCUCUCCGUUCUGCAUGCUGAUGACAUUUAUAGUUUUUUUGGCUCUCCAAUGUAGUGUAGAUUUAUUGUGAGAGUAACAUACAGUUUGUUGCACUGCUAGGUUACUGGGUUUGUAUUGCUACUGGGGAUAAUGACUGAUUAUGGUCAUAGACACGAUCAUUUGUUUGAAAUUCUAUGGUGCAUUACAACCUCAACGAUUGUUGCCAGUUCUUGUGAUGAUUUGGCCACUUCAUUGUCACGGCUCCAUAUUUAAUUCAUUCUACAGUGAUUGUACAUUAAGCUGGUGUAGCUAAAAAGUCCUGUCAUAUUCCUCUCCUUCUAUUUAACGAAAAACAACUUUAUUGUGACAAUUUAUGUCUGUCAUGAACUCCUACACAUUGAAUGAUCACCUCUAGUGUGGCUCAUGUCGCAUACGAAGUUUUGUUUCUUGACAAACCUAGAUCUAAAUAGGAGGAAACGAUCCUAGGGGUCAGUCUAGAUGCAACCUUAAAAGAUAACCAUUUGAGUUUGUUCUCGGUGAAUCCAAAAAAAAAAAAAAGGCUACACUUUACAAUAAUCACUAGAUAUUUCCUCAGCUUUUCUUCAAGACGACCUAUGACAGAAUCGAAAGUUUGUUUCGGCCAGCCGACUCCAAGUCAGCUGAUGUUCAUUGGCAGAACGAAUUCGAGAAAGAACAGUGCAUAAAAAAGAUGAACAUUGAAUUUUCUAAUGCAACUUGGGCUUAUAAAAACAUUAUUUCAUUUGAACCGCCCUUUUGUCCUGAUUUACCAACUAUUUAUAAUGAAUUGUUUGAUGAUUUCUCCGUUAUUGCGUGGGUCUUUUUGUAUCUUUUUGGCAUUGUACUUCACUAUUCUCGUCAUUGACUUCCUGGCACAUAUACCAUACACGCUGUUAUACAAUCCACAAAAUCAAUGGAUACCCAAAUUUAGGAUCUUCUAAGGUUUUUGCUAACCUACCCCCAAUUUUUGACCUAGAUAAUUGCAAUUCCUUCUUUUUUUUCUUUUUGCUCUUAGAUAUCGUUAAACAGCUCGGUGGUUUACACAGAGAAUUACAUUAUCCUGACCUCAUCUUGAAAUCCAACAUUUGAAACCUUGACCUCUCCUAUUAAAAAAAAGGAGAUAUGCUGGUGCAAUUCACAUAUGUUUUUCUUGAAAUUAAUGCUUCUUGUCAAGUGUAGCGAACUUAAACCCCAUGAGAUUACAAGGAUCAUAUCUAGGUUGUCUAACCACAGCUGCAGACAUAAGAACUUCAUUGUCACAUAGCUUCCCAGUGUGGCCAAUGAUUACAAGAACAACUAAAGUUUGGUGUUAACCCGUAUCGAAUCUCUACCCAAUGCCACGACUAUCCCUAACACUCCACGUUGCAGGUACGAGGGGUUUUUGAACAUGAAUGCGACUUUAGCACGAAGGCGACCCCGAGAUUUGGUGUGAAUUGACUCAACUUUCACCAGUUUGUGUGCCAAACAAGCAAUAGGUUUCGCAUUGUUCUGUCAUUUGGUUGAAGGCCAAUCUAUGUAUUUGCAGCCACACCUCCAGUUCACGAAAACAGAGGUCCUCCUGUCUCCUCUAAGCAUCCCAUCUCUGCAAGUCUAUGCAAUUUCCCAUGAUUGACCAAGGGCCAGAAGUGAGGACUCUCUGCUUGGUGCCAAUCCAUGGAACGUAAACAAAUACAUCUUCUCAUUUUAUAGUUAUCCCACCCAAGACCAGCCCAGGCUUUCCUUGAGACAUCAGUUACGCAGCUUGACUCAAGCACUUCUUCGACAAAAUCCUUCCAAUCAAAACCAUCUCAGCUUCCUCAUCAUCAACUUGCUCCAAAACGUAAUGAUGCCCCAGUAGACUGUCUGACAGUUAUGCUUGCGAUGUUAAGGGAACCCCUGCGGGCAUCCUGUAAUGAGAGAAAAGAAAUAGAUUAGCCUAGAAUCAACUAAGGAAGGUUGUCAAACAGUUGAUAGGGGCAACGUGUAGUGAUAGGAAAAGUGAAAACUAAUGUGACGAACCAAUGCCAAAGCAAAUUACUAAAAUAGAAAGCAGAUGGAAAUAAUUAAUGAUGAUAGAGAGCGAAAAUGAGGAUUAUGGAUUAUCGAGAAGAAUGGGGGGUGACGAUCAUGAAGGAACAUAGAUGAAAGAAAACAUCAUUGUGAUGUAGGGAAAGCUCUUGACAAAGAGAGAGAAGCUCUCACAAAGGGGAGAGACACAAAUCUAUGUAUAACUUCCUGAAGAGAACUCAAUGUCCCAUUCUUUUUGGAGCAUAAAUGCUGGAAAGCUAAAACAAAUCAAGAUAAGUGAAAAAUGGUUCUCAUAAUUUCCAGCUUACAGAAGCUCUGUUAGUAAAAUCUCCCGGUUUAAAUUGCACACAAUUGCAUGCAUGUACUUAUGUGCAAUCAAUCUUGAGCUUUAGGGGCCGAAAAAUCAAUCUUGACCUUCGCUCUUUUAAUGCCAAUGAUCUUCCAUUAUUUUUGCAGUGUUCUACUUCAAAGCAGGGUCGCAUGACGUCGUCAACAUGUCAAAUGGUGAUAAUAAUAACUGCCACAGUGCUUCUAUGUUCAUACACUGACUAACGGACCAGCCAACAUUUCCCUCGACAGUGCCUGCGAGUCUUACUCUGUCUACACCUUUGCUAACAGCGAUCGUUGCUCUCAAGGCCAAAAAUUAGCUGUCACUGUCAGUGAAAAUUACACUGCCCCCAACUCCAGUCUAGCUGGAUCCCUGUAGCUACCAGCCCCAACCACUGGGACCACUCCAUCUCCGCCACCACCUGGAAGUGACACUUCAUAUCUCCGUGUAACACUGCCAGUCCUGUUCAUGAGUUCAUUAUACAUGAAAUCAUUAUUUCUACUAGAUAUAGAUGGACUAUUGAUAGAUCGUGAGAUGUUGCUACUCGUCAUAAAGUGAAUAAACUUGUGAAAAUGCUUCUUCUCAUUAUUCCAGCAUGAUUCAUAUAGAUAACAUUGCUCAAACUUGUAAUAGAUCAUAGAGUUUCUUUGGAAUAAAUAUAUGGUUCCGCUCCCAUAUUCGGAUGUUUGGCUCUAUUACAAAAAUUAGAAUGUGGCAGGAGAUAAAAACUUGCAUACUGGAAAGUCAAAAUAGAGCAUCAGUAGAACAAAUCCUCAUAGGCAUAGCUAAAAAGUCCCNNNNNNNNNNNNNNNNNNNNNNNNNNNNNNNNNNNNNNNNNNNNNNNNNNNNNNNNNNNNNNNNNNNNNNNNNNNNNNNNNNNNNNNNNNNNNNNNNNNNNNNNNNNNNNNNNNNNNNNNNNNNNNNNNNNNNNNNNNNNNNNNNNNNNNNNNNNNNNNNNNNNNNNNNNNNNNNNNNNNNNNNNNNNNNNNNNNNNNNNNNNNNNNNNNNNNNNNNNNNNNNNNNNNNNNNNNNNNNNNNNNNNNNNNNNNNNNNNNNNNNNNNNNNNNNNNNNNNNUCCUUAAUAAUUGACAUGUCAAUCAUUAUAUUACUUCGAGCAAUCAUAUGAGAACAGACGAGAAAAUUACAGUUGCAAUAUCCCAGAACAAUAAAAACCCAAUUCAGGCAAUUAGGAAAAGCAAGCAAAUUGACAUCAUUCCUAAGUGUGGGAUUUCAAUCGUCCACCUUAAGAAGCUGAGAUGACUAUGGUCAAAGGGAUUUUCUGAAAGAGCUACUUGUUCUUUAAACAAAACUAACAUGUUAUAGAUGACCUGCGAGCAAGUAGAACAGCCUUCAGAUACAAAACAUAAAAGGAGAUUAUUAAUCUAAAAGUCUGGUUCCCGAUAUCACGUUGAGAUUGAGCAAUCAUGGUGGAUGCAGAUGACAAAUUAUUUUCUCUGGGGGCAAUCUUAUGAUCUAGUCCUCCAACAAGGGCUGCCAGUUACAUUCCUACCAUGGUAGAGAGAGAUUUCAUUCCAUCUAAGUAACAUGAGUCACUCCGUAAUGUAUAAAAAAUAAUCACUCACGGGUGAAUCACCAGGAUUGCCAGCUUCAUUCAUGUUUUUAUCAAGUCUAAGAUUUUGCCUUAUUAGGGGACAGGGAUUGUCUCAAAUAUCGAACUAUCACCGGAACGUGAUCUCAUGAAAACCAGACAUGACUACUGUUCUAUAGAAAAGCUCAAGACAAUUUAGAUAUUGGCUUUAGUAACUUGCAUCUCAAAAUGUCUAAAGCUUGUGGAGCUCCUAGUCUCCAAGCCCUUAGGGCUCAAUUAGUUAGUGCAACAAUUGAUGAGCAUCAUGAAAUCUCUAUACUUUAUAGGUAUCUCAAUCCUGUGAUUCCUGGGAUGUCUGAUAGCUCUCAACAAGCUGUCACUAACAAGUUCCUUAAAUCUUCAAAUUUCAACACAUCGGGGAAUUUUGCUAAAGACUUGCAUCCUUGAAUACACAAACUUUUGCAGGAUGAGAAUACCUCCAGGCUUUCGAUGUCAUGUAGUUUUUCAUAGUGGUUGAUGUUUCAACCUUUUCAAGGUUUUCACGCACGAUAGAUCUAACAAUCUUCCAAGGGAAGUGCAACCAUGAAUAUCCAAUAUUACCAAAAAAAUCCAGCCUGUCAAGGCCACGUUUCAACAUGAAACCCUCAAGAUUUUGAAGUUCAGCUCUAUUUGCAGUCUCAAUAUCAUGAAGAUCACGAUUAUUAGAAAAAUUAGAACACAGCAGGAGACAAAAACUUGCAUACUCGAAAGUCAAAAUAGAGCAUCAGCAGAACAAAUCCUCAUUGGCAUAGCAAAAAACCCCACCAUCGGAAUGACAAAUUAACAGAAGAGUAAAUCACGUGGUGACAGGAAAAACGGUGUGAAUCUUUGUAGGAUCAAACUCAACACAUAAACAGCUGAUUGAUAACUUAAAAUGACAAUUAAACUAUGAACUCACUCUUGCAACCUUGCAGCAUAUCAAAUUCACGCCUGAUGAUUAGCUUGAAAGAACCCGAUGAGUUUUGGGAAUCCAGAGUGCCACAAGUUUAGCAGCAUGACCACUCUCCUUCACCUAUGUGUUUUUGUACUUUGCCUCCAGAAGCUUCCUUAAUAAUCCACAUGUCAAUCACCAAAUUACCUUGAGCAAUCAUAUGAGAACAAACAAAAAGAAAAUUAAGUCACAAUAUUGUAGAACAAAAAAACCAAUUCAAGCAAUCAUGAAAAGCAAGCAAAUUCACGUCAUUCCUAAGUGUGGGAUUUCAGUCUCCACCUUAAGAAACUGAGAUGACUAGGUCAAAGGGAUUUUCUUAAAGAUCUGCUUGUUCUUUCAACAUUCUGUAAUUUCAACCGUAUUAAUAUCACAUAUAAGCCAGUGUGCCUGCCAUCAUAAGUAUCAACAGAAGAUAAAAGUUUAGCUCGCCAUGUAAACAAAACAAGUUAUAGAUGACCUCUGCGAUUAUAGUGGAUAAUAAAUGACCAAUUAUUUUCUCAAAAGGCACUCUUAUGAUCUAGUCCUCCAACAAGGGCUGACAGUUACAUUCCUUUCAUGAUCAAGCGAAAGAUUUCAUUCCAACUAAAAACACGAAUCACUCAGUAAUGUACAAAAAAUAAUCACUCACAGAUGAUUCACCAGGACUGCCAGCUUCAUUCAUGAUUUUGUCAUCUAAGAUUUUGCCUUAUUAGAGGACAGGGGUCAUCUCAAAUAUCAAACUAUCACUAGAAUGUGAUCUCAUGAAUACCUGACAUAACAAUUGCUCUCAUAUUCCAUAUGAGGAAAGCUCAAGACAAUUCACAUAUUGGCUUGCAUCUAAAAAUGUCUAAAGCUUCUGGAGCUCCUAGUCUCCAAGCCCUCCAGGCUCAAUUAGUUUGUCGCAGUCUCGUGCGACAAUUGACUAGCAUCAUGAAAUCUAUAUACUUUAUAGGUAUCUCAAUCCUUUGAGCCCUGAGAUGUCAGAUGGUUCCCAACAAGCUGUCACUAUCAAGUUCCUUAAAUCUUCAAAUUUCCAAGCAUCUAGGAACUCUAACAACUUGCAUCCUUGAAUACACAAACUUUUGCAGGAUGAGAAUACCUCUAGGCUUUGAAUAUCAUCUUGCUCUUCACAGUGGUUGAUGUUCAGUAUUAUCAGGGUUUUCAAGCAUGAUAUAUCCAAUAAUCUUCCAAGGGAAGUGCAACCACGAAUAUCUAAUAUUACCAAAAAAAAAAUACAGUCCGUCAAGGCCACAUUUCAACCAGACUCUUACAGUUUGCAACAUGAAAUCUCCCAAAUUCUUCAAACUAGAAGGUUAUCUUUCAAUGGACGUGCAAUUAGAGAUAUCCAAUCUUACAAAUAAUCGACCUCUCAAGGCCAUGAAUUUCAACUAGAUUCCCGCAAUCUGCAGCAUAGAAUGCUUUAGACAUUUUGAACUCGAAAGGUCUAUUUAUCUUUCAAUGGAUUGAAAUGUCUGGUCAUCUUUUAAUUGGACAUGCAUUUAAAGACAUAAAACCUUCUCAAAGAUUCUAAAUAAUCAAUCAAGGCCUCAAACUUCAGCUAGAUUCUUGCAGUUUGCAGCGUGCAAUUCGAAGUCUUUAAACUGGAGAAGUCUAGAAAUCUUUUAAAGAAGUGCACCCAGAGAGAUUCAAUCUUGCCAAUAAAUACAACCUGUAAAGACCAUGAAUUUCAACUAGAUUUCGGCAAUUUGCAGCAUGGAAUAUUUCAGUGGAUGUGCAUCCAGAGAGAGAUAGAAUGUUUCCAGAUAUUCUAAAUGGGUCAAAGCCUCAAACUUCAACUAAAUUCACACAAUUGGCAGCAUCUGAUUCUCUUCGAUUCUUUUUAAACUUGAAAAGACAAUUGAUUGAAUGGACAUGGAACCAGAGAUAUUCAAAUUUACCAGACUCUUGCGAUUGGCAACACAUGAUAGCCCCAGAUGUUUCGAACUCGAAAGGUCCUGCAAAUCUCGACUAGAUUCUCGCGACUCACAGCAAUUUGUUUCCCGUGGAAUCUUCAAAGUUGAAGGAUCCACUGACCCUUUGCCUCUGGAGAACCUGGGAACGCCUAAUCAACGUUUUGUCUUAACUAAUGCCAAAACUUCAUGCGUCUGGUAGCUGCCAGCCCCAACCACUGGGACCACUCCAUCUCCACCACCACCUGGAAGUGACGCUUCAUAUCUUUGUGUAACACUGCUAAUCCUGUUCAUGACUUCAUUACACAUGAGAUCAUUAUUUCUACUAGAUAUAGGUGGACUAUUGAUAGAUCGUGAGAUGUUGCUACUCGUCAUAAAGGGAGUAAAAUUGUGAAAAUGCUUCUUCUCAUAAUUUCAGCAUGAUUCCUAUAAAUAUAUCACAUUGCUCAAACCUGUAAUAGGUCACAAGUUUCNNNNNNNNNNNNNNNNNNNNNNNNNNNNNNNNNNNNNNNNNNNNNNNNNNNNNNNNNNNNNNNNNNNNNNNNNNNNNNNNNNNNNNNNNNNNNNNNNNNNNNNNNNNNNNNNNNNNNNNNNNNNNNNNNNNNNNNNNNNNNNNNNNNNNNNNNNNNNNNNNNNNNNNNNNNNNNNNNNNNNNNNNNNNNNNNNNNNNNNNNNNNNNNNNNNNNNNNNNNNNNNNNNNNNNNNNNNNNNNNNNNNNNNNNNNNNNNNNNNNNNNNNNNNNNNNNNNNNNNNNNNNNNNNNNNNNNNNNNNNNNNNNNNNNNNNNNNNNNNNNNNNNNNNNNNNNNNNNNNNNNNNNNNNNNNNNNNNNNNNNNNNNNNNNNNNNNNNNNNNNNNNNNNNNNNAAGCGCUACAAGUCCAGCAGCAUGACCACUCUCCUUUGCCUAUGUGUUUUCGUACUUUGCCUCCAGAAGCUUCCUUAAUAAUCGACACGUCAAUCAUUAAAUUACUUUGAGCAAUCAUAUGAGACAGACAAAGAUAAAAUUACAGUUGCAAUAUCCCAAACAAUAAAAACCCCAAUUCAAGCAAUCAGGAAAAGUAAGCAAAUUCAGCUUGUUCAAGCGUAGGUUUCUGCCCAUCAUUUUCAUCAAAACCUCCGCACGACCACCGUAAACCACCACCUCCAUUAGUCAAUACUACCUAUACACUCCGGCUUCGACCACCAACAGUCUGCCAUCACAUGCACACGGCACUGCACAUAGGCUUAUGCCACGAGGCGGACCAUGCCUCCAAAGGGAAGUUCACAUUCCAAAUGCACCGAGAGCAACUAUCGGAGAAGAAUCCCCGAUCACCAGCCAGAGCACGAAACUGGAACGGCACAGCCACUGAACUAAUUUUAAAAAUCACCGCGCCAAACACGACCCAGCGCAAAACAAAACCCGCCCCCCGCCGCCGCUCGAGAGCCGUCUCAUUACAUCCAAACCCUUCCACUAGACGGACGACGACGACAGCUACUACCCCAACAACACACGAGAGCGUACACAAGAGAGAAAGCAAAUACGAACCGAAACACUCAGUCAAAGCUAAGUGGUAGCGGCCUACCUUCAGCUAGAGUCUUUACAAGCUCGGCGCGCACGCGCGGGAGAGAGAGAGAGAGAGAGAGAGAGAGGGGGUCUCCUUCUUCGCUUGAUUUUGCAAUGGUCGGGUUCGGUCGCCGAAAUUUAUACGGCCAAGAGAGAGAGAGGGUCUCCUUCUUCGCUUGAUGUUGCGACUGCUAGAGUGCCUGGGCUCGCUGCCUCAUCAAAGAGAGGGUCUCCUUCUUCGGACUUGUCGUGAAUCAAUUCGGAUACUGGCUUCUGGAAAUCCCUCUCUUCGCUAGAUCUACAAUAAAUAUAAAGCUUCGAUAGUCGGACGGGAAGCUCUGAGAGACAUUCAAGAGGACGGAGAUCGAAAAGAGUGAGUUCUUGAAGAAGGGUUAAUUUAGAAAGAAAUGGCAACGAUGGAGUCGGGAAAUCAAUAUGUAGAGCUGUUAAGCUCAAGGGCGGUGUCGGUAUUUUUCCAAGGUUUUUGCAGCCCCUAAGGUCGAGACACUGGACAGAAGAGAGCUUCGAAAUGCUCUCCGGCAAGCCCCUAAUGCCCGAUUUGUCUAAAUAAAGCUUAUUUAGUGAAACCAGCUCGCCUAUAUCACUAGGCAGUCCUUCCAAAUUUUUGCAAUUAUUUGCAUGCAACACUUGGAGUUUUGCCAACUUUCCAAUCGAGUUAGGGAUCUCUCUCAAUGACUCGCAAUAUGAUAGGUCAAGGAGAGUUAGAGAUGCUAAAUUGCCUAUGGAGUUGGGUAUGCAAUCUAAUUUACACUCACAAGCCAAAAGAGUCUCUAGCGCCUUCAUAGAACCAAUGGAUUCUGGUAAUUCUUUAAUCCUUGUAAUAGAUAAGUCCAGCCUAGUUAAUGACUCAAAUGAACCCAUGGAUUCAGGAAGCUGAGCAAGUUUAUCAUAGCAUAGAAACUCUCUCGAUUCUUCCAUUCUCCCUACUCUUACUGGUAGCUUCUCUAGUUUAACACACUCGGAAGCGUCCAAGGAGACAAGGGUCUUAAUAUACCAUAUAGAAGGAUGAAUUUCUUCUAGACCCCAACACUGGUCAAGAUUCAAAAUCUCCAAGCUUUCGAAAGCAGACAAGUCAGGAGUUCUUCUCAAAUUUUGACAACCCGAGAGGUUAAGAACUUUUAAAUUAGUUGCCACCUGANNNNNNNNNNNNNNNNNNNNNNNNNNNNNNNNNNNNNNNNNNNNNNNNNNNNNNNNNNNNNNNNNNNNNNNNNNNNNNNNNNNNNNNNNNNNNNNNNNNNUUUUUUUAAAAGAAUCUUUAAAAUUCUAAAAAAUACCAUACUCACUACUCUUCAUAGUGUCUUAUUAUUUUAAUGUUUUUUUCAACAGUGCCAGGGUACAGACCAUAUGAUUUUUUAAAGCAUAUCCAUUGCAAAAAGAUGUUGGGAUGCACAAGUGCAACCCAUGUUUAUUUUCAGAUAAAAUUCAAAAAGAAAAUAUAUUCAGUUUUUAAGAGCUAUGGUGAUGCCGUUGAUUAGACUUAUGCAAAUUUUAUUAUCAAAGAGACACUCCGAUAGUAAGAAACAGGUAGUUUAAUUAUGAAAAACAAUUUCUUAAAGUGACUUCAAAAAAAAAAUUAAAGAAUGUUGUAUUCCAAAAAAAUUUAAUGCCAUCGGAAGGAUAGUUUUAUUACUCUCUUAACAUUAAUAAUUUAUAUUUGCAUUAUACAGUGACUUCCAUAAUCAACAAUUAUAAUGAAUAAAUAUUUCAUGCAACAAGUCAAAGCAAUUCAUGAAUUAUAUCCAUUACUUUAAGAUUAAAAUGAAUUCAGAAUUUUAGUAUUGAUGUACAACACAAGUCAGUAUGUGUGAGAUUUUUUCUUUUUUCUCCAUGAAAGAAGAUUAAUAUAGAGAUAUAACAAGAAUCGCUCAAAAGACAUACUUUUGCAUUGGAAAAAUUAACCCAGCCACAGAUCGUCUAGAUUAAAAUAAAUCAGAAAUGGUACAAAUAUAUAAUUAUAUUUCAAUAAAUGUUAAUUAUUAUAGUUAAUUUUUUAUUUUUUUUAGUAUUGUCUAAGGUUAAAGCAUGACAGGUUGUUGAGUUUUAUCAAUUAAAGUUAUAAGAAGCAGAAGCUUCCGAACAUUUAGGUGCCUAUAAUUCCUCUUAUAUUAUGUCGAAAAUCCUUAAUAUGAGAAAUGACAUUAAGCCUUUCUAUAAAAAUAAAAAUAAAAAUAAAAAUAAGAGAGGAGAACUUGGUGCUAUUGGACCUUUAGUAACACAUUAUUAUUCACAAAGGACAUAUCUUCUCAAAAUCUUACCUUGAGUGGGCCCCAUCCUCCCCAGUCCUCCGAAAUCACACCACCUGAUAGAUUGAGCACGACUAAUUUCUUUGGGUGAAAGUUGAUAAUUUCAAAAUCCGAGGAACAAGUCUCCCAGUGAAGCCAUCUUAAUUGAGGAAGCAAGUUUUGGAAAUCUCCAGUAAAAUUCACAUUGUCCAAUUGAAGGAACCUCAAGUCGGUGAAUUCGUUAAACUGUUCACCUCGGUAGCUUUUUUUAUCAUAGCUUUCCCAUCUAUUAUAGCAAAGACGAAGGGCCUCAAUCUUACAAGUGCCCUGCAUUAUAAAACAUUAUGGACCGUAAGUUUUAAUAGAUUAAAUGAUCUCUAUCUAUAUAGAAGAUGGACUUAUUUCAGUUUGAUAUCAUACUAUUAUGGUGUGGACUUCUUAUUUUCAACUUGGUGAAAUGACAAGUCGUCAUUGCACAUGAUUUAUCUAAUUCAUGUAAAAAUGGGAAGCUCAAGAAGGUGCUUUCGAACUUUUCAUCUUCUACUAAUGCUUUUCGCAAAUUUGCACCUUUUGAAUUACCAAAAAUUGCAUCCUUUCAAAAAUAUAAUAAAAGGCAUCUAAUUGUACAAACUACUUCAAAUAUAUCUAUCAAAAUUCAUGCCCUUUAUAUGUGAAACACCCAAUCCUAACUCGUAUCCUUUAGAUGCAAAACACAUGACUCUUAUAGUCCAAGUACAUCUAUCAAACUUGUCAUCAAAACAUGUAUCAAAAUUAGAGAAUCUGAAUUGUAGAAUCCCCCCUAUUAUUCUGGCAUGUCUUGUUUGCAAUUCUCAAUAGCAAAAUGAAAUUGAGAAUGUCACCUCAAAAGGUAUGCAUGUGUUUUAUAUUCCUUUCUUAACGUGUGUUUCUUUAAUGAGUGUUUUCAAUUAUACAUGGAAGAAAAAUAUGUUAAAUAUCAAACGUUAUAUAGAUAAUCUUUACUCCUCUUUUUAUUAGUACAUGUGUUUGAUGCAACAUUUUCAUUAUCUUGUGUAUUUUGUUACAGUGAAAUAGCAUAAAGUAAUUAGAUCUUGCUUCUAAAAAGAUCAGACAUGAAAAUUGAUUAAACUGAAUAUUUAAGGAACUUGAAUUUAGUUUGUCUUAGGUGAUGAUUUGCUAAGUGAGUACAAAUCAUGAGAGUUGUAAGACUGAUUUGUUUAGUGGUUUGAAUACUUCCUUCAAACUUUUAUUCUUUUGGAUGAGAUACCCAUUACUUAGAAAUUUAUUGUAUUUUAUCGUAUCUUCCUCAAUAACUUCAUAGAGACCCUUUUUGUCCUGUUCUAAGCAAUGUUCUAUUCAAUUCAUUACAUUUUCAUUUGUGCACAAAUAUGCUUGCUGAAAUACAGUGGUAGCACGUUUUUUUACUAAUCUCAUUACUUCAUUAUUUAGUGUUUUUUAAUAAAAGAUCUGCACAUGCUCGUUUGAUGUUUGCACAAAUCAUCCAUAUGUUCUAAUUGCAUUUAGUUGCAUACCUUUUUAACUUUCAUGUUAAUGAUAGAAACUAAUCACGAUACAAAAUUCAAAACCAUAAUUAUUUAUAUCACAAGUACUAGAAUGAGCCAUUGCUUUGACUUGACCCACUUCUUAUAGAUAUUAAGAAUAUUAAUCUCAUUAAUAAAAUUGGAUGUCACUUUUCCAAUAUUCCUUCAUGAAAUUUAUCCUACAAUAGUAACCUUCACAUUUAGAUCUAAUAAGAAAAGAAAAAUAUUCUUACUUCAGUUUUACUUUAGAGUAAUAAGAGCUAUUUCUAAUUGUGCAUCUAAUCAUAUUUGAAUGUAAGGAUGUUAUUAAUUUUUAUUAUGUGAUUAUAUGGUUCUAAAACUUAAGUAAUGAUAAUUUUUUUUUUUUUUUUGAAAAAUAUAGAGUUGCCAUUAUUUCUUAUCCUAAAUAUGAUGAUUGAAUUAAAGAAAGUACACGCUCACACACACACAUAUUAUGUUAACAUCACUACUCUGUAAGCAUGUGAAUUUGUUUUUAGUUCUAUAACUAAAUGUCGUUCAUUUAUAAAUUUCUAACAAAGUUGUAAAUGUAAGGUUAUUUUAAUGCUAAAAUGUAACCUUUAAUGAUUCUCUAUAUAAAAAGUCAUAUAUAUUGUUUUAAUAUUUAAACCUAGUUUAAUCAAAUAUAAUGUGAAAAUUGUUUAGUUUUGAUAGUUCUUCCACAUUAGAAAGUUCAUAAUUAUAUUACUGAAGAUCUAUGUUUAGUAAUAUAUGUUUUGUUGAGAAUAUAUGGUUCUCAACUUACAUUUUAAAAACUGUCAAAAACAUAUCAUUGCAAAUACAUAUUUUUAUAUGUAUAAUAUAAUGUUGUAAAUAAAUCUAUAAUUUCACCACUAAAAAAUCUUGUGACCUAGGAAUUAAUUUUCAGAUAUACUUUUAUAUACAUAGAUAUUGUAAUCACUAUUCUUCCAUAUUUUUUUUUAUUAUGAAUGGUUUUGGUUAAUAAUCAUUAUUCUUUUUAAUGUUUAUUGUUAAUGUUUUAUCUACUCCAUCAAAAUAGUACAUCUCUUUAUAAGGCUUUUAUCCAUUUUAUCAUAAAUGAACACCUCCAUUCAAAAUAAUCCAUUUAAAUAUGCAUCACUUUUUAUAUGAUACGUUAAACUCCAUUUUUUAUACAGUUCGUUUAUUAUUCUACUUAGGAUUCUCUUCUUUCUCGAAUUCAAGGUAGAAGAAUUCCAUCGAUUAGUGUCAUUUACUUACCAUUGGAUGAAAAGAUAUUUCUCUUAGAAAUAUGGCUUGAAAAUUUAGUACAUCAUUCACAUGUUAGUAAAUAGUGCAUCUCUAGGAAGUAAUAUGUCCAAACCGGAAUUUCUCUUUGCGUUUUGAGCAGUAUAGUUUCUAGAUGACUUUUUUUAUGGUACAUACCUAAUGUUUGGUCCCUUUCUUUCUUUGCUCUUAUUGAUAUUAGUUAACACCUAUUCACUACCUUUAUGUUUGCAUUAAUAAACACCUCGUUUUGAAAGCAUAAGUUCGAAUAGACAUAUUCCUUCAUAUCACACAAGUUGUUCAUGAAACAAAACCAGGUGAUAACUAUUAUGCAACUUAAACCAAUCGACAUACAUCUACUAUAGCUUUAUUACAUUAUAGCGUAAUAGCGAUUAUAUUGCAGCCUUAUCAUACAAGUUGUUAGUGUAAGUUGUUUACUACCUCUCUAAUUUCCAGAUUCAUGAAUUUGAGAAGAAUAGGGAAGAUUGAGAUCUCAAGACUAGAGUGCACAACAGAAGUUAAAAGUAUUUUGAGUGUUAGAAAAAUAAUUAAAAUAUUUUUUUCUUCUAAUGUCUCAUUUUAAUCCGUAGUCCUCAACAAAAUAGCAUAACAUACAUAUUUUGUAGCAACGGGAACAAUUUGUGGAUUUAUCUUUUAUUAUGUGCAACAAGCUCAUAUUUAUUAAAUAAAUAAUAUCAAAAGCAUACUUGUCAAAUUACAGAUCAAUAUCAUAUUGGACUCAUAUUUCACAAAUAAACAAUAUUAGAAGAUCAAUAAAAAAGAUAUCCAUCAUCACAAAAAUUUUAUAUUACUUGCUUUAGAAAUAAAUUAUAUAAUCAAAGUCUCCGUAAGAAGAGAAAAUAGUACAUGUUUAGAAGAAUUUUGUACAUGGAUGCAUAUAUUUCAACAAUAAGUAUGAUGUAAUGUAGCGAUGAAUGUUAUGAUUGAGAACAUGUAUAGAUACCCCUUGCGACUAAGAAAUACCAUCAUUACAAAAUAAUUCUUUAACAUGCUUUACAAAUAAACGAAUGUAAUAAAAUUUCCACCAUAGAAGGAAAAAGAACAUAUGUUUAGAUGGAUCUUUUACAUGAUUAAAUAUAUUUCUACAAUAAGUAUAACAAAAUGCAUAAUAAGUUAUGGUUAUGAUGAUUAAAAAGUUCUAUGGAUACUCAUUAUGAGAAUAUAUUCUCGUAUUUCAUAAGCAGAUUAUAUUAACAAUCGAUAAAAAAAUUUACGUAACAUGAUAGCUCAUUUUAACAAAUAAAUAACAUAAAGGUACUAAAUUUGUGCUAUAAAAUGCUCAUUAUGAGUUGAACGAUGAUGAAAUAUCUAUUAUAACAUGGUAGCUAAUCCUAGAGAAAUAAAAAAUCAACAAAAAAGAUAUAUAACAUGAUAGCCCAUCUAUAACAACUGAUGAUAUAAAGAUUAAAUAAAUCUUUUUUAAAUGCGAUGCUUAGUAAGAGUUGAACCGUGCGGUAAUAAUUAUUAUAAACAUGAAAGCCCAGAUUUGACAAAUAAAUGUUAUUGGGGAUUAAUAGAAAAAUAAUCCAAAGUUAUAAAAAAAUAUAAAAAAAAAAAUAUUAGCAAAUUCACAGAAGAAAAUUAUCCAGUAUUAUGAAAAGUCUAUAGAACAAAAAUAAUAUAUGUUUCCAGGGUUAUAUUACAUGGUUGCACAUAUAUCACAUACAAAUACAAAAGCAACAAUAGCAAAUUAACAGAGUUAACUAAAGGUUGACAACGAAAGAUUCGAUUGCGCCAAUUGUGAAAGGUAAAAGACCACAUUAAGGAAGAAAAAAAGAAUUAGAUAGAGGACCAAAUCGCACAAACAAUAACAUUUAAUAAAUCUGUAUUUAACCCAACUUGGAAAAAAAAGAAAAAGGAAGUGAGCUAAUCAUUGCAAAUGAAUGGAGGUCUCAUUUAUCAUAGCAAGCAACACAUAAGAAGUCAAUAUUCAGUUAAAAGAAGAAGAAGAAGAAGAAAAAUACCUCACAAGAAAUUAUAAGAAAAAUCCAAACUUAAAAAAUGUGGAAAAAGCAUGGCCCAACAACUUAUAGAUGUCAUGUUAUCUUGGAAAGUGCUCUGUUAAACACUAUGGUUUUGCAAUUUUAUUUUGCAUUGAUGUUAUAACCGGACAAGCUCUUCUGCUAAUAGCUGCCCCAAAUUUGGCACAUUAAUUUUCAUCUCAAAAAAGAAAGAGAAGAUGGACUCAACGUUCACUGACUAUAAGACAAAUAGACAAAACUCUUACCUUGUUGCUCUCAAGCGCAUGUUCAGCUUCCUCAUUACUCCAUAUCCGGCUACGUUUUUUAGGCUUCUUUUGAUUUUCUAAACGAACAAUUUCCCUUCCAAGAUCUCUCAAUUGAUCAUGCAUCUUUAGCGAGCCAUCUUUGCCAAUUUUAAUUAGGGACAUAUGCCUUAAUACUUCAAUCCCAAUCUCCGGGUAAAAAUCACAAGCACCCCACAUAUAAGUCGGAUUUUGUUUAGAUGAUCCAAUGAAAAAACAUGCAAUAUCCAAAAAAAUCUGUUUCUCUGGAUAAUCUAAUGUGUCGUAACUUAUCUUCAACCUAUCUUGCACUUUCUUAGCAGGAAUUUUCUCCAAUUUCUUUAAUGCAUCUUUCCAUGCUUCCUUUGUCUUUCCACAUAAGUAUGAGCCUAUAACUUCAAGUGCUAAAGGAAGACCCCCAGUAUUAGAUACGGCAGCAUGAGAGAUAUGCUUAUAAUCACUUGGAGGAAAAUCAUUUCGAAAUGCAUGUCUACUAAAUAAAAUCAAUGAUUGCUCCGAAGGCAACUCUUCAAGUUCAUAUGGGUGGCUAGCUCUAGCGUAGUCAAGAAUAGUCUUGUUUCUAGUUGUGAUGAUGACUAUACUUCCUGCUUUAAACCAACUACCAUCUCCGAUCAAAGCAUCCAACUGAGUAUUAUCAUCCAUAUCAUCAAGAAGAGCGAGGACUUUCUUAUUUGUAAAUUGGGAUUUGAGUACACUUAUUCCCUCAUCGACAUUAGACAACCCACGCGAUUCUCUUAAUAAAUUUGAGAUGAGCUGCUUUUGUAGGCAUUCAAUACCCUUGCGGUGAGAUUUUUCUCGAAUAUCCGCCACAAAGCUACAAUCCUCAAAAUCGUUAAAUAGCUUGUUGUAUAACACCUUUGCAAGAGUUGUCUUACCGAUGCCGCCCAUUCCAUAGAUUCCAAUGAUCCAUGUACCAUUGAAAUUAGCAUCUAUCUUGCUCAUAAUUUGCUCCACACGAUCAUCAAUUGCCACCAACUGUUCGGGAACAUUUAGGAGGAAUUUUUCUUUUAUCUCUCUCAUAACUCUUAUGACAACCGUUCUCACUAAUGCUGCUUCAUGCCUAUCAAACAAUAAUACAAAGUUUCAAUAUAUGAUAGCAAUGUUUAUAUGCUUUUUUUCAAGUAAGAUAUUUAUGAGAAACUUAACAAUGUUUUGGUGGAGAAUAACGUACCCAUCAGCUAUUUUCUCCGAUUCCCAUCCUUUUAAGGAACUGACUUCGUCGAGCGCUUCUUCCCAUUCCUUCACAACCUCUUGACCCAAAUUAUUUUUAUGUGCAUUGAUGGCUUCUCCAAAUUUCCCCUUGGGAUCUCGCACUUGUGAGGGUUUCACUUUGUAAAAUAUGGGCAACACUACUUGCCCUUUGCUUCUCCUGCACUUCAACAUCUGAGCCAGCUCUUGAAGGCACCAUUUGCUGGAAGCAUAAUCCUUAGAUAUAAUCGGGAUCGAAAUCAUAGACUGCGUGAUACUGCGGAGAAGCUCCGGACCAAUCUCGUCACCAACUCGUAGCUCAUCGUUGUCUCUAUACACGCGAAUUCCUGCAUCAACAAGGCUAGUAUAGAGAUGAUCGGUGAAGCCUUUGCGAGUGUCUUCCCCUCUAAAGCUUAAGAACACUUCGUAAUCAGUUCCCUUCAGCCUUUUGGUUCCACCAUCAUCACCUACAUGUGGAGAGGUCGACGACGAAGACGCUCUGUAUGGCAGAUCUUCUGAAUGAGGAGGCUCUUUUCUGAUCAUCUUGAGAUAGAUGGAGCGGAGCCUCAAAAGAAGAGGAGUAUGGAAUCCUAGAUCUAGGAAUUGCAGAAAUGUCUCUCAGAACUCGAUUGAGAGCUACAUUCAAACAAAAACAAAAGCUCUCAUACAAGUCAUUAAAAGAAAAUGGAAAUAAAAACAAGAAAGAGAGAAGAGGAGAAGAGCAAGUAGUCACCAAUUACCUGAGUAGUGCUUAAACAACACAAUCCACACACUGCUGCGAUCUCCACCGAUUCUCACCUUCGACGUUGGAUUACCCACACGCAACCGUCUUUUAUAUGCGUGCUUGAAUGAUGCUAAGUUCUGGCCAUCCAACGGUCCAAGACUCUUUAUGCUAAUUGAACGGCUGCGAUGCAUGCUGCAGGGAAAGGACAAUUAUUGUAGGCGUAAUUUCCGUAGCACCGCGCGGAAGGUACGUGGAAUGAGCGACGCGGAUACGCUCACACGCAAUGCUCACCAGCAAGGCGAGGCUUGACUUUGACUUGCUUUUUCUAUUAACAAUAAAAAUAUAAAAGAAAAAAAAACUGACGAGCAACAGUCACAUGCUCCCGGUGCUAAAUUAUGUGAGUCAAUGACGAAAACAUAUCAAUCCUCGGAUUAAAUCAGAUUUUUGUUGAAAAUAAAUGUCCGUGUGACGCUUUUUAUUCAAAUAGGGAAAGUUUAUUAUUUUCAAUCAGCAAUCUGCUUUUCAUUAAGGAGAUUGCUCUAAAUUAGUAAAUCACUAGAUAAAUCUCUCCCAAAAACAAUUUUGUCAAAUUAAAUUUCUCCAUACCACAUCAUAUAUCUAAAAAUUAUGUAGCCAUCACUCCUCACUCACGGCACUUUUAUCCCUCUCCUUAUAUUAAUAAUUUUUUAUGCUCUAUAUCCUUUUAGAGUCGCGUUUAGAAAUUUUUGGCCAAUGAAUUCUCCACAAUUGAAUAUUUAUUUAGUCAUCCGUUUUUACUUUCUUUUUUCAUUUUUUGCUUUUUUCGGUGGUCAAGUGGAAACAAAUGCAAUUGAUUUGUUUUAGCAAUGUCUAGAGAAAGAUAUGGUGGCAAUUUUUACUAGGAAAACAUUAAUAGGAGUAUUUUACACUCUUUUUUAUCAUCUAGUCAUUUUGAAAAUGUUAAGCUGAUUUAUCUAUUCAAUUCAAUUUCUUCACAAUCAAGUUGCAUAAUAUGUGUGUGUAUAUAGAGAAAUAUAUUUAUACAUGUAUCACAGCUUAACAAAUAUUGCACCAUUUCAAUGGUGAAAUUUUUCAAUGUCUUUCUUGGAGAGUUCCUACAACCCCUUUAUCAAAGUAAAUGCUAUGCCACUUUCAUAGGAAACUCCUAAUUUUUCAAUAUCUUUAUUUGAGAGUUCCUACAACCCCUUUAUCAAAGUAAAUGCUAUGCCACUUUCAUAAGAAACUCCAAAAUUUUCAAUGUCUUUCCUAGAGAGUUCUUACAACUCCUUUAUCAAAGUAAAUGCUAUACUACUUUCUUAGGAAACUCCUCUCAAUGUCUUUUCAAUGUCUUUCCUAGAGAGUUCCUACAACUUCUUUAUCAAAGUAAAUGCUAUACCACUUUCAUAGGAAACUCCUCAGGAAACUCCUCUCUCUCUCUCUCUCUCUCUCUCUCUCUAUGAAAAAUUGACAAGUGCCUUUUGAGUAUGCAUUUAGAAAGAUCCAAUUACGUGAAUCUCAUAAGGUUUUCACAUUUUUUAACUAUUUGUCAGUGUAAACUGUUGGAUUGACAUUGAUAAAAUUGUUGUGUUUAAAGCCACUAGAUCAUAUUGAAGUGCGAAAGAUGAGGAAAAAUUUUAUGAUAUACCUAUGGUAAUGUUACGACAUUACAACACAUAGGGUAGUUAAGUACGAAAACAUCAUAAUAGCACAUUCUAUGACAAUUGAGUGAAAAGUGAUGUGAAACAAAAGUGUGCAACUGAAGAUUUUCUAAAGAUGAAUGGAAUCAACAAUGAUGGAAGUUUCGCGGGAAAAAAGAUGAGCUGAGUAAGGCAUGGGCCCAUUGCCUUGUGACUUACUUUUUUUCACUCACCCACUUCGAUGACCAAAAAGGAGCCUGAGUCCUGCUUUUUUAUCAACAGGAGAAGAGAAACAAAAAAGUGAGAGCAUUUACACUUCUUGGACCUCCCAAUGAUUGUGAUCCUAGGUGGGUUGGAAAUUGGAAUCUAAAAGAAAAACCAAAUAUAUUUGUACAUCUCUCUAAUAAAAAAAUUAUUCUUUUUGACCCAAAUGAUCAAAUAAUAAUUGAGAGAUAUAUGAUUUGUCAAAUAAUAAUUGAGAGAUAUAUGAUUUGUCAAAUAAUACAAAUGGUGAUAGGAAAGUUAAAUGUAUUUUAGGUCUCAUACUAAUUACGUUCACAAAAAUUGUACGUUCAUUUUAGAAAUUAGAAUCAUAUGUUCAAAUAUCAUGAAAACAAGUUUGAAUUGGAGCCAUUUGCACACAUUCCAAAAGCCUAAACUUCAUCAAUUUAUUGAAUUUGCAGUGUAUUUGAUGUGCUUUCAAGUGGCGAUCCUCUACACCAAUGCAUAUGAGUUUCAAAAAGUUAUCAUAUAUUUGCUCUCGUUGCAAUUGCAUCCACUGAAACUAAAAUUGAUUUGAGAAAAUUCUUUGAAUUUUCAUCCUCACUAUCAUUUGAAUGAUUUAGAGAAUUUUCAAAAGAGAAUAUAGAAAAUCAUUUUCACUUUUUGGCUUCAAGAAUAAAAUACAUGUUUUCCCUUUUCACCAUUUUCGUUCUCGUCUAAAAAAGCGGCUCCCCACAGGAUGCUUUUCUUUAACUCCCUUCUUUUCAUAUUCAUUCACUUUGGACACAAAUUUAUCAUUUAUUGGAGCAUUUCCGUGACUUUUUUUAAAAGUUCGAGCUUUGUCCAAUGCUAAAGGGAUUAUUCUUUUCAAUCCAUUGAUCCAGGAAGUUUCAAAGAAAUUUCCUGUUCAAGAUUUUCUUCUCAUUGUUCUUUAUUCUUUUCAAUUCAUAGCUCCAAGAAGCUUCAAAGAAAUUUUCUAUUCAAAAUUUUCUUAUCAUUGUCUUUUUUUCUUUUCAAUCCAUAGCUCUAGGAGGCUUCAAAGAAAUUUCCUGUUAAAAAUUUUCUGUUCUUAUUCUUUUCAAUCCGUAGCUCCAACAAGCUUCAGAGAAAUUUCCUAUUCAGGAUUUUCUUUUCAUUGUCCUUUAUAAUGCAAGACAAUUUAGUUAAGAAAUUCUAAUGCUAUUAAAUAAUAAUGAUGGGUAUAUUAAUUCCCUUUAAUUUGCCAAGAAGACAAACAAAUUAUUAUGUGACUUCAGUAAUUUCCCACUUGCUAACAUGAUCAUCCAUAAGGAUGGUUAAAAGAUUCUUUUUGAUUAGUGAGAUAUUUUUUUUCAUUGCUCUUAUUAAUAGACACAAAUAGUAUAUGAAGAGACUAAAGUCUCACAAUAUAAAAAUCUGAUAUACUGAGAACAGGAUAUAUUAUUGAAAAUUAAACCAAACUUGUAUUGUUUAGUGCCAAUUUCUAUAGAAAAGUUUCCUACCAAUCGUGUUUUCGCAAAAACAGAUUCCAAUAAACUACUAACGGUUUUUUUUUUAACAAAACAGGCCGUAAGUGAACUUGAUUUUAUAGUUACUUCUAAUGAAAAUGUUAUUGCUUAAAAAUACUUUUCAUGAAAACUACUUUCAAAAAUAAUUAUUUGUAAAAUCAUAUCUAUUAUCUAGGGUCAUGCGAGGCUAGAACCUUUAUGUCAUGAUGGUGGGGCUCAUCUCCAUCGCGAGUACUGACUUUCAUAAAAAGAGACACGCAACCAUAGAGUUCAUGACCUCCGUUGAUUCGCUCCAACAGUCAUCUAUAGUCACAGGAAGCCACGACGUUCAUGGCCGGACGUCUUUACCUUAAUGAAAAUCAAUACACUUGAUGGAGAUGAGCCUCGCUAUCAAAAUCAUGGAGGUCGUUGCCCUCAGUGCGACCAUAGGAAAAAGGUGUGAUUUUACAAAUUAUGAUUGAUAAGAUAUCCUUGUGCUCAAAAGCCCUUUUUGCUUUUUGCCACUAAAUGGUUUCUGAAUCAAAAAUCUUUUUAAAAGUCCAUUUUCUCGUCUCAGCAGUUUGUCCUUUCCUUCUUUAUGUACUAAGAAAAAGGAACGUCAUUAUGGUGGGCAAAGUUCAUGCAAUGGAAUCUACACUGUUCAAUUGGUGCUAUCAAAUUUGCAUCACAACUCACGAACGAUAGCGAAGACCUAAGAAAUCCUUUAUCAAAUUUGCAUCACACUGUUCAAUUGGUGAUUAAAAAAAGGCAAUUUUUAAACGCAAUUCAUUGUACUUACGCGAUAAAACUUACGAAUUCAAAAUCAUGCAAAUUCAAAUGUUGCUUAGAAUAUUGUCAAUCAUAUUCGUUUGAGCAAAUGACAUUGUAAGGGGUAUCUGGUUCGAUAUGUUUAUAAUGAAAGAGCCCAUUUGUUAUUGAUAAGCCCACCUAAGAUGCCAAACCUGGCCUAAUUAAGUGAACCCAAUACAUGUUGUAGGGAUUAAAACAAGAGAUGGCAUUUUCUGACUAAGGCGUAUCAAUAAUAUUGCCUUAAAGAUAGUAAUUUAUUCAAUAGGAUUCAUGAUCCAAUCCAAUUGAAUCCAAUGGAAAUCUUAACCCCAAAUACGAUGCCUAGACUCUAAUUUUGCUCGCUUAGUCCAUGUGGCAAGCAAAGGAUGAAUACGAUUCAAGCCUUGAAGAGAUAGUCAAUAUAGAGAAAGCAUGAGAGAGACGAGGAGGAGAAGAAGGAACAUAGGAUAGAUAAAUGUUGAUGAUCUCUUUGUUCCCGUAUUUUCUAGAAGAUGCCCCUGGAUAAGUAGACAAAGGAAACGACACAUGUAAUAAUGGACGCAUCUAUUCAUUGAUAAUAUUUGAAAUCUAAGUUAGAUGAAUGUUAAGUUUCAAACAGUAAUAAUCUAACUGAUGGAUAAGAAUUAAAAGACAAGAUAACUAGCGAGCAAUUUUGGCCCUGAAGUUUUAAUUUAUUCAAUGUGGUCUUUGAAUUUUUUAUCUGUUCAAUAUAGUUCCUAAACUUUUAGUACAUAUUCAAUACAUUCUUUGAAUUGUAUAAAUAUGUUCAAUAUAGUCAUUCCAUUAAUUUAAGACAAGAGGCUACAUUGAAUAUUUUCAUAUAAUUCAUUAACUAUAUUGAACAUGUACCAAAAGUUCAGGGACCAUAUUGCACAUAGGGCUAAAGUUCAUGGGCUAUAUUAAACAUAUUAAAAGUUCAUGGAUCAAAUUGUAUAUUGGGACAAAUUUUAUGGACUGUUUGUAUCAUUUUGCCUAAAAGAAACCCAAAACAAUCUCUCACUAUUUUUCUAAGGAGGAAUUAUUACAAGGCAAACAUUGACUUCCAAUACCAUGUAUGAACCAUAAGGAUAUGUGGCAAAGCAAAAUGUAGUAGUUGAUAGGAGAAACUUUGAUCUCAGAAUUACUAAUUUCAGCUCUGUUUGUUUCGCGAAAAAUAAAUAAUUUUGAGAUUUUUUUUUCUAAAAAUAGUCACUUAUAUCGUUUACAAAAAUGAAUGAAUGAAAUUACCUUUCUUGUCAAUGAUAAUGUUUAGACAUAAAUUGUUGUCGGUAAUGAGAAUAUAUUUCAUUAACUAAUUGUUUCAAGCGAUACAAGCGAUCAUUUUUAGGAAAAUGUUGUUAAAAAAUCAUUCAUUUUUAGGGCAAUGUGUUAUAAAUCAUGCACUUACCCCAGCUUAGUGAGAGCUUUAGAGCAUAGCCGUAGCUCAUAAGAAGUAGCCCAGACUUCCACAUUAGCAAAGGUAAAUCCCAUCAAGAGCAUUCGCAACCACCAUUUUCGAUCCACUAUUUGUUAAGAUUAGUUCGAUCCUACUUAUGGCAAAUAAAACAAUGCACAUUUUAAGAUGGAAUUUUUCCUAUUAAAAAUUGUGGCCCUACUAGUUGCAAAGUAACGUGCAUUGAAAAUAUAACCUCAAUGCUAACAUUUCGAUAGAUCACAAUUGACUAAAAAAUUUUCAAACUCGUACGUAAUACAAAUGUAGAGUAGGCUACAUCCAGUGGAUCCUUAAAUAUUGGUACUAAUCACAUCUCCUUCAAAGCUCUUGAUUGCUCUACACGAGUUGAUCUCUUAGUAAGAGGAUUGAUGGAAAAAUUGUCCAAAAAGUCUUAAACUUAUUAUAUGAUGGCCAUUUCAACCUUAAACUUACAAAUAUAUAUAUGCCACACGGUUUUAACUUUGUCGUUAACACACAAUUAGAACCUAUAAUUAUGGUGUUAGGAGGAAGAUUGGCUAAUGACCAUGUACUAUCUUGCUUAAUAAAUUUUAUUUCAAUUAGGGGUGAGUGGUUCCACAAUUACUUCAGGUUUUACUUGGAACCUCCAACCUGUUGGAACUGAUUCCCCAAUUUUUAAAACCUAGAACCUACCUUACAUACCUUGGAGCCUUAAACUUGCCCUCUCACAAGUUUUAGGAUCAAUUUCACAGUCUAUCUAGGUUCUACCUGUAUUCUUAAUUAAACGACUUCAGUCAAUUAUCACAUCUAAUUACCAUUAUUUACUAUUACAAUAUAGAAAUCACAACUCAUAUCUAGAUACACGAAGAAUAUGAAAUAUUAACAACGCAAAAGUCUUACUCAUAGAUAUCAUCGGAAAUGGAAGCUUAUACUAGUGAUUUCAGAUUGCACAAUUAUCAUCAGACACAAUGGAAAGCCGUAGGAUUUUGCAAAGAACAGGAAAAACAAAAAGACUUGUUCACAUGUAGUUUCAGUAAUGAAGCGAUGUGGCUAAAAUCAUACUUAACAACUAAUGAAUAAUGUCUACUGUGUAAAGCAUGCCCCAUAUGCUUUCAAAACAAUUUAAGAUUAUAUACAAAUCUACAAGAUUUGAUUCGGACAUUUUUACCAAAUAAGAUUGAAAAAAAGAUUUUAGGCAUUUCAAACUCAAAUUCCGUCCUAAGUUCAAUCUAAACUAACAUCAGAUGUGCGAAAUCAAGAAAGCAAACUCAAAUAGAUCAUGUUUCUAUCUCCACAAAAGAUUCAUAGUCUCAAUCACUCCUAACUGGAAACUGAACCUUUUGGAACAGAAGCAUUACUUGAUUAGCAAGGCCAAAUGAAACUGUGGCAACUCGAGACUCAUAGCCCAAAAAAAAAAAAAAAACCUCAACAACAACAAGACAGAGGAAGAUAGGGUAACGUUCUAUGCUCUUGUGAAUAAGAGAUGAACAAUAACUGAUGGCAAGCGGCGUCUGACGACAAUGGAGAGACUCUCAAAGAAGUUUUUCAAAUCUCUCUCUCUCUCUCUCUCUCUCUCUCUCUCUCUCUCUCUCUCUCUCUCUCUCUCUCUCUCUCUCUCGGAGAGGAAGGGUUUCUUUUCAUUUGCUACGUCCAAGCCUCACCAUGUUUGGAUAUGCCAAUUUCUAUUUUAGGGUUUAGUAUGUUCUCGAUCUAGUUCUCUGAUUCUUAAUUCCCAAUCUAGUUUGACUCGAUUCGAUUCCUACCCAAGAAUCAAACCGCAUAAUGCAAGUUCAAAAUAAUAUGGAACUGGGAAUCGAACGGGGUCUCCCCAGAACCUAGAAUUAGUUUGGUUCCCACCGGUUCUCUGAUUCCUUAUUCUACUCUAAAAUCAUGCUCAUUUCUAAUCUCAACAUCCAUUGCCGUUGUGCAAAUAUGAGCAUCUGGUCUAGACUUAGCAUCAUUAUAACUCUUUAGAUCAUUUACCAAAUCAAUCCCAUAAAUGGUCCAAAGACUUUUAUUAUUGUUUUCAUUAUCAAAUGCUAAACAUACUUCGCCAACUAAAUUUGCUUAAUAAAUUGAUGUGGCAAAUUCCUCCUAAGUGAUUUGAUGCUUAGAGAACUUGAAUUCUAACGUUAGAAAACCGUCAAGUUUUAAAUAGCAAUAAACUCAUAGAUAAGAGCUAAAAGACAAGAUAAUUACUAAAUAAUCCGAAACUCUCGAUGACAACAAUAAUUUUUUUAAAGAAUUUAAAAUAGACAUUUCAUCUUAAUUACCAAAUAUAGAGAAAAUUACCCAAAAAAAUCCCAUACCUACCAUAUGGUGGUUAGUUUAAUUGUAAACUUUUCAAUUACAUCAGGGCUAGAACAAGGGCCAUGACCCUCAUUAGAUGUCAAUGAUGGCUUGCAAGCCUUCACUUAUUGGCCAAUGAGAAUUGUCAGGUCCUUGCUGGCCACAACACCCCCCCCCCCCAAAAGUAAAGAGAAAAAAAGAAACAAAAAAAAUAAAAAUAAAUUACAAAAAUUAUCCACAUCAACACCAGUUGUCUUAAGCCAUGUCAUAUAAGAUGGUCCACAUCACUUUAGCGAUUUUUGGCCAAAAUUGGCCAAAAUACUACAUAGGUAAAUUGUCAAAAAGUUUAAAACUAAAUCGACACAAUUAAAAAUAUAAUUGAAUUCAGAUCCAUAUAAUAGGUUUGGGAUUUUCUUAGGAAUUUUCCCCAAAUACAUAGGGAUGCAUGUGUGUUGUUUGCCAUAAAUCUAAUAAAAUUAUUUUAGUUUUGAAUUUUUUGAAGUAAUUGAUGGUAAUGUUUGUAUAUUUAAGAAAAUUUGAAGUGGUCAAUAUUAAGGUAAUAAAAAAGUACGUCAAAUAGAUGGGUCAAGUCAGAUUGAAAAUUGAUCUGACUCAAAUUGAUCUAUUUAAACUGUUUUUACCCAUUUCCAUCAAUAAAAAUAUAGGGAUAUAUACACAAUUCAACUCAUAUUCUAUUCAACUCAUAUUGCAAAAAUACUUAUAUAUUUAAUUCAAUCUAGAAAAACUCAUACUUAAAUUAAGGUGAGAGCACAAAGUGAGUGAGCGUGAGAUUGAGUGAGAAUACGAGAGUGAAGAGACAAUCAUAGAAGUGAAUUAGGUCUAAAUAAGUAAUGCACUUACCAUAUUAUUUUAGACCUUACCAUUCUAAACCGAUUUAUGACCUAUUACUAAAUAUAAGUAAUCCAUAUAACAACUCAGCAAUCAAAUAUUGGUUAAGAAAUAAGUCUAUGACCUAUUUUGACAGGUCCUGUUAACGGUAAGGAUCAUGACUAUUUAAGCGCUUACCACUGUCAAAUCAAGAUGGUGAUCACUUUAGAGAUAACCAUUUCCCCCUAUACCUUUCUAUAUUGGGUUCUUUUUCUUCCCCUUGGGUACGAGAAAUUUUAUAUGGCCCAACACCAUAACUUUUAUUUCAGUCUAUAUUCACGUUAAGUCUACAUUUAUCAUGGCCUAAUCACUAAGGACACAUUGAUUUAUAUUUUCUAAUCAAAUAAGUCUUCUUCUCCAUGUGUCUAAAUAAUCAACAAAAGUAAACUAGAAAUUUCACACCCAUCACACGUGAUGCUCGUAUUGUAAUUCCUUCCAAUCACAUGGGCCCAACCAUUGGACUCAAGCUCCAAGGCCAAACCCAAACAAAAAAUUGGUAGACGGACCUAGGUAGGCCCGUUAGGGGCCAUGGGCUUGACCAGGACUAAGAAAAAAGAAGAAGAAGAAAAAAAAGCAACAUGGCCCAUCACCUCACGGGGCCAUGCUUAGGCAUGGGCCGAACAACAACAACAAAAUUGUUGGGCCUAGAUAGGCCCAUGGGCCUGAUCGAGCCUAGGCACAAAGCAGGACAUGGCCCGCCAUCUAACGAGCCAUGCCCUGGCAUGGGCCCAAGCGUGCUUGGUCAGCACAACCCACUACCAAUCCCUAUCCACAAGAAAGGAAGUUGCAUCCACAUAAAUUCAUUCAUCCAAGACAAAUCUCACUUUGCAUUUGCAUUUCAUUGAUGCAAUACUAAUUAUAAAAAAUGCUAGAACACGGAACACUCUACACAAAAAGACGAUGAUGACAUAUCAAAGCAAAUUUUCCAUAAAUUUGAUAUCUCGAAAUUUGCAAUAUGUACAGUUAAUGUGGAUCGCUUCAACUUCAUGCUACGACUUCCCUCGGCGACUUCGCCAGCAGCGCCGAGGACUCCUCAUACGACUCCCGAUCCUAAUUGCCCUUGAAGUUGAGUGCGUACCUCCUUGAAUCAUACCCGAACUCCGACACUGCAACGCAGCCCCACCUCUGACACCUCCCAAUCCGAGCAAUGAGGCUUUGGAGCUUACGCCAGAUCUCUGGCAAUGAGAGCUCCCGAGUCAUGGAGCAGAGCCACGAGUAGGGUGACCAGGCUGUUUUGUGGCCACUGCCGUAGCCAUCACGGUCUGAGGAGGCGGCCUUGUGGCAGGCGGCAGCGUCCCGAAAGCAAUAGAAGAGGAGACGCAAGGAGGACAAUUUGAGCUUGCGAUGAACAACAUUUGAGCAUGUGUAGAGAGAGAGAGAGAGAGAGAGGAUGAGGUGGCGGCUUUUUAUAGGGUGGACACAGGAUAAGGACGUGGACAAAAUGGGGGGACAUAGUGUUUUGAGUCAAUUCCUCCUUUGAUGUUUCGUCUUACUUUCCCAUAACUUCAAUUUUUGGGUAAUUUAGUAAUUAAGUUAAAGUCAAGAGACCACGAAAUAAUUACAUGCGAUGUUCUGACUGACCAAAAAAAAAGAGGAGAAAUUCCAAAUAAAAACCCGAAGUGAAUCUAUUUUCUCAAAUAAAGACCUAAAGUAAAUUAUGUUUCAAAUAAGGACCCGAAGUGAAUUUUAUGUCAAAUAAGGACCCGAAGUGAUCAAGUUAAUUUCUAUUAAGGACCUUAGCUCGUCGGCAGACAUUUUUCGAGGAUUGAAAUAGGGGCAAUUUUGUCAGAAAUUUGUCAUUGGAAAAAAAAAAGGGAAAAUUCUAAAGUAAUUAAGUUAGGUUAUUCGUUUAGAUAUUUAUGUUUUCUUCUUUCUUCUCCCCCGCUGCUCCUCAACCAAAUUGCUGCCUGGUCAUUAUUGCGACUCGAUUCUCGUUGCUCCUUGCCUUGCUUGACCGGCAGAGAAUUUAGGUCUCCACAAACAAAGAAAGAAGCAUAUGGUUUUAUUCUUGUUUUUGAAUUCAUGCCUCAACUGGUGGAGAAUUUGGGUCCUUGACUUUGCGGAGGAUGGGUACAAGGAACGCGGAAAUCCUAGAAAACCUAGGGUUUUUUUGUUUAUGUUUUAGGAUUUGUUAAUUUUCCCUAGAUUUUUUUUUUGACAAAAUUGCCCAAACUCCGGUCAUCAUAAAUGUCACAUACUUGAUAGCCCUCGAAUAUGUGGCUGACUAGCAAGCUUAGGUCCUUAUUUGGAAUUGAUUCAACCACUUCGGAUCCUUAUUUGAGACAAUGGGUCAAUUUUAGGUUUUUAUCUAACACAAAAUUCAUUUCGGGUCCUUAUUUAGAAUUUUCCCCAAAAAAAAUGAUUAAAUCUGACCUAUUGCUAUUGAAAAGACAAAAUCACCUUUAUUCUUUUGAUUGCAAUUUAUUAGUGGUGGCCCCCAAAUUUUCCUUUCCUUUUCUUUAGCUUUGCUGCUUUUAUGUAGCAUUUUGUUACCAUAAUGACAAAGUUUCCAUAUAUAUAUCAAGGAUAUGAUUUUUUUUAAUUAUUAGUUUUUAUUUCCAUAAAAUUUAGUUUUGUCGAAAAGAGAAAUACCAAACAAAAAAAAAAAUCUAUUUCUUGGUUACAUCAUUGAUCAAAUUGAUGGAUAAUUGUUAAGUAAAAUCUAAAAAUAAAUUAAUAUGGACAAUUUUUUAGCACAAUCAUUUGUUUAUAAAUUUUCUCUCUUGAUGUGUAUAUUACCAUCAAAUCACGUCUUAUCAAUUUAUUAUUAUUAUUAUUAUGGAAUGCUCCAAAAAAAUCUUUGAUGAUUUUCCAAAAAUAAUAUCACAAUUACAUUCUCCAACGUGAAACUUGUCAGGCUAACAUAUAAUUCACAAAAUAAAUCAGACUAAAGAUACAUUUGAUAACCAUUCUAUUUUCAAGAAUAAUUUCUAUUCAUAAUUUAUUUAUUCAAUUGCUUGGACAAGUUUUUUUUUUUUUUUUAUUGCUUCGACAAGUUUCUAACUAGAAGAAAGUGUACAUUUGAUAUGACCCCAUAAAUUUCUAUUUUCAUUUUUUUAAAAUUAAUUAUACAAAUAUCAAUAAAGAGUUAACGAUUCAUGUUUGAAUAAAAAUUUGUUAAGCUUACGCUUGUCCACGAGGACCCAUGGGCCUGACCUGGCCUAGGCACAAAAUGGACAAGGCCAUCCACCUUAACAGGCCGUGCUGUGGCUUGGGCCCAAGCAUGUUGUGCUCCGCAAGCGUGUUGUGCUCGGGUCAGUACGGCGAGCUACCAAUCUCUAUCCGCAAGAAAAGAAGAUGCAUCCAUGUUAUCUGUAAAGUAAAUCCCAUUCAUCCAAAACUAAAAUUCGCUUCUUGUCGGUUUACGUUUCAAUUUUUCAAUUUUUUUUUUUUUUUUGGUUGAAGGUUCGCAUUUCGAUGAGGUAAUGCCGAUCGGCAAAAAUGGUCGACCGAGGACAACAAAUAUGUACAAGCGCUACGGAUCGCUCCAAGGACUGUUGAUAUGGCCCAACUUGUCGAUCCAAAUCAAAAACAGAUGCUUUUUUCCAGAGGAAAGGACUUCAACUACAAGCUACGACUUCACCGGCAACAACCGAUCUGGAGACAGUGGCAGCCUCGCGGAGAAGUUCCUUGCUGGGAACUCCUCGUCCAACUCCCUGCUCCGGUCAUCCUUGAAGCUGAGCGCGUAGCUCAUCGGGUCGUACCCGAACUCCGAGGAGGCCGCCGCAACCGCCGCCGCGUGCCCCGGCCUCCACCGGCACCUCCCGAUCCGAGCGAUGAGGCUGCGGCACCUGUACCGGAUCUCCGGCAACGGGAGCUCCAGGGCCGCCGAGCGGACCUUGCGGGGAUGGUCACCGUCGUCGCAGUCCGAGGAGGCGGUCUCGUGGUAGGCGGCGGCAGCGGUGGAGGCGUGGCCAUCAUGGAAGCAGGAGGCUCGGGGAGGAGGAUGAUCUGAGCUUGUGAUGGAACAACAUUUGGACGGCGAGAGCGACGGGACUCGGAAUCUUGGUCUGGUCUGGUCUGGUCCGGUCCCUGGUCUGCGCAAGAGUGUGAAGAGAGUGAAGAGAGGGAUGGCGAUGAUGAGGAAGACGAUGGAGAAGGGGAUGAGGCGGAGGGUCUAUUUAUGGGGUGGACGGAUGAGGACGGGGGCGUGUGGCGGCAAAGCAGAGUGGCAGGGUGGUGGUGAGGGCGGGAGUGAGGAUGAGGAAAACCGCGGGUGGAUCGUGGUGGGCAAGUGGGAAGCGGUUUUUUUGGCGUUAAUCCUGCGUGAGGUUUCCUUCUUACUUUUCCUGAACUUCAUUGUUGGGCAGUUUGGUAAUUCCACGGAAGUCGAGGGACCACGUAGCUGCUCCUCCUUUCUUUUAUUUUUAAUAUUUAUCUUUUGUUUUAGGAUAGUUGAAAUUUUUAACUUCUGAGAUAGUUGGAAUUUAAAUGACUCUUUUAUGGGUUUUCUUACACGACCAUAUAUAUAAUAAAUUGCGAGAGUAAAGGCCAAGAACGGAAUCACCAGUUCAAAGUCAUGACUUCUCACUUUAGAGUACAUUUAUUUUACGGAAAAAAUCCACAUUUUGAGAAUAUUUUCUUAAUUUUAACCAUUGUUAAUCGCUUACAAAAAUCAUUCAAUGAAAAGUAUUUCUAUUCUUAACAACAAUUUAUACCUAGACAUUUUUGCUGAUUAUACUAUUUUUCAUUGUCACUUUUUCUAAGUGAUGUAAAAAAUCAAAAUUAAAAAAUAUUUUUUAAAUCAUUGAUUUUUCGUGAAAUAAAUUGAGCAUUAAUCUCCUAAAGCAACUGCAAGGCAGAAAAGAUGAUUUAUAUGAAGAUGGAGAAUCCAUAAUCUUGGGAAUUUGAUGGACACAAUUAGAUCUAGAGAGAAAAUCAAUAAGAUUUGAAAUGUCGCAAACUAAACUAGUAUAACUUGGAGGCAAGACAACAUAAGAGAGGGGAUUAAUUGGGAUGUUUGAUUUUCAUGUGAUAUCGAAUCAAAUAUCCAAAGGUUCAAAUCCCUCUAUUGCCUCCCACAUUGCCAUCACUUUUCAUUUUCUUUCAAUGUCCAGCCGAAUACUAGCUUUGCUGCUCCCUGCUUGGCCCGAGGCAGCUUCACUCAUAUCUCAAGAUAAUAGAUGAGAGGCUCUAAAUAAAGCAAAUUUCAACAUUAAAAGCAAUAAAGCACAAAUUGUAACGGCGAGCGCACUCUCAUUUUACAAAAACAAACAUGCCUCGAGCAUCAAAACAGAACGAAUGGCACUCGAUAAAUAAAGUCAGUAAGAACGAAUCAUUAAUUCCCUACUUGCCCUUGCGCUGAUCUCCACUUACCUCUUCAUGUGACACUAAGCUCUUCACUUCCAAUGGUGGUUUCAUCGAUCACUAAUUAAAAACGAUUGGGGGGAGCCAUGCAUCAUGCUUGGUUUGGAUUCUUGUCAUUGACAAGCCGAGCGCCUCCCGUGACUCCUGGGCUCGUGCUAUUCUCAAAGUGCAAGUCUCGCAUAUGAGAGCGCUCCACGUCAGUGGAGAUUGGAGUGAGCAUCUGAGGGAGAAUGGGCUCAUGCACCCAGCCAUUGAGUGCCCGCCACCGGACGCUUCCUUGCUCAACAAUUUGGGAUAGAUAAUAGGGGAAACAUGGUGUUUUGUCUCUAGGGGAGUAUUCGAGUCGGAUCUGGUCGACACAAUGCCCUCGAGAGCUCGGUUUGACUUGAUUUGGAUGGUCGAUACUCAAAACUCAACUUGAGCUUGAUUGAGUAUUAAAAUUGAUGCAUGAGUUCAAUUCGACUAGAAAAAUUGAGAUAUUGGAACUCUAGUAAAUAAAUAGUAAACUUCACUUUCAUAGAUCAAAUAUAAUUAGCGAAAGAGUCUAAAUAUAAUAGCCCGAUGAUAUAAGAUGCUUUUUGUACAAAAGCACGCUUUUCAUAUGCACAAAAAAGUCAAUUUUCGGAAAAUAUUGACAAUACACAUAAUAAUUAAGAGAUCCGAAGUCAUUCCUCAUGUCAUAGGCUAUGGCCACUUCUUGCCGGUGACAAAAAACAUAAAAAUUAUAUUAGUCAUGAAUAUAAGUUAUUCAUAUAACAAUUCAGCCAAUCAUUUUAUAUAAAAAUAUGUUUAUGAAUCAUUUUGAUAUGUUUAGUACCCGGCCAUGUAUAGCCCACUGCCUAUCCCUAUCCAUAGGAAAAGGCAGUUACAUCCAUAAAGUGAAUUCAUUCAUCCAAGACAUAAUCUACUUCUUGUCGGCUCCCCUUUCAUUGACGCAAGGCUGAUCAACAAAAAUGCUCAAACACGAAACACUUUAGGCAAAAAGCGAAAGCCAAAUGGAGACGACGAUGACAAAUGGACGCAGAUUUUCCAUAAAUUUGAUAUCUCAAAAUCUACAAUAUGUAUAGUAAGAUACUGUCGACCCUGAUAGUCAAACUUGUCGAUCAAAAUCAAAAGAACUAGAGGAGAAAACUUCAACUACAUGCUACAACUCCCCCACCCACCCCGGCAACUUUGCUAACGGCAACUGAUCCGGAGACACGGCCUGGAGGCGCGAUGGAGUCGGAGUCUUAGUCUGGUCUGGUUUGUGCGAGACUGUGAAGAGAGUGAAGAGAGUGAAUGGUGGUGAGGAAGAAGAUCGAGAAGAGGCUGAGGUGGCACGUUUUAAUAGGGUGGACGGAUAAGGACGCGGCUGGGAGGCGGCGGCGAGCAGCAGAGCAGAGCAGUGGGUAGCGGUUUUUUGCGUUAAUCCUGCGUGAGGUUUCGAUCUUACCUUUCUUAACUUUAUCGUUGGGCAGUUUGGUAAUUAAGCAAAAAUAGAGGGACCGGAGAGCUGCUGCUUUUAUCUUCUUUUCGGUUUUACAAAAGUAGAAUUAGAUUAACAUUUUUAUGGGUCAUCAUAUGACAACGUAAAUAUGGAGACCACCAGAUCCGGGGGUUUUAAAGGUCAAUAUCGAUGGAUCUUAUCAACUGGGAAGCAAGGAAGGGACUAUGGCUUGUGUGUAUCGUGAUUCACAUGGACAACUUACUGGUGGCUUCUCAGAUAGCUUUGCUGCCUUCUCGGCUCUGCAAGCGGAGAUCCACGCUUGCUUGCUUGCUCUCCGUCAUUUGAUUGAUCAAGACCUCUCUCAUGCUGCGCUGACUCUUGAAUCGGAUUGCCAGACCUUCAUUGAGACACUAAAGGGUUAGCGCUCGCCGCCAUGGCAAGAACAAAGCCUCUUCUCCGAAGCUGCCUUCCUGCUUUCAUUUUUUCCCAACAUUUCCCUAGCCUUCUGUCGUCGUGAGGCGAAUGUUGCUGCUGACUGGGCUGCGAAGGCCCAUAGGGUUAAUUCCAAGCGAAGUAACUGGGUUGUUUUUCCCCCUCCCCCUCUUUUAGAUCUUAUUUACGUUGAUGUGAUAGCUGCUGCUUGUAAUUGGUUUGGUCCAUAUAUAUAAUAGGUUCUGUUUGACAAAAAAAAAAAAAUAGGGAGAGAGAAGGGAGGGAGAGUAAAGGCUAAGAACAGAGAUGUGACUUGAAAGUCGAGACUCGUGACCUUAGUCUAAGUGAAGCAGCUACAAUGGGAAAAAUAUAAUUAUAUGAAAUAUCAGAAUUGAUAAACCUUGAAAUGUGAUGGACAUGAUUAAGUUCUAGGAAGAAAAUCAAACGGGAUGUAACGAUAUUCCAUGAUCGCAUGGUGGCAUUUUAAUUUCCAGUCAUAUUUUCAUCGAUUUACACGAGAAUUUAGAUAUCAUUGGAUAUACUAAAUAAGUAUAUCUUCGAGGCAAGGCCGUAGAAGAGAGAGGAUUGGGAUGUUCAUUUUUUAUUUUUUUUUACAUGAUAUCAAAAUACAAUAGCCGAACGUUCGAAUCUCUCUAUUACCUCCCACAUUCUAAUCCACUUCUUCAUUUUAUGUCUAGUUGAUUUAAACAGUUAUGUGGAGUCUGGCCAGCUUUUAUGCAUUUCAAUCAGUCACUCCUCUAUGUCAGCAUGGUGCAUUUAUGAUUAUACUCUGUUUUCUGAACAAAACAUGAGCGCGAAAGCAUAACAAGAGGAGCAAACCACCUUACUAUUUAAGUCAACACUUAAUUGGCCUGUCAAUGCAUUUCUUAAACACAGGCAAAAGUGAUCCUAAGCUUGAGAAAGCGGGUUACAUAAAUCUGGCCAACAUAGGUAAAUAGUUCAAUUGGGGGUUCAAUCUGAGUUACUCCGAUAAUUAAAGUUAGCAAGAACGAAUCAUUUUGAUCCCUUCAUGCCACUGCACUAAUCUCCGCUUGUCUCACGCACGUGGGGACUAGCUUCUUCGCUGCUCUGUCCCGCGACGAGCUAGCUGCAUUUGCGAUGCCAUAGCUUCUGUCCCGACGUUGCUGCUCCCUCCAUGGACCGACGCAGCUUCACCGUGACGAGUAUUGGCUCUACUGAGCACCUGCACGACCACCACGAUCUGUCCUGGUGCUACCUGCCCACGCUGAUCGCCAUCAGAUCCGCCGCCUCUUCUUACCACACUGCUGACAAGCCGUGAGCCUCCAAUGACGGUCCUUGCUAUGAGCCUUCAGUGACGGACCACCACGUGAACCGUUGCGGCUUCUCGCUCAACAACGGUGUUGUCCUCCAAUUUGCCGCCCACCUGUUACCGCCAUCCGUUGCACCUCCAACGCCACCCACCCAACAGCAAUUGCCUGUCUUAUCACCUUAUGAAAGAACGAAUGCUAGGCACGCUUCAGUCCCGACGGCCACCUUCUAUUAACAGCCUCCGUGAAUUCUCUUUUCCUGCAGGUUUCCAUCGCCGGCGACCAUCCAAUGACGCCAGCAUCUCCUGCACUUGUCCUGUGUCCACCGCAGUGAGCCAGGAAAAAAAUAAGUGAUCUUGAACAGGGUGGAAGGAAAGUCAAGCGGUGGCCAAAGUGGAGAAAAAGAAAAAUUGGAACGGAGAAGAUUCGUUCCGUCAUUUGCAAACGAUAUCAAAGCCCACACUUUCCAGAAUACAGGAUCCAGAGAAGACAAAUAAAGGGGGAAAUUCUGGAAAUUCGCUCCUCGGGUAUCCGUUCUUCGCGUUUUCUCUCGAGUUACCACCGAGCAGAGCCGUGUCACUAAUUGCCCCCGAACCACCGCCGCAGCCGGCCAUCCUUUGCCUAGAAGCACCACCACCAUGAGUAGUCUUGCUGCGAGCCUCAUCCGCCAGCCACCGUUGGUCAUCUGUCGAGUCCGAAUUUGGAUUGUGCGCUUCAAAUUAGUUAAUGUUCUAAUCCGAUUUGAUUUGAAUGUUUAAUUGCAAAUUUCAGAUUGAUUUCCUUAUAUAAUUGUGAUAUUCGAGAUUUUAGGCAUUACGCCAUAAGAUUUUUAAGUUUAUUGCAAUCCUCCUGUGCGCGAGAUAAUUCUAAUCCAGAUUAGACGAUCUCUCCGAGCUCUGCUGGUACUGAACCCGGCCAGCUUCUUCAAGCUUUGAAUUUCAGCUUUAGCUUUGGAACUUCUACCACCGCUACUAUUCUGCUCCUGGAACUGUUCCAAGCUUCGCCAUCCUCUUCCUUCUGCAGAGCCAAACAUGUCGUGGAACCGUUUCAAGCUUCUUCCUGCCCGUGUCAUGGAAUCGGACUCUUCCGUGAAAGCUCCAUUCCUUUUCAGUGGAUUGGAAGCAGGCCCUCCAGAGUCCUCACUGAAAUCUUCCGGAUAAAAAAGUGACUGCCCCGGUGAAUAACAUUUCGGGUGUCCGAUGAUCAGACUCAGCAGCAGGCGAAUCAUCUGAGAGCAUCAGCGGGACCUGGUUCGGGAACGCUUCAGCAGCCAUAAUCAGCAACCAAACAAAAUAUAAGAAAGGAGAAAAAUGCAAAAUCUUAACUUGGUACCAGCCACCCGCAGCACUAUGGAAUAUAAUAUAGCAUACCAACACCAUUCCAAAGACCAAGCUCUUCCUAUGGGGUGCAUGUCAAAGUGCUAUGCCAGCAAAAGAGGACCUUUUCAAGAGGAGCAUUGUUGCUGAGCCUACCUGAGAUUUAUGCCAUUUAGAACCUGAAACUGCUGAACACGUUCUUCUCUUCUCUUCUGUCCACUGACCAAAACGGGAGUGUGGGAGGACCCGACCCUGAAAAUAAAAAAUUACAAGCGACCACAUUGUGAUAUCAGCUAAUUUAACAAGCCCGAUGAUUUUUUCGGAUAUUAUAAUCUUUUAUUUGAAUUUUGAUGGAUAUCCUAGAUGAUUUUUGCUAUGUUUGAAUUUUUUAUUAGAUCAGGUUAGGUUGAAAAAUGAUUUGACCCAAAGUGACCUAUUUAAAUUUUUUUGACUAAUUUCCAUACAUUAAAAACACUUCUAUAGUUAAUCCAAUCUAGAAAAACUCGUACUUAAACUAAGAUGAGAACAUGGAGCGAGCGAGCGCGAGAUCAAGUAAAGACAAGAAAGUGAAGAGAGAAUCAUAGAGGUGGAUUGAGUUUAAAUAGGUCGUGAACUAAUAUUACACUAUAAAUCUUAUCAUUCUAAACUCAUUCAUGAAUAUAACUAACCUAUAUUACAACUCAACCCAUCAAAUAUAGGUUAAAAAAUAGGUUUAUGAUCCAUUUUGAUAGAUCUAAUCAAGAUGGUGAUCACUUUGAAGAUAACCGUCACCCCUAUUCCUUUCUCAAUUGGAUUCUCUCUCCUACUUGGAUAUGAGAAAUUUUAUCUGACCCAACACUAUAACUUUUAUUUUAGUCUAUAUUCAUGUUAAGUCUGCAUUUAUCAUGGUGUGAUAAUUAAGGACUUGAUGCAAUCAUUUAUAUUUUCUAGUCAAAUAAAGUCUUAUUCUUUAUGUGUCCAAAUAAUCAACAAAAUCAAAAUAGAAAUUUCAUGCCCGUUGCUUUUGACUUUCACUUUGUAAUUCCUUCCAAUCACAAGGGCCCGACCAUUGGACUUGACCUCCAAGGCCAAACCCAAAAGAAAAAUUGUUGGACCUAAGUAGGCCCAUUAGGCAUGGGCUUAACCAAGCCUAAACCAAAAAUAUGCAACACAGCCUGUCAUUUCACAGGGCUAUGCUUGGGUAUGGGCUGAACAGCUAGACUUGCCCCCAAAGGCCCAAUCCCAAAAAAAAAAAAAAAAUUGUUUGACCUAGAUGGGCCCAUGAGUCUGAUCAAGCCUAGGCACAACAUGUGACACAACCCACCAUCUAAUGGGCAGUGCCCUAGCAUGGACACAGCCUAUUACCGAUCCCUAUCCAUAAGAAAAUAAGUUGGAUCCAUGUAAAUUCAUUCAUUCAUAACAAAUUUUACUUCCUAUCCCUUCGCGUUUCAUUAACACUACUAAUCAACAAAAAUGCUUGAACACGAACACUCUAGACCAAAAGACGAUGAUGACAUGUCGAAGUAGAUUUUCCAUGAAUUUGAGAUCUCGAAAUUUGUAAUAUGUAUGGACGUUGUGGAUCACUCCAAGGACUAUGAUAAUCCAAUUCGUUGAUCAAAAUCAAUAAUAUCCUUAUUGAAGAAAACUUUAGCUACACGUUACGACUUCUCUCAGCAUUUGAUAGCAACCAAUCUAGAGACACUGGCAGCAUUGCUGUGAAGUUCCUCGCUGGGGACUCCUCGUUCGCCUCCCAACCUCGAUCGCCCUCAAAGUUGAGCGCAUAGCUCAUCAUAUCAUACCCAAACUCUGAGGUCGCGAUGUGGCCUUGCUUUCGACACCUCUUGAUCCAAGUGAUGAGGCUCUAGAGCUUGUGUUGGAUCUCCGACAGUGGAAGCUCCCGGGCCAUGGAAUGGAGCCAUAAGCAAGGCGACCGGGUUGCCCCACGGUAGCUGCCAUCACUGUCACCGUCGUUGCUGUAGUCUGAGGGGGCGGCCUCAUGGUGGACAGUGGCGUCCUGAAAGCAACAGAAGAGGAGACGCGGGGAGGAUGAUUUGAGCUCGUGAUUGAACAACAUUGGGCUGUGUGGAGAGAGAGAGAGAGAGAGGGGAGAGAGAGGGAGUGGGGGGGGGGGAGGAUGAGGUGGCGGGUUUUUAUAGGGUGGACAGGAUAAAGGAGGAAGGGCAAAGUGGGAGGACAUGGAGUUUUGAGUUAAUCCCUCCCUGAUGUUUUGUCUUGUUUUUCCCUAAUUGCAUUUUUUUUUAUGUAAUUUGGUAACUAAGCAAAAGUUGAGGGAUCAUGUAGCUGCUCCUUUUUCCUUUUCUACAAGGCGUUGUUUCCUCCCCUUAAAUGUUUGAGUCUAACCAAUUGCUAUUAGAAAUACAAAAAUCGCCCCUAAUCAUUCAAUUACAUUUUAUAAGUGGUGACACCCAAAUUUUGCUUUCCUUUCCUUUUAACUUUGCUGUUUUUAUGUAGGAUUUUGUUACCAUAGAAACAAAGUUUCAAUGUAUAUUAAGGGGCACGCUUUUUUUAAUUGUUAGAUUUUAUUUCCAUAAAAAUUAGUUUUGUCGAAAAGAGAAAUCCCUAAAAAAAAUCUUUUUCUUUUCUAUGUUGUUGCUCAAAUUUAUGGAUAAAUUGUCGAGUAAAAUCUAGAAAUAAAUUAAGGGUGGCAUUAUUUUCACCCUCUAAAUGACUAAACCCACCUACACUAAAAAGAAAAAAUUGUCCUCAAUUUUACAAUUGCAGUUUUAGAUGAUAGCCCGACUCCUUCUUUUUUUUUAUUUUUUUCUUUUUCUAUCUUGGAUAGUUGCCAUAAUUAAAAAUUUCACAUGUUUUGUUUUUUAGCUUAGAAAUUUUUAUAUUGUUUUACAUGCUCCAUGUAAAAUUAUCUUGCUAAUGGUAAGGGAAAAAAAAAAGCAUUAUUUGAUAUAGUAUAAAAUUGAAAAGUCUCUUCUUCAUUAUUGAUCUUACAACAACUUAUCUAUUUUUUGUUCCUUUUAUAUCAAAAACUCACUUUCUUGAAGAGCUUUUUAUUAGUCUCAUUAGUAUAAAAAUAUAUAUCAACUCUCUUUAUUUACUAUAUCAAAGUACUUAUAUUUUUUCCUGACUAUAUUGGUGAGAUACCCUUAUAUAUAGCAUGUAAGGAGUUAGAGAUAUAUCUAAAAAAACACUAAAUACCUUAUGCACAAUGAGGCAUCUUAAUAAUUUUUCAUAAACAGUUUAUUGAUGAUAUUAAUUUUUCUCAAUCCAAAAUAAAGAAAUUUCACUGGUAUUUUCAAAAAAAAAAAAAAAUCUUACUUUAUGCAAUUAAUUUUUUUACUUAACAAUUUAUCCACAAAUUUAAUUGAAAAUUAAAAAAAAAUAGAUUUGUCGGAAAUUUCUCUUUUUGACAAAAUAAAUUUUUUAUUGAAGUAAUAUCUAACAAUAAAAGAAGACAUAGUGCCUUUAAUAUACAUGGAAAAUCUACAAUAAACAAAAUUAAACAUAUUCAAUUCUUAAUUAUGGUAGGUAGAUCCUCCAUAAGUAUAGAAAAACUUGCAAUUAAAUGAUAGAAGGUAAUUUUGUAUUUUUGGUGAAAAUUGGGUGAAUUUAAUCACACAACACACAUAUAGUGGAAUGAUCAGAUGAAGCCAUAAAAUAUAUAUAUAUAUAUAUAUAUAUAUAUAUAUAUAUAUAUAUUUGUUGAUUUUCCAAAAUAAAAUCGCAAUUACAUUCUCUAACAUAAAACAUGUCGGGCCAAUAUACAAUUCACAAAAUAAACCAGACUAGGGACAUGUUUGCUAAUCUUUCUGUUUUCAAGCGUAAUUUCAUUUCAAAAUCUAUUUCCUAUACGAGUUUCUAAGUAUGACAACGCAUUUGUUAACUACACAAUAUUUCCCUUCUCAAAAAAAAAAAAGAAUAGAAAUGCAUUUACUAUAACCCUAAAUUCUCUUCCCAUUUUUUUUUCAUUUUAUUAUAAAAAUUAUCAGUAGACACUUAAUGAUUCAUGUUUGAAUAAAUAUUUGUCGAGCCUAGGCUGGCCCAUUAGGACCCAUGGCCCUGACCUGGCCUAGGCACAAAACAGACACGGUCUGCCACCUUAACGGGCUGUGCCCUGGCUCAAGCCCAGGCAUGCCGUACCUGGGUCAGUGUGGCCCAGUACCAAUCCCUAUCCACAAGAAAAGAAGAUGCAUCCGCUUUGUCCAUAAAGUAAGUCCCAUUCAUCCAACAAUAACAAUAAAAUUUCUUCUUGUUUGUUCGUGUUUCAAUUUUUUAUUUUUAUUUUCUUAAGUCGAAAGUUCGCAUUUCGAUGACGCAUCGCCAAUCAGCAAAAUUCUCGACCGGGGAUCAACAAUCCAGACAAAAGGCGAAAGCAAAGCGGAGAAGACGAAAACAUAUCGAAGCAGAUCUUUCAUAAAAUUGAGAUCUGGAAGUUCUACAAAUAUGUACAGACACUGCGAAUUGCUCUAGAGACUGUUGAUAUAAGCCCAACUUAGUGGAUCAAAAUUCCAGAGGAAAACAACUUCAACAACAAGCUACGACUUCCCUCGGUAACCUCGACGGCAUCAACCGAUCUGGAGACACCGGCAGCCGCGCUGAGAAGUUCCUCAUUGAGAACUCCUCGUCUGACUCCCAGCUCCGAUCGUCCUCGAAGUUUAGCGCGUAGCUCAUCGGGUCAUACCCGAACUCCGAGGAGGCCGCCGCCGCCGCGUGGCCCGGCCUCCACCGGCACCUCCCGAUCCGAGCGAUGAGGCUGCGGCACCUGUACCGGAUCUCCGGCAGGAGGAGCUCCUGGGCCGUCGAGCGGACCUUGCGGGGGUGGCCGUCGUCACAGUCCGAGGAGGUGGCCUCGUGGUAGGCAGCGGCAUGGCCACCGUCGUGGAAGCAGGAGAAGAGGAGGGACGGGGAGGAUGAUCUGAGCUUGUGAUGGAAGAGCAUUUCGACGGCGAGAGCGAUGGGACUCGGAUUCUUGGUCUGGUUUGUGCAAGGCCGUGAAGAGAGCGGAGAGAGUGGAUGGAGAUGAGGAAGAAGAUGGAGAAGAGGAUAAGGUGGAGGGUUUAUUUAUAGGUCGGGCGGAUGAGGACGGAGGCGUGCGGCGGCUGAGCAGAGUGGCGGGGUGGUGGGGGCGGUGGGGGUGGGAGUGAGGAGUCAGGAUGAGGAGGAAAGCCGCGGCUGCUUCGUGGGGUGGACGUGGAAAGCGCUUUUUUUGCGUUAAUCCCGCGUAAGGUGUAGAUCUUUACUUUUUCUUUACUAUAAUUUUGGCAGUUUGGUAAUUACGUAAAAGACGAGGGACCACGUAGCUGCUGCCUUUUUUUUUUUUUUUUUUUUAAGAUCUCUCUUUUGUUUUUACGAAAGUGGAAAUUUUUUUUUUUUUUUUUUGGUCAGUCCUACUCUAUUCCUACUCUACACUCACUUGCAGACUUGUGCCCUGCCUCUUGCAGGGCGUGGGAGUCGCAACCCACUCUCAAACUUACGCGUUCCUACCCCCAUCCCCCCCUGAGAAGGUGGGGAUUUGAACCCCUCACCUCCCCCUUCCAUGUUGGAAGGGUGGCCACUGGGGCGAACCCCCAAUGGUUCGAAAGUGGAAAUUUAAAUGACUCUUUUAUGGGUUUCAUCAUACGACCAUAUAUAUAGAUUGAGAGAGUAAACUGCAAGAUCGGAAUCGGGAGUUCAAAGUCGUGAAUUCCGACCUUAGACUCUGUUUGUUUGGCUGAAAGAUUAAUAUCUUGAAAAAUAUUUUCCUAACUUUAAUUGUUGUUAAUCGGUUACAAAAAUAAUUAAUGAAAUGCAUUUUCGUUAACGACUUAUAUCUAAAUUUUUUUGUUGAUGAUGAGAAUUUUUUUAUUAUCACUUUUCCUAGUGAUUAAAAAAUUUAAAUUAGGAAAUUAUUUUUCAAAUUAUUAGUUUUUUGUGAAAAAAAAAAUGGAGCCUUAGUCUCUUGAAGUAGCUAUGGUGUGGGAAAGAUGAUUUAUAUGACGAAGGAGAAUCCAUAAGCUAUGGAGACAAUUAAAUCGAGAAAGAAAAUCAACAAGAUUUGAAAUGUCACAGAUUAAAUGAGUCAUUUGAUUUUUCGCAUGAUAUCAAAUUGAAUAUCGAAGGUUUAAAUCCCUCUAUCAACUCCCAUAUUAUUAUCACUUUUUAAUUUCUUUCAAUGUCUAGUAAAAUACUAACUUUGAGUCGUGUUCAUGCAGUUCCUUUUGAGCGGAUAUGUGAUGUUUAAACCAGUUUGUUGGUGUGUUGAUGCAUCCCUUAAAUAUAUGUUGAUGCACAAAUUGAUCCCAAGCUCAAGAAAGCGUGUUGCCUAAAUUAUUUAAUACACAUAGAAAAAUAUUCAAUCGAUAAUUAAAACUGGAUUGCUUCGAUAAAAUUCUAUUUUCUUGUUCGAAAAUAAAUUGUCCAUUCAUAUCUCAAGAUGAUAUGUGAAAGACUCAAAAUAAAGCAAAUCUCAACAACAAAAUAGUAAAGCACAAACUGUAGCAACGAGUAUACUGUCAUUCCAUAAAAAUGAAUAUGUGUUGAGCAUCUCUUCACUUCCAAUGGUGGUUUCGUAGAUCUCCAAGCUGGUUUUCCCACAUACCUAGAAUUUGCUCUCUCUCUCUCUCUCUCUCUCUCUCUCUCUCUCUCUCUCUCUCUCUCUCUCUCUCUCUCUCGUUAUAAUAACCGAGAUGUCCCGUGGUGCAUGAACAAAACGGGGGGACGAUGAAUGUUCCCUAAUGCCCAAUAGCUUUGGAUUCUAGUCAUUUACGAGCCGAGCGCCUCCCGUGACUCCUGGGUUCGUGCCGCUCUCAAAGUGCGAGUCCGCAUAUGAGAGCGCUACACGUCGGUGGAGAUUGGAGUGAGCGUCCGAGGGAUUCAUGCACCCAGCCAUCGGUUGCCCACCGCCAGACGCUUCCUCGCCCGACAUUUUGGUAUAGAUAAUAGGGGAAACAUGGUGUUAAGAUUUACUUGAUCCGGCGUGUUCAAUGCUCAAAACUCGACUCGAGCUUGAUUGAGUGUUAAGAUUGAUGCUCGAAUUUAAUUUGACUAGAAAAAUCGAGAUACUAAAGCUCGGAUAAAUAAGUAGUAAACUUCACUUUUAUAGAUCAAAUAUGAUUAUUGAAAGAGUCUAAAUAUAUAAUAUAAUAAUAGUUCGAUGAAAUAAGAUAUCUUUUUUAACAACGCACGCUUUUCAAAUAUGUAAGAAAAAAGUAAAUUUUCGGAUUAUGUUGAAUACACAUAAUAAUUAAGGGAUCCAAAGUCAUUCCUCGUGCCAUAGGCUAUGGUCAGGCUAUGGUCACUCUUCGUGGAUGGCAAAAAACCUAAAAAUUAUAUCAAUCAUGAAUAUAACUUAUUUAUAUUAUAAUUCAGCCAAUCAUAUCAUAUAGAAAUAGGUCUAUAAUUCAUUUUGACAUAUUCAGUAUCCGGCCAUGCAUAGUCCACUGGGCCCUAUCCACAAGAAAAGGAAGUCGCAUCCACGUUAUCCAUAAAGUUAAUUCAUUCAUCCACGACAUAAUUUACUUCUUGUCGGCACCCAUUUCAUUGACGCAACACCAAUCAGCAAAAAUGUUCGAACACGGCACUCUCCAGGCAAAAAGCGAAAGCAAAAUGGAGACAUCUCAACGCAGAUUGUUAUUUCAAAAUCUACAUUAUAUACAGUAAGACACUGUCGACCCUAAUAGCCAAAAUUGUCGACCAAAAUCAAAAGACCUAGAGAAGAAAACUUCAACUAAACGCUAUAACUUCCCUCAGCAACUUCGCCGGUAGCAACCGAUCCGGAGACACCAGCAGCCUCACCGAGAAGUUUCUUGCUGGGAGCUCCUUGUCCGACUCCCAGCUUCGAUCAUCCUCGAAGUUGAGCGUGUAGCUCAUCGGAUUGUACCCAAACUCUGAGGAGGCCGCCAUGGCCGCAUGGCCCUGCCUCCACCUGCACCUCCCAAUCCGAGCGAUGAGGCUGCGGCACCUGUACCGGAUCUCCGGCAGCAGGAGCUCCUGGGCCGUCGAGCGGACCUUGCGGGGGUGGCCGUCGUCACAGUCCGAGGCAGCGGCCUUGUUGUAGGUGGUGGCAUGCCCGUCGCGGAAGCAGCAGAAGAAGAGGCAAGGGGAGGAUGAUCUGAGCUUGUGAUUGAACAUUUUGGGUGUGAAAGAGAGAGGGAGAGCGCGCGAUGGAGUCAGAGUCUGGUCUGGUCAGUGCGAGACUGUGAAGAGAGUGAAGAGAGUGCAUGGUGAUGAGGAAGAAGGUGGAGAAGAGGCUGAGGUGGCGGGUUUUAAUAGGUUGGACGGAGAAGGACGCGGCCGAGGGGCGGCGGCGAGCAGCUAAGCAGAGGAGUGGAAAGCGGUUUUUUUUUUGUCAAUCCGGCAAUGGGGUUUCUAUUUUACCUUUCUUAACUUUCUCGUUGGGCAGUUUGGUAAUUAAGCAAAAGUCGAGGGAUUUCUUUUUGGUUUUACAAUAGUUGAAUUAGAUUAACAUUUUAUGGGUAAAGGCUGAGAACAGAAUCUCGACUUGAAAGUCGAGACUCGUGACCUCUAAAGCAGCUACAAUGGGAAAAAGAUAAUUAUAUGAAAUUGCAGAAUUGAUAAACCUUGGAAUGUGAUGGACAUUAUUAAGUUCUACGAAGAAAAUCAAAGGGGACAUAGCGGUAUUCCAUGAUCGUAUCAUGAUAUUUUAAUUUCAAGUCGUAUUUUUAAUGAGUUACAUGAAAAUUUCAAUAUUAUUGGUUAGGCUAGAUGAGUAUAUUUUUAAAGCAAUCCUAUAAAAGAAAGAGGAUUAGAACGUUCGUCUUUUUAUUUUUUUUCAAGUGAUAUCAAAAUAUAAUAUUUGAAUAUUUGAAUCCCUCUUUCACCUCCCACAUCGCAAUCGCUUUUCACUUUUUUUUUUUUUUUUAUGUCUAGCCAAAUGCUAGUUUCGAAUUGUGUUGACUGAUUAUACUAUAUUCUCUCAACAAAACUCCAGCGCAAGAAUAUAGGAGAGAAACAAACCACCUUACUAUCUAAGUCAACACUUCAACAUGGGCAAAAGUGAUCCUCAGCUUGAGAAAGCAUGUUACAUAAAUCGAUCUGCAUACAUAGAUAAAUUGUUCUAUCGGGGAUUCAACCUGAGUUACUCCGAUAAUUGAAGUUAGCAAGAAUGAAUCACUUUAUUCCCUUCAUGCCCUUGCACUGAUCUCCGCUUAUCUCAUGCACGUGGGGACUAAGCUUCUUCGCUGCUCUGUCCCACGACGAUCUAGCUGCAGCUGCGACGCCGAAGCUUCUGUCCCGACGUUGCUGCUUCCUUUGACGCGACGUCUAGACUCGUUGCUCCCUCAUUGGCCCAAUGCCGCUUUGCCGUGACGAGUCUUGGCUUGACUGAGCACCUGCACGACCAUCGUGAUAUACUUCAUCUGUCCUGGUGCUACUUGCCCGUGCUGAUUGCCAGCAGAUCCACGGCCCCUUCUCACUACACCGCUGACGAGCCGUGAGCCUCUUACUGAUGGUCCUUGCUACGAGCCUUCAACAAUGGAUCACCCCGCGAGUAGUUGCUGCUUCUCGCUCCACAACGGCGCUGUAUUCCAGUUUGCCGUCCACCUGGUACCGCCGUACGUUGCACCUCCAACACCACCCACCCAACAGCAUCAGUGCUAGCCACGCUUCAGGCCCAUGAAUUUUCUUUUCCUGCGGGUAUCCAGCGCCGCUGACCAUCCAGUGACGCCCAGCAUCUCCUGCACUAGUUCCAAGUCCACCGCAGCUGAGCCAAGACAAAAAGAAAGAGGUGAUCUUGAACGGAGUGGAAGAAAAGAAAAGCGCUGGUCAAAGUGGAGAAAAGAAAAAUUGAAACGGAGAAAGAUUUAUUCCAUCAUUUGCAAACAAUAUCAACGCCCCCACUUUCCUGAAUACACGAUGCGGAGAGAAUACAAAGAAAAGGGGAGAUUUUGGAAAUUCGCUCCCUGGGUGCUCGUUCCUCACGUUUUCCCGAGUCACCACCUAACUGAGCCGAGCCGGAUCACGGAUCGCCCGCCGAACUACCGCCGCAGCCAUCCUUUGCCGUCAAGCACCACCAGGAGUAGCCUUGCUGCGAGACUCACCCUCAAGCCGCCUUCGAACAAGUUUGAAUUUGGAUUGCUCACUUCAAACUUGGUAAUGAUCUAAUCCGAUUCUAUUUGAAUUUUAAUUACAAAUUUCGGAUUGAUUUCGGCAUCUAAUUGUGAUAUUCGAGAUUUUAAUCAUCAUUCAAUAGGAUUUCAUUGACAAAAAUUAAAUAUAAUCAUUAAUUUGAGUCGUGAAAUGAUGGAUCUUUUUUUCUUUUUCUUUUUUUAAUUUUGUUUCCAAGCCAGUAAGUGCCUUAUAAAACGUGAGACGACAAAUUAUUUUUUCGAAUAUCAUAAUCUUUUAUUUAACCUUGUGGAUAUCCUAGAUGAUUAAUAAGAUAGCCAACUUUAAUGAAUGUACAAUAAAUGAAAAUCACAUGUUCGAAUAUAUGGUUUUUUAAUAUGAUAUUGCCUAAUUUUAAAUAUAUUGCUUGUCAAUAUUGAUUCUAAAAAAAUAAAUCAUAAUAUAUUCUAGAUAUGAAUUUUCUUUAAUAAAUAGGAUUUAUUUAGAUAAUAUUGCAUAUUUAAAAUGGUCUUCUAAGAUAGGACAGCAUUGAGGUUAAACUAAUUACUAAUCUAUAGACUGGAUAAUAACUUAUUUUAGAUAGUUUAAUUAGGACAUUUUUCUACUUCAAAUUUUAAUGAAAAUACCAAAAUAUCAUAUGCAUGUCAUGUAGUUUAGGCCAUGUUAUAUUGCUAUGUCAAAUGUGUGUCAUGUUAGGUUCACUGAAUUAGAAAUUGUACCUCAUUAGAACUAGGUCAGGUAGUUAAAUGAAAUUGCAUGUUAUAUAGCCUAGUUUUAAUUUCAAAAUAAAAAGAAAGCUAAAAAAUAAUUGCUUGCUAUGGUAUUUAAUUUCUUACAAUUUCUUUAUCCAUCGGUUGUUAUCUUUAAUGUUUGCACACCCGCACUAACACUAGAUUAAAAUCGAUCUAAAUUGUCUGACAAUUUAGUUGAAGUAAUUUAGUUCUAAAUCUUUUAAUUAAAUCAAUUUAAUCUUAAAUCUUUCUACAUUAAAAUUAAUUGAGUCAAUUCCACUAAUUUUUGUUGGAAAUAAUUGACGUUGACACCGUCGUCUCACAUGACACUAUCGGCGCUGACAUAAAUAUUUUUAAUAAUACUUCGAUAUUUUUUGAAUUUUUUUCUUUUAUUUUGGUGUAUUUCUUUUGAUGUUUUUCACUUUUUUUGAAGAUAGACUCUGGUUUCCCGUCAAUGCUGCUGCUGCAGCAGAUAGGGAAGAUGGUGCAGGUUUCUUCACCGCCGAAUCCUUCUUCUCCGUCUACUUUUUUCUCAACCUUCUCUCCUGCAAGACCGUUUCGAACCAACGAAUUCAAACAAAAUCCUCAGGACUGCUGUCAAAUUAAUGAUUAAUGGAAGUGAACCCAUGAGCAUUCGGAGUUCUGACCUUCCGAUUCUUCAUCGGAGGAGCAAUUUGGGUCCGGCUCUGGUCCAGUCCUCUUCCUCGUCAAUAGUCACAGUGUUUUCAGCUCUCUGUGAUAGAGAAAAGCAGUUCUCUAAAAUGUGGAUAUGAAAAAAGAAAGACGCGAAAAGAGAUCGAAAAAAUUGGAAGUACCGUAUCUACGGUCAAAUUUAGAAACCGUGAAAGAUUGUUGCAAGCGACUAUUAGGUUACCUGCUUCUAUGUAAAUGUUAAACCUAGCUCUUUGAAAGAAUCUAAUUCUGUUUUCGGACUUGACUGGAGGAAGACAAAGCGAAGCUGGUGCAGGAAACCGGUUUGCAAUUAAAGCAGAUAAAUAAUUGGUUCAUCAGAGGAAAAGAAACUGGCACAGCAGCCCUUCAUCAUCAUCAUCCAUCUCAAAAAGCAAACGCAAAAGGUCCCUCAAAAUACACAUCACCUCAUUAAUACAAAACUUCCUUCAUAUUCCAUUUCUUUGCAUGCUAAGUUGGAAGAACUUCUGCAGGUGAAAGCAGCAGCUAUUGAUCCCUUGAUGUGGAUUUGAGCAAGAGCAACGAUCAAAUUCUGACAGACAAUAUUCGGUGCUUCACUAGAAUGGGUACUUAAAAGAGUUAAUACAAGGAACAUUGGCCAGUGGCCUCAUGCAAAGCUUCAUCAAACAGGAACAUUUGGAAGAUGGCUUUGAUUCUAGGAAAAAGAAAUUAUGUUAGCGAAGAGGACAGGUCUCGCCUCGCGAUAGGAAUUCUGAAGACAGUCAAUUAACCAUAGAUGUGGUUGUGAUUAUUGAGGGGGUAUUGAGCUAGGAGAUUACACAUUUAGAACUAGAAGUAAUAUCAUAUGGUUUCAUUGUCUCUACUGCUUAUCCACUUUGCGUUUUGUGAUACAUAGGCGUAGUUAGGUAUUGUGUACAAUUGGUAUAAUGAUCUAUAUGUAGUUCCUCUCCAUUCUCCAUGCUAAUGACCUAUGUAGCACGGACCCUCUCCGGAAGCCUUCGUGUCGUGUCCGACACUCCAACACGUGUCUGACACGCUCCGUUACUGGGUUUGGAUUGCUACUGGGGAUGGUCAUAGAUAGGAUCAUUUGCCUGAAAUUCUAUUGCGUAUUACAACCUCAAAGAUUGUCGCCAAUUCUUGUGAUGAUUUAGCCACUUCAUUGUCACGGCUCCGUAUUUAAUUCAUUCUGAAGUAUUGUUCAUUAAGCUGGUGCAGUUGAAAAGUUCUGUUCAUAUCCCUCUCCUUCUAUGUAACGAAAAACAACUUUAUCACGCCAAAUUCUGUCUGUCCUGAACUCUUACACAUUGAGUGAUCACCUCUAGUGUGGCUCAUGUCGCAUAUGAAGUUCUGUUUCUUUACAAACCAAGAUCUGAAGAGGAUGAAAUGGUCUUGGGGUAAGUCUAGGUGCAACUUUAAAAGACAACCAUGUGAGCUUAUCCCCAGUGAAUUCAGAAGAAAAAGGCUAUACUUUACAAUAAUCACUAGAAAUUUCCUCAGCUUUUCUUCAAGAUGACCUAUGACAAAGAAUUGAAAAUUUGUUUUAGCCGGCCAACUCCAAGUCAGCUGAUGUUCAUUGGCAGAACGAAUCCGAGAAAGAACCGUGCGUAAAAAGAUGAACAUUGAAUUUUCUAAUGUAACUUGGACAUAUAAAAACAUUAUUUCAUUUGAGCCGCCAUUUUGUCUUGAUAUACCAAACAUUUAUGACGAACUGUUUGAUGAUUUCUCUGUUAUUAUGUAGGUCUUUUUGUAUCUUUCAUCAUUGACUUAUUGGCACAUAUUCCAUACACAUUGUUAUACAAUCCACAAAAUCAAUGGAUACCCAAAUUUACGAUCUUCUAACGUUUCUGCUAACCUACCCCCAAUUUAUGAACUAGAUAACUACAAUUCAUUUUUUAAAAUUUUAAAAUUUUAAAUUUUUUAAAUUUUUAUUUUUUUGCUCUUAGACAUCGUUAAACAGCUCGGUCGUUUACACAGAGAAUCACAUUAUCCUGACCUCAUCUUGAAAUCCAACAUUUGAAACCUUGACCUCUCCUAUUAAAAAAAAGGAGAUAUGCUGGUGCAAUUCACAUAUGUUUUUCAUGAAAUUAAUGCUUCUUGUCAAGUGUAGCGAACUUAAAGCCCAUGAGAUUACAAGAAUCAUAUCUAGGUUGUCUAACCACAGCUGCAGACAUAAGAACUUCAUUGUCACAUAGCUUCCCAGGGUGGCCAAUGAUUAUAAGAACAACUAAAGUUUGGUGUUAACCCGUAUCGAAUCUCUACCCAAUGCCACGACUAUCCCUAACACUCCACGUUGCAGGUACGAGGGGUUUUUGAACAUGAAUGCGACUUUAGCACGAAGGCGACCCCGAGAUUUGGUGUGAAUUGACUCAACUUUCACCAGUUUGUGUGACAAACAAGCAAUAGGUUUCGCAUUGUUCUGUCAUUUGGUUGAAGGCCAAUCUAUGUAUUUGCAGCCACACCUCCAGUUCACGAGAACAGAGGUCCUCCUGUCUCCUCUAAGCAUCCCAUCUCUGCAAGUCUAUGCAAUUUCCCAUGAUUGACCAAGGGCCAGAAGUGAGGACUCUCUGCUUGGUGCCAAUCCAUGGAACGUAAACAAAUACAUCUUCUCAUUUUAUAGUUAUCCCACCCAAGACCAGCCCAGGCUUUCCUUGAGACAUCAGUUACGCAGCUUGACUCAAGCACUUACUUCGACAAAAUCCUUCCAAUCAAAACCAUCUCAGCUUCCUCAUCAUCAACUUGCUCCAAAACGUAAUGAUGCCCCAGUAGACUGUCUGACAGUUAUGCUUGCGAUGUUAAGGGAACCCCUGCGGGCAUCCUGUAAUGAGAGAGAAGAAAUAGAUUAGCCUAGAAUUAAGGAAGGUUGUCAAACAGUUGAUAGGGGCAACGUGUAGUGAUAGGAAAAGUGAAAAUUAAUGUGACGAACCAAUGCCAAAGCAAAUUACUAAAAUAGAAAGCAGAUGGAAAUAAUUAAUGAUGAUAGAGAGCGAAAAUGAGGAUUAUGGAUUAUCGAGAAGAAUGGGGGGUGACGAUCAUGAAGGAACAUAGGUGAAAGAAAACAUCAUUGUGAUGUAGGGAAAGCUCUUGACAAAGAGAGAGAAGCUCUCACAAAGGGGAGAGACACAAAUCUAUGUAUAACUUCCUGAAGAGAACUCAAUGUCCCAUUCUUUUUGGAGCAUAAAUGCUGGAAAGCUAAAACAAAUCAAGAUAAGCGAAAAAUGGUUCUCAUAAUUUCCAGCUUACAGAAGCUCUGUUAGUAAAAUCUCCUGGUUUAAAUUGCACACAAUUGCAUGCAUGUACUUAUGUGCAAUCAAUCUUGAGCUUUAGGGGCCAAAAAAUCAAUCUUGACCUUCGCUCUUUUAAUGCCAAUGAUCUUCCAUUAUUUUUGCAGUGUUCUACUUCAAAGCAGGGUCGCAUGACGUCGUCAACAUGUCAAAUGGUGAUAAUAAUAACUGCCACAGUGCUUCUAUGUUCAUACACUGACCAACGGACCAGCCAACAUUUCCCUCGACAGUGCCUGCGAGUCUUACUCUGUCUACACCUUUGCUAACAGCGAUUGUUGCUCUCAAGGCCAAAAAUUAGCUGUCACUGUCAGUGAAAAUUACACUGCCCCCAACUCCAGUCUAGCUGGAUCCCCUGUAGCUACCAGCCCCAACCACUGGGACCACUCCAUCUCCGCCACCACCUGGAAGUGACACUUCAUAUCUCCGUGUAACACUACUAGUCCUGUUCAUGAGUUCAUUAUACAUGAAAUCAUUAUUUCUACUAGAUAUAGAUGGACUAUUGAUAGAUCGUGAGAUGUUGCUACUCAUCAUAAAGUGAAUAAACUUGUGAAAAUGCUUCUUCUCAUUAUUCCAGCAUGAUUCAUAUAGAUAACAUUGCUCAAACUUGUAAUAGAUCAUAGAGUUUCUUUGGAAUAAAUAUAUGGUUCUGCUCCCAUAUUCGGAUGUUUGGCUGUAUUAGAAAAAUUAGAAUGUGGCAGGAGACAAAAACUUGCAUACUGGAAAGUCAAAAUAGAGCAUCAGUAGAACAAAUCCUCAUAGGCAUAGCUAAAAAGUCCCACCUUUGGAAUGACAAAUGAGCAGAAAGUAAAUCACGCAGUGACAGGGAAAAUGGUGUGAAUCUUGUGAGGAUGAAACUCAACACAAACAGUCAAUCGAGAACUUAAAAUGACAAUGAAACUAUGAACUCACUGCUGCAGCCCUGCAGCAUACCAAAUUCACACCUGAUGAUUAGCUUGAAAGAACCCAAUGCAUUGUGAGGAUCCCGAGGGCCGCAAGCCCAGCAGCAUGACCGCUCGUCCUUGCCUAUGUGAUUUUGUACUCUGCCUCCAGAAGCUUCCUUAAUAAUUGACAUGUCAAUCAUUAUAUUACUUCGAGCAAUCAUAUGAGAACAGACAAGAGAAAAUUACAGUUAUCCCAGAACAAUAAAAACACAAUUCAGGCAAUUAGGAAAAGCAAGCAAAUUGACGUCAUUCCUAAGUGUGGGAUUUCAAUCGUCCACCUUAAGAAGCUGAGAUGACUAUGGUCAAAGGGAUUUUCUGAAAGAGCUACUUGUUCUUUAAACAAAACUAACACAUUAUAGAUGACCUGCGAGCAAGUAGAACAGCCUUCAGAUACAAAACAUAAAAGGAGAUUAUUAAUCUAAAAGUCUGGUUCCCGAUAUCACGUUGAGAUUGAGCAAUCAUGGUGGAUGCAGAUGACAAAUUAUUUUCUCUAGGGGCAAUCUUAUGAUCUAGUCCUCCAACAAGGGCUGCCAGUUACAUUCCUACCAUGGUAGAGAGAGAUUUCAUUCCAUCUAAGUAACACGAGUCACUCCGUAAUGUAUAAAAAUAAUCACUCACGGGUGAAUCACCAGGAUUGGCAGCUUCAUUCAUGUUUUUAUCAAGUCUAAGAUUUUGCCUUAUUAGGGGACAGGGAUUGUCUCAAAUAUCGAACUAUCACCGGAAUGUGAUCUCAUGAAAACCUGACAUGACUACUGUUCUAUAGAAAAGCUCAAGACAAUUUAGAUAUUGGCUUUAGUAACUUGCAUCUCAAAAUGUCUAAAGCUUGUGGAGCUCCUAGUCUCCAAGCCCUUAGGGCUCAAUUAGUUAGUGCAACAAUUGAUGAGCAUCAUGAAAUCUCUAUACUUUAUAGGUAUCUCAAUCCUGUGAUUCCUGGGAUGUCUGAUAGCUCUCAACAAGCUGUCACUAACGAGUUCCUUAAAUCUUCAAAUUUCAACACAUCAGGGAAUUUUGCUAAAGACUUGCAUCCUUGAAUACACAAACUUUUGCAGGAUGAGAAUACCUCCAGGCUUUCGAUGUCAUGUAGCUUUUCAUAGUGGUUGAUGUUUCAACCUUUUCAAGGUUUUCACGCACGAUAGAUCUAACAAUCUUCCAAGGGAAGUGCAACCAUGAAUAUCCAAUAUUACCAAAAAAAUCCAGCCUGUCAAGGCCACGUUUCAACAUGAAACCCUCAAGAUUUUGAAGUUCAGCUCUAUUUGCAGUCUCAAUAUCAUGAAGAUCACGAUUAUUAGAAAAAUUAAAACACAGCAGGAGACAAAAACUUGCAUACUCGAAAGUCAAAAUAGAGCAUCAGCAGAACAAAUCCUCAUUGGCAUAGCGAAAAACCCCACCAUCGGAAUGACAAAUUAGCAGAAGAGUAAAUCACGUGGUGACAGGAAAAACGGUGUGAAUCUUUGUAGGAUCAAACUCAACACAUAAACAGCCGAUUGAUAACUUAAAAUGACAAUUAAACUAUGAACUCACUCUUGCAACCUUGCAGCAUAUCAAAUUCACGCUGAUGAUUAGCUUGAAAGAACCCGAUGAGUUUUGGGAAUCCAGAGUGCCACAAGUCCAGCAGCAUGACCACUCUCCUUCACCUAUGUGUUUUUGUACUUUGCCUCCAGAAGCUUCCUUAAUAAUCCACAUGUCAAUCACCAAAUUACCUUGAGCAAUCAUAUGAGAACAAACAAAAGAAAAUUAAGUCACAAUAUUGUAGAACAAAAAAACCAAUUCAAGCAAUCAUGAAAAGCAAGCAAAUUCACGUCAUUCCUAAGUGUGGGAUUUCAGUCUCCACCUUAAGAAACUGAGAUGACUAGGUCAAAGGGAUUUUCUUAAAGAUCUGCUUGUUCUUUCAACAUUCUGUAAUUUCAACCGUAUUAAUAUCACAUAUAAGCCAGUGUGCCUGCCAUCAUAAGUAUCAACAGAAGAUAAAAGUUUAGCUCGCCAUGUAAACAAAACAAGUUAUAGAUGACCUGCGAUUAUAGUGGAUAAUAAAUGACCAAUUAUUUUCUCAAAAGGCACUCUUAUGAUCUAGUCCUCCAACAAGGGCUGACAGUUUCAUUCCUUUCAUGAUCAAGAGAAAGAUUUCAUUCCAACUAAAAACACAAAUCACUCAGUAAUGUACAAAAAAUAAUCACUCACAGAUGGUUCACCAGGACUGCCAGCUUCAUUCAUGAUUUUGUCAUCUAAGAUUUUGCCUUAUUAGAGGACAGGGGUCAUCUCAAAUAUCAAACUAUCACUAGAAUGUGAUCUCAUAAAUACCUGACAUAACAAUUGCUCUCAUAUUCCAUAUGAGGAAAGCUCAAGACAAUUCACAUAUUGGCUUGCAUCUAAAAAUGUCUAAAGCUUCUGGAGCUCCUAGUCUCCAAGCCCUCCGGGCUCAAUUAGUUUGUCGCAGUCUCGUGCGACAAUUGAGUAGCAUCAUGAAAUCUAUAUACUUUAUAGGUACCUCAAUCCUUUGAGCCCUGAGAUGUCAGAAGGUUCCCAACAAGCUGUCACUAUCAAGUUCCUUAAAUCUUCAAAUUUCCAAGCAUCUAGGAACUCUAACAACUUGCGUCCUUGAAUACACAAACUUUUGCAGGAUGAGAAUACCUCUAGGCUUUGAAUAUCAUCUUGCUCUUCACAGUGGUUGAUGUUCAGUAUUAUCAGGGUUUUCAAACAUGAUAGAUCCAAUAAUCUUCCAAGGUAAGUGCAACCACAAAUAUCUAAUAUUACCAAAAAAAAUACAGUCCGUCAACGCCACAUUUCAACCAGACUCUUACAGUUUGCAACAUGAAAUCUCCCAAAUUCUUCAAACUAGAAGGUUAUCUUUCAAUGGACGUGCAAUUAGAGAUAUCCAAUCUUACAAAUAAUCGACCUCUCAAGGCAAUGAAUUUCAACUAGAUUCACGCAAUCUGCAGCAUAGAAUGCUUUAGACAUUUUGAACUUGAAAGGUCUAUUUAUCUUUCAAUGGAUUGAAAUGUCUGGUCAUCUUUUAAUUGGACAUGCAUUUAAAGACAUAAAACCUUCUCAAAGAUUCUAAUUAAUCAAUCAAGGCCUCAAACUUCAGCUAGAUUCUUGCAGUUUGCAGCGUGCAAUUUGAAGUCUUUAAACUGGAGAAGUCUAGAAAUCUUUUAAAGAAGUGCACCCAGAGAGAUUCAAUCUUGCCAAUAAAUACAACCCGUAAAGACCAUGAAUUUCAACUAGAUUUUGGCAAUUUGCAACAUGGAAUAUUUCAAUGGAUGUGCAUCCAGAGAGAGAUAGAAUGUUUCCAGAUAUUCUAAAUGGGUCAAAGCCUCAAACUUCGACUAAAUUCACGCAAUUGGCAGCAUAUGAUUCUCUUCGAUUCUUUUUAAACUUGAAAGGACAGUUGAUUGAAUGGACAUGGAACCAGAGAUAUUCAAAUUUACCAGACUCUUGCGAUUGGCAACACAUGAUAGCCCCAGAUGUUUCGAACUCGAAAGGUCCUGCAAAUCUCGACUAGAUUCUUGCGACUCACAGCAAUUUGUUUCCUGCGGAAUCUUCAAAGUUGAAGGAUCCACUGACCCUUUGCCUCUGGAGAACCUGGGAACGCCUAAUCAACGUUUUGUCUUAACUAAUGCCAAAACUUCGUGCAUCUGGUAGCUGCCAGCCCCAACCACUGGGACCACUCCAUCUCCACCACCACCUGGAAGUGACGCUUCAUAUCUUUGUGUAACACUGCUAAUCCUGUUCAUGACUUCAUUACACAUGAAAUCAUUAUUUCUACUAGAUAUAGGUGGACUAUUGAUAGAUCGUGACAUGUUGCUACCCGUCAUGAAGUGAAUAAACUUGUGAAAAUGCUUCUUCUCAUAAUUCCAGUAUGAUUCAUAUAGAUAACAUUGCUCAAACUUGUAAUAGAUCACAAGUUUCUUUGGACUAAAUAGAUGGUUCGGCUCUAUUUACUCUUCUGGUAUCAUGAAAACCAAGAUUAUUAGAAAAAUUAGAACGUGGCAGGAGACAAAAACUUGCAUGCUGGAAAGUCGAAAUAGAGUAUCAGUAGAACAAAUCCUCAUUGGCAUAGCUAAAAAGUCCCACCAUUGGAAUGACAGAGCAGAAGUGCAAAUCACAUAGUGACAGGAAGAAUGGUGCGAAUCUUGUUAGGAUCAAACUCAACACAAGCAGUCAAUCAAGAACUUGAAAUGACUAUGAAACUAUGAACGCACUCUUGCAGCCCUGCAGCAUAUCAAAUUCACACCUGAUGAUUAGCCUGAAAGAACCUGACGAAUUUGGGGAAUCCAGAGCGCCACGAUUCCUGAAUGACCGCUUUCCUUUGCCUAUGCGUUUUUGUACUUCACCUCCAGAAGCUUCCUUAAUAAUUGACAUGUCAAUUAUUAAAUUACUUCGAUCAAUCAUAUGAGAAGAGACAAAAGAUAAAAUUACAGUUGCUAUAUCCCAGAACAAUAAAAAUCCCAAUCCAAUAAAUCAGGAAAAGUAAACAAAUUCAGCUUGUUCAAGUAUAGGUUUCUGCCAUCAUUUUCGUCAAAACCUCCGCACGACCACUGUAAACCACCACCUCCAUUAGUCAAUACUACCAAUACACUCCGGCUUCGACCACCAACAGUCUGCCAUCACAUGCACACGGCACUGCACAUAGGCUUACGCCACCAGGCGGACCACGCCUCCAAAGGCAAGUUUAUCAUAACACAGAAGCUCCCUCGGAGAAGAAUCCCCAACCACGAGCCAGAGAACGAAACUGGAACGGCACAGCCACCGAACUAAUUUUAAAAAUCACCACGCAAAACACGACCCAGCGCAAGACAAAACCCGCCUCCCGCCGCCGCUCGAGAGCCGUCUCAUUACAUCUAAAUCCUUCCACUAGACGGACGACGACGACAACUACUACCCCAACAACAGGCGAGAGCGUACACAAGAGAGAAAGCAAAUACGAACCGAAACACUCAAUCAAGAAGAGACUAAAGCUAAGUGGGAGCGGCCUACCUUCAGCUAGAGUUUUUACAAGCUCACAGAGAGAGAGAGAGAGAGGGGGGGUCUCCUUCUUCGCUUGAUUUUGCAAUGGUCGGGUUCUUUGCCUCAUCAAAGAGAGGGUCUCCUUCUUCGCUUGAUGUUGCGACUGCUGGAGUGAUUGCGCUCGUUGCCUCAUCAAAGAGAGGGUCUCCUUCUUCGCUUAAUGUUGCGACUGAUGGAGUGCCUGAGCUCGUUGUAAGGGGGCACUCAUCAAGCCGCCAUUUGGUGUCUUUUCUUACCCUGAUCCUGAUGGCGGGAUAGUCGCGAUCGCGAAUCAACAGGGGUCUCUCCAGAGCUGUUAAGCUAAAGAACGGUUCCGGUACUUCUUGAAGGUUUACGCAUUCCCCAACGUUCAGAAGCCGGAGAGAAGAGAGCUUCGAAAUACCUUCUGGGAAGCUCCGAAUGCCCGACCCUUCUAAAUCAAGCUCAUUUAGCGAAACCAGCUCGCCUAUGCUACUAGGCAGUCCUUCCAGACGUCUGCAAUGCGAUGCCUUCAACCGGUAGAGUUGCGCCAGCUUUCCAAUAGCACUAGGCAGUUCUGUCACGUGAGUUUGUUCAAUGUUUAAUUCCCUCAAAUUUUGCAAAUUCCCAAUACUUUCUGGUAAUUUCGUAAUCCAUGUCGCUGAUAAAUUUAGCUCAACCAACGAUUGCAACUUUCCAAUCGAGUUGGGGAUCUCUCUCAACGAAGAGUAAGCCAUGUCAAGUACAAACAAAGAUGCUAGAUUGCCUAUGGAGUUAGGUAUGCAAUCUAAUGAGCAACAGGAAGAGAUAUCAAGAGUCUCUAGUGCCUCCAUAUAACUAAUGAAUUCGGGUAAUUCUUUAAUAUAUGUUUCAGAUAAGUAUAGCUCAGUUAAUGACUCAGAGGAACCAAUGGAUUCGGGAAGCUGAGCAAGUUUAUCGUAACAGUGAAGCUCCCUCGAUUCUUCCAUUUUCCCUACUCUUGCUGGUAGCUUCUCUAGUUGAAAACAGCCACUAACGUUCAAAUGGACAAGGGUCUUGAUAUAGCAUAUAGAAGGAUGAAUUUCUUUUAGAUUGUAACAGCUUUCAAGAUUCAAAAUCUCCAAGCUUUUGAAAGCAGACAAGUCGGGAGUUCUUCUCAAAUUGGCACAAUACGAGAGGUCGAGAACUUUCAACUCGAUCGCCAUCUGAAAUAAAUAAAUGAAACUUCAGUGAAAGUGGACAAUAGCAAUGUGUGAUUUUCCACUAUUCUUUUAAAAAAAAGAAUCUUUAAAAUUCCUAAAAAAAUACCCAUACUCCACUACUCUUUCAUAGUUGUCUUAUUUAAUUUUAAAUGUUUUUUUUUCAACGGUGCCAAGGUACACAACCAUAUUGAUUUUUUUAAAGCAUAUCCAUCGCAAAAAGAAUGUUUGGGAUGCACAAGUGCCAACCAUGUUUAUUUUCAGAUAAAAUUUCAAAAAGAAAAUAUAUUCAGUUUUUAAGAGCUAUAGCGAUGCCGUUGAUUAGACUUAUGCAAAUUUUAUUAUCAAAGAGACACUCCGAUAGUAAGAAAAAGGUAGUUUAAUUAUGAAAAGCAAUUUCUUAAAGUGACUUAAAAAAAAUUAAAGAAUGUUGUAUUCCAAAAAAAUUUAAUGCCAUCGGAAGGAUAGUUUUAUUACUCUCACAACAUUAAUAAUUUAUAUUUGCAUUAUACAGUGACUUCCAUAAUCAACAAUUAUAAUGAAUAAAUAUUUCAUGCAACAAGUCAAAGCAAUUCAUGAAUUAUAUCCUUUACUUUAAGAUUAAAAUGAAUUCAGAAUUUCAGUAUUGAUGUACAACACAAGUCAGUAUGUGUGAGAUUUUUUUCUUUUUUUCUCCAUGAAAGAAGAUUAAUAUAGAGAUGUAACAAGAAUCGCUCAAAAGACAUACUUUUGCAUUGGAAAAAUUAACCCAGCCACAAACCGUCUAGAUUAAAGUAAAUCAGAAAUGGUACAAAUAUGUAAUUAUAUUUCAAUAAAUGUUAAUAUGAGGAAUGACAUUAAGCCUUUCUAUAAAAAUAAAUAAUAAAUAAUAAAUAACAAAUAAUAAAUAAAAAAGAGAGGAGAACUUGGUGCUAUUGGACCUUUAGUAGCACGUUAUUAUUCACAAGGGACAUAUCUUCUCAAAAUCUUACCUUGAGUGGGCCCCAUCCUCCCCAGUCCUCCGAAAUCUCACUAUGUGAUAGAUUGAGCACGACUAAUUUCUUUGGGUGAAAGUUGACAAUUUCAAAAUCCGAGGGACAAGUCUCCCAAUCAAGCCAUCUUAAUUGAGGAAGCAAGUUUUGGAAAUCUCCAGUAAAAUUCACAUUGCCCAAUUGAAGGAACCUCAAGUCGGUGAAUUCGUUAAACUGUUCACCUCGGUAGCUUUUCUUAUCAUAGCUUUCCCAUCUAUUAUAGCAAAGACGAAGGGCCUCAAUCUUACAAGUGCCCUGCAUUAUAAAACAUUAUGGACGGUAAGUUUUAAUAGAUUAAAUGAUCUAUACAUAUAAAAGAUGGACUAAUUUCAGUUUGAUAUAAUACUAUUAUGGUGUGGACUUCUUAUUUUCAACUUGGUGAAAUGACAAAUCAUCAUUGCACAUGAUUUAUCUAAUUCAUUUAAAAAUGGGAAGCUCAAGAAGGUGCUUUUGAACUUUUCAUCUUCUACUAAUGCUUUUCGCAAAUUUGCACCUUUUGAAUUACCAAAAAUUGCAUCCUUUCAAAAAUAUAACAAAAGGCAUCUAAUUGUACAAACUACUUCAAAUAUAUCUAUCAAAAUUCAUGCCCUUUAUAUGUGAAACACCCAACCUAAUUUGUAUCCUUCAGAUGCAAAACGCAUAACUCUUAUAGUCCAAGUACAUCUAUCAAACUUGUCAUCAAAACAUGUAUCAAAAUUAGAGAAUCUGAAUUGUAGAAUCCCCCCUAUUAUUCUGGCAUGUCUUGUUUGCAAUUCUCAAUAGCAAAAUGAAAUUGAGAAUGUCACCUCAAAAGGUAUGCAUGUGUUUUAUAUUCCUUUCUUAUCAUGUGUUUCUUUAAUGAGUGUUUUCAAUUAUACAUGGAAGAAAAAUAUGUUAAAUAUCAAACGUUAUAUAGAUAAUCUUUACUCCUCUUUUUAUUAGUACAUGUGUUUGAUGCAACAUUUUCAUUAUCUUGUGUAUUUUGUUACAAUGAAAUAGCAUAAAGUAAUUAGAUCUUGCUUCUAAAAAGAUCAGACAUGAAAAUUGAUUAAACUGAAUAUUUAAGGAACUCGAAUUUAGUUUGUCUUAGGUGAUGAUUUGCUCAGUGAGUACAAAUCAUGAGAGUUGUAAGACUGAUUUGUUAGUGAUUUGGAAUACUUCCUUCAAACUUUUAUUNNNNNNNNNNNNNNNNNNNNNNNNNNNNNNNNNNNNNNNNNNNNNNNNNNNNNNNNNNNNNNNNNNNNNNNNNNNNNNNNNNNNNNNNNNNNNNNNNNNNAACUUCAUAGAGACCCUUUUUGUCAUGUUCUAAGCAAUGUUCUAUUCAAUUCAUUACAUUUUCAUUUGUGCACAAAUAUGCUUGCUGAAAUACAGUGGUAGCACGUUUUUUACUAAUCUCAUUACUUCAUUAUAUUGUGCAUUCUCAAUAUUUAUAUUUAGUGUUUUUUAAUCAAAGAGUUGCACAUGCUCAUUUGAUGUUUGCACAAAUCAUCCAUAUGUUGUAAUUGCAUUUAGUUGCAUACCUUUUUAACUUUCAUGUUAAUGAUAGAAACUAAUCACGAUACAAAAUUCAAAACCAUAAUUAUUUAUAUCACAAGUACUGGAAUGAGCCAUUGCUUUGACUUGACCCACUUCUUAUAGAUAUUAAGAAUAUUAAUCUCAUUAAUAAAAUUGGAUGUCACUUUUCCAAUAUUCCUUCAUGAAAUUUAUCCUACAAUAGUAACCUUCACAUUUAGAUCUAAUAAGAAAAGGAAAAUAUUCUGACUUCAGUUUUACUUCAAAGUAAUAAGAGCUAUUUCUAACUGUGCAUCUAAUCAUAUUUGAAUGUAAGGAUGUUAUUAAUUUUUAUUAUGUGAAUAUAUGGUUCUAAAACUUAAGUAAUGAUAAUUUUUUUUUUGAAAAGUAUAGAGUUGCCAUUAUUUCUUAUCCUAAAUAUGAUGAUUGAAUUAAAGAAAGUACACGCCCACAAACACACAUAUUAUGUUAACAUCACUACUCUAUAAGCAUGUGAAUUUGUUUUUAGUUCUAUAACUAAAUGUCGUUCAUUUAUAAAUUUUUGACAAAGUUGUAAAUGUAAGGUUAUUUUAAUGCUAAAAUGUAAUCUUUAACGAUUCUCUAUAUAAAAAGUCAUAUAUAUUGUUAAAAUAGUUAAACCUAGUUUAAUCAAAUAUAAUGUGAAAAUUGUUUAGUUUUGAUAGUUCUUCCACAUUAGAAAGUUCAUAAUUAUAUUACUGAAGAUCUAUGUUUGGUAAUAUAUGUUUUGUUGAGAAUAUAUGGUUCUCAAAUUACAUUUUAAAAACUGUCAAAAACCAUAUCAUUGCAAAUACAUGUUUUUAUAUGUAUAAUAUAAUGUUGUAAAUAAAUCUAUAAUUUCACCACUAAAGAAUCUUGUGACCUAGGAAUUAAUUUUCAGAUAUACUUUUAUAUACAUAGAUACUGUAAUCACUAUUCUUCAAUUUUUUUUUUUAAUUAUGAAUGGUUUUGGUUAAUAAUCAUUAUUCUUUUUAAUGUUUAUUGUUAAUGUUUUAUCUACUCCAUCAAAAUAGUAAAUCUCUUUAUAAGGCUUUUAUCCAUUUUCUCAUAAAUGAACACCUCCAUUCAAAAUAAUCCAUUUAAAUAUGCAUCCCUUUUUAUAUGAUACGUUAAACUCCAUUUUUUAUACAGUUCAUUUAUUAUUCUACUUAGGAUUCUCUUCUUUCUCGAAUUCAAGGUAGAAGAAUUCCAUCGAUUAGUGUCAUUUACUUACCAUUGGAUGAAAAGAUAUUUCUCUUAGAAAUAUGGCUUGAAAAUUUAGUACAUCAUUCACAUGUUAGUAAAUAGUGUCUCUCUAGGAAGUACUAUGUCCAGACCGGAAUUUCUCUGUGUUUUGAGCAGUAUAGUUUCUAGAUGACUUUUUUUUAUGGUACAUACCUAAUGUUUGGUCCAUUUCUUUCUUUGCUCUUAUUGAUANNNNNNNNNNNNNNNNNNNNNNNNNNNNNNNNNNNNNNNNNNNNNNNNNNNNNNNNNNNNNNNNNNNNNNNNNNNNNNNNNNNNNNNNNNNNNNNNNNNNNNNNNNNNNNNNNNNNNNNNNNNNNNNNNNNNNNNNNNNNNNNNNNNNNNNNNNNNNNNNNNNNNNNNNNNNNNNNNNNNNNNNNNNNNNNNNNNNNNNNUGCAGCCUUAUCAUACAAGUUGUUAGUGUAAGUUGUUUACUACCUCUCUAAUUUGCAGAUUCAUGAAAUUGAUAAGAAUAGGGAAGAUUGAGAUCUUAAGACUAGAGUGCACAACAGAAGUUAAAAGUAUUUUGAGUGUUAGAAAACAAUUAAAAUAUUUUUUCUUCUAAUGUCUUAUUUUAAUCCGUAGUCCUCAACAAAAUAACAUAGCAUAUAUAUUUUGUAGCAACGGGAACAAUUUGUGAAUUUAUCUUGUAUUAUGUGCAACAGGCUCAUGUUUGAUAAAUAAAUAAUAUCAAAAGCAUACUUGUCAAAUUACAAAUCAAUAUCAUAUUGGACUCAUAUUUCACAAAUAAACAAUAUUAAAAGAUCAAUAAAAAAGAUAUCCAUCAUCACAAAAAAUUUAUAUUAUGUGCUUUAGAAAUAAAUUAUAUAAUCAAAUUCUCCGUCAGAAGAGAAAAUAGUACAUGUUUAGAGGAAUUUUUUACAUGGAUGCAUAAAUUUCAACGACAAGUAUGAUGCAAUGUAGAGACCAACGUUAUGAGUGAGAACGUGUAUAGAUACCCAUUGUGACUAAGAAAUACCAUCAUCACAAAAUAAUUAUUUAACAUGCUUUACAAAUAAAUGAAUGUAAUAAAAAAUUUUACCAUAGAAGGAAAAAGAACAUAUGUUUAGAUGGAUCUUUUACAUGAUUACAUAUAUUUCUACAAUAAGUAUAACAAAAUGCAUAAAAGUUAUGGUUAUUAUGAUUAAAAAGUUCUAUGGAUACUCGUUAUGAGUGUAUAUUCUUGUAUUUCAUAAGCAGAUUAUAUUAACAAUCGAUAAAAAAAAUUACGUAACAUGAUAGCUCAUUUUAACAAAUAAAUAAUAUAAAUGUACUAAAUUUGUUCCAUCAAAUGCUCAUUAUGAGUUGAAGGACAAUGAAAUAUCUAAUAUAACGUGGUAGCUAAUACUAGAGAAAUAAAAAAUCAACAAAAAAGAUAUAUAACAUGAUAGCCCAUAUUUAACAAAUGAUGAUAUAAAGAUUAAAUAAAUCUUUGCUAAAUACAAUGCUCAGUAACAGUUGAACCGUGCAGUAAUAAUUAUUAUAACAUGAGAGCCCAGAUUUGACAAAUAAACAUUAUCGAAGCCCAUAUUUGACAAAAUAAAUGUUAUCGGGGAUUAAUAGAAAAUAAUCCAAAGUUAUAAAAAAAAUUAAAAAGUAUUAGCAAAUUCACGGCAGAAAAUUAUCCAAUAUUAUGAAAAGUCUAUAGAACAAAAAUAAUAUAUGUUUAGAAGAUUAUAUCACAUGGUUGCACAUAUAUCACAUACAAUAUGAAAGCAACAAUAGCAAAUUGAUAGAGUUAACUAAAGGUUGACAACGAAGGAUUAGAUUGCACCAAUUAUGAAAGGUAAAAGACUACCGAAAAAAAAAAGGAAUUAAACAGAGGGCCAAAUCGCACAAACAAUAACAUUUAAUAAAUUUGUACUUAACCCAACUUGAAAAAAAAAGAAGAAGUGAGCUAAUCAUUGCAAAUGAAUGGAGGUCUCAUUGAUCAUAGUAAGCAACACAUAAGAAGUCAAUGAAGAAGAAGAAAUUAUAAGAAAGAUCCAAACUUAAAAAAUGUGGAAAAAGCAUGGCCCAACAACUUAUAGAUGUCCUUUACCAAAAAAAAAAAAAAAAACAACAACUUAUAGAUGUCAUGUUUUCUCGGAAAGUGCUCUAUCAAACAUUACAGUUUUGCAAUUUUAUUGUGCAUUGAUGUUUUGAAAGGAGAGUGUCCUUGACAAAAUUUUAUGAGGUAUGUGUGUGUAUAUAUAUAUAUCUUUUUUUUUUCAUUUUGAUAAAAAAAAAAAGAGAUGAAAGAAAAGAUAUAUAUCCUAUAUCAACUGCCAAGAAACUGCUGCUCAAUUAUGUCCUAAAAUAAGGCAACAAAAACAAUUAACCGGCAAGCUCUUCAGCUACUAGCUACCCCAAAUUUGGCAUAUUAAUUUUCAUCUCAAAAAAGAAAGAGAAGAUGGACUGAACAUUCACUAAAUAUAAGACAAAUAGAGGAAACUCUUACCUUGUUGCUCUCAAGUACAUUUUUGGCUUCCUCAUCAAUCCAUAUCCGACUACGUUCUCCAGGCUCCUUUUGAUUUUCUAAACGAACAAUUUCCCUUCCAAGAUCUCUCAAUUGAUCAUGCAUCAUUAGCUUGCCAUAUUCGCCAAUUUUAAUUAGGGACAUAAGACUUAAUACUUCAAUCCCUUUCCCUGGGUAAAAACCACAGGCAUCCCACAUAUAAGUCGGAUUUUGUUUAGAAAUUCCAAUGAAAAAACAUGCUAUAUCCAAAAAAAUCUGUUGCUCUUCAUAAUCUAAUGCGUCGUAACUUAUCUUCAACCUCUCUUGCACUUCCUUAGCAGGAAUUUUCUUCAAUUUCUCUGAUGUAUCUUUCCAUGUUGCCUUUGUCUUUCCACAUAAGUAUGAGCCUAUAACUUCAAGUGCUAAAGGAAGACCCCCAGUAAUAGAUACAAUUUCAUGAGAGAUAUGCUUAUAAUCACUCGGAGGAAAAUCAUUUCGAAAUGCAUGUCUACUAAAUAAAAUCAACGAUUGAUUUGGAGGCAACUGUUCAAGUUCAUAUAAGUGGCUAGCCCCAACCUUGUCAAGAAUACUCUUGUUUCUAGUUGUAAUAAUGACUAUACUUCCCACUUUAAACCAACUACCGUCUCCGACCAAAGCAUCCAAGUGAGUAGUAUCAUCCAUAUCAUCAAGAAGAGCAAGGACUUUCUUACUUUUACAUCGAGAUUUGAGUACACGGAUUCCGUCAUCAACAUUAGACAUGUCCCACGAUUCUCCUAUCACGUCAGAAAUNNNNNNNNNNNNNNNNNNNNNNNNNNNNNNNNNNNNNNNNNNNNNNNNNNNNNNNNNNNNNNNNNNNNNNNNNNNNNNNNNNNNNNNNNNNNNNNNNNNNUUUCUCGAAUAUUUGCCACAAAGCUACGUUUCUCAAAAUCGCUUAACAGCUUGUUGUAUAACACCUUUGCAAGAGUUGUUUUACCAAUGCCGCCCAUUCCAUAAAUUCCAAUUAUCCGUGUACCAUUGAAAUUAGCAUUUAUCUUGCUUAUAAUUUGUUCCACAGGAUCAUAAGUUCCCACCAACUGUUCGGGAACACUUAGGUCGAAAAGUCUUUUUAACUCACCCAUAACUCUUAUGCCAACUGUUUUCACUAAUGUUGCUUCAUGCCUAUCAAAUAAUAAUACAAAAUUUCAAUAUAUGAUAGCAAUGUUUAUAUGCUUUUUUUCAAGUAAGAUAUUUAUGAGAAAGUUUUGGCAGAGAAUAACAUACCCAUCAGCUAUUUUCUCCGAUUCCCAUCCUUUUAAUAAACUGACUUCGUUGAGCGCUUCUUCCCAUUCCUUCACAACCAUUUGACCCAAAUUCUUUUUAUGUGCAUUGAUGGCAUCUCCAUAUCUCCCCUUGAGAUGUCGGACUUGUGAGGGUUCCACUUUGUAAAAUAUGGGCAACACUACUUGCUCUCCGCUUUUCCUGCACUUCAACAUCUGAGCCAGCUCUUGAAGGCACCAUUUGCUGGAAGCGUAAUCCUCAGAUAUAAUCGGGAUCGAAAUCUUAGACUGCGUGAUACUGCAGAGAAGCUCCGGACCAAUCUCGUCACCAACUCGGAGCUCAUCGUUGUCUCUAUACACGCGAAUUCCUGCAUCAACAAGGCUAGUAUAGAGGUGAUCGGUGAAGCCUUUGCGAGUGUCUUCCCCUCUAAAGCUCAAGAACACUUCGUAGUCACUUCCUUUCAGCCUUUUGGUUCCACCAUUAUCACCUACAUGUGGAGAGGUCGACGACGAAGACGCUCUGUAUGGCAGAUCUUCUGAAUGAGGAGGCUCUUUUCUGAUCAUCUUGAGAUAGAUGGAGCGGAGCCUCAAAAGAAGAGGAGUAUGGAAUCUUAGAUGUAGGAAUUGCAGAAAUGUCUCUCAGAACUCAAUUGAGAGCUACAUUCAAACAUAAACAAAAGCUCUCAUACAAGUUAUCAAAAGAAAAUGGAAAUAAAAACAAGAAAGAGAGAAGAGGAGAAGAGCUACAGCUGCGAUCUCCACCGAUUCUCACCUUCGACGUUGGAUUGCCCACACGCAACCCUCUUUAUUGUGCGUGCUUGAACGAUGCUGAGUUAUGACCAUCCAACGGUCCAAGACUCUUUAUGCUAAUUGAACGGCUGCGAUGCAUGCUGUACGGAAAGGACAAUUAUUGCAGGCGUAAUUUCCGUAGCACCGCGCAGAAGGUGCGUGGGAUGAGCGACGCGGACACGCUCACACGCAAUGCUCUCCAGCAAGGCAAGGCUUGACUUUGACUUGCUUUUUUCUGUUAACAAUAAAAAUAGAAAAGAAAAUGGACGAGCAACAGUCACAUGCUCCCGGUGCUAAAUUAUGUGAGUCAAUGACGAAAACAUAUCAAUCGUCGGAUUAAAUCAGAUUUUGUUGAAAAUAAAUGUCCGUGUGACGUUUUUUAUUCAAAUAGGGAAAGUUUAUUUAUUUUCAAUCAGCAAUCUGCUUUUCAUUAAGGAGAUUGCUCUAAAAUAGUAAAUCACUAGAUAAAUCUCUCCCAAAAACAAUUUUAUUAAAUUAAAUUUCUCCAUACCAUGUCACAUAUCUAAAAAUUAUGUAGCCAUCACUCCUCACUCACGGCACUUUUAUCCCUCUCCUUAUAUUAAUAAUUUUUUAUGCUCUAUGUCCUUUUAGAGUCGCAUUUAGAAAUUCUUGGCCAAUGAAUUCUCCACAACUGAAUAUUUAUUUAGUCAUCCGUUUUUACUUUCUUUUUUCAUCUUUUGCUUUUUUCGGUGGUCAAGUGGAAACAGAUGCUAUUGAUUUGUUUUAGCAAUGUCUAGAGAAAGAUAUGGUGGCAAUUUUUACUAGGAAAACAUUAAUAGGAGUAUUUUACACUCUUUUUUUAUCAUCUAGUCAUUUUGAAAAUGUUAAGCUGAUUUAUCUAUUCAAUUGAAUUUCUUCACGAUCAAGUUGCAUAAUAUGUGUGUGUAUAUAGAGAAAUAUAUUUAUACAUGUAUCAGAGCUUAACAAAUAUUGUACCAUCACCAUGAGAAACCUUUUCAAUCGGUGAAAUUUUUCAAUGUCUUUCUUGGAGAGUUCCUACAACCCCUUUAUCAAAGUAAAUGCUAUGCCACUUUCAUAGGAGACUCCUAAUUUUUCAAUAUCUUUCUCUGAGAGUUCCUCCAACCCUUUUAUCAAAGUAAAUGCUAUGCCACUAUCAUAAGAAACUCCAAAAUUUUCAAUGUCUUUUCAAUGUCUUUCCUAGAGAGUUCCUACAACUCCUUUAUCAAAGUAAAUGCUACACAACUUUCUUAGGAAACUCCUCUCAAUGUCUUUUCAAUGUCUUUCCUAGAGAGUUCCUACAACUCCUUUAUCAAAGUAAAUGCUACACCACUUUCUUAGGAAACUCCUCUCAAUGUUUUCAAUGUCUUUCCUAGAGAGUUCCUACAACUCCUUUAUCAAAGUAAAUGCUAUACCACUUUCAUAGGAAACUCCUCUCUCUCUCUCUCUCUCUCUCUCUCUCUCUCUCUCUCUCUCUCUCUAUGAAAAAUUGACAAGUGCCUUUUGAGUAUGCAUUUAGAAAGAUCCAAUUACGUGAAUUUCAUAAGGUCUCCACAUUUUUUAACUAUUUGUCAGUGUAAACCGUUGGAUUGACAUUGAUAAAAUUGUCGUGUUUAAAGCCACUAGAUCAUAUUGAAGUGCGAAAGAUGAGGAAAAUUUUUAUGGUAUACCUAUUGUAAUGUUACGACAUUAUGACACAUAGGGUAGUUAAGUACUAAAACAUUAUAAUAGCACAUUCUAUGACGAUCAAGUACAAAGUGGUGUGAAACAAAAGUGUGCAACUGAAGAUUUUCUAAAGAUGAAUGGAAUCAACAAUGAUGGAAGUUUCGCGGGAAAAAGAUGAGCUGAGUAAGGAAUGGGUCCGUUGCCUCGUGACUUACUUUUUUUCACUCACCCACUUUGAUGACCAAAAAGGAGCCUGAGUCCUGCUUUUUUAUCAACAUGAGAAGAGAAACAAAAAAGUGAGAGCAUUUACACUUCUUGUGGACCUCCAGAUGUUUGUGUUCCUAGGUCGGUUGGAAAUUGGAAUCUAAAAGAAAAACCAAAUAUAUUUGUACAUUUCUCUAAUAAAUUUUUUUUAUUCUUUUUGGCCCAAAUGAUCAAAUAAUAAUUGAGAGAUAUAUGAUUUGUCAAAUAAUACAAAUGGUGAUACGAAAGUUAAAUGUAUUUUAGGUCUCAUACUAAUUACGUUCACAAAAAUUGUAGAUUCAUUUUAGAAAUUAUAUUCAUAUGUUUAAAUAUCAUGAAAACAAGUUUGAGUUGGAGCCAUUUGCGCACGUUCCCAAAAGCCUAAACUUAAUCAAUUUAUUAAAUUGCAGCGUAUUUGAUGUGCUUUCAAGUGGCGAUCCUCUAUGAUGAUGCAUAUGAGUUUCAAAAAGUUAUCAUAUGUUCACUCUCGUUGCAAUUGCACCCACUGAAACUAAAAUUGAUUUGAGAAAAUUCUUCAAAUUUUAUCCUCACUAUCAUUUGAAUGAUUUAGAGAACGAGAAUACAGAAAAUCAUUUUCACUUUUUGGCUUCAAGAAUAAAAUACAUGUUUUCUCUUUUCACCAUUUUCGUUCUCAUCUAAAAAAGCGGCUCCCCACAGGAUGCUUUUCUUUAACUCCCUUCUUUUCAUAUUCAUUCACUUUGGACACAAAUUUAUCAUUUAUUGGAGCAUUUCCAUGACUUUUUUGAAAGUUAAAGCUUUUUCCAAUGCUAAAGGGAUUAUUCUUCUCAAUCUAUUGCUCCAGGAAAACUUCCUGUUGAAGAUUUUCUUCUCAUUGUUCUUUAUUCUUUUCAAUUCAUAGCUCCAAGAAGCUUCAAAGAAAUUUUCUAUUCAAGAUUUUCUUUUCAUUGUCUUUUUUCUUUUCAAUCCAUAGCUCUAGGAGGCUUCAAAGAAAUUUCCUGUUCAAAAUUUUCUUUUCUUAUUCUUUUCAAUCCAUAGCUCUAGCAAGCUUCAGAGAAAUUUCCUAUUCAAGAUUUUCUUUUCAUUGUCCUUUAUAAUGUAAGACAAUUUAGUUAAGAAAUUCUAAUGCUAUUAAAUAAUAAUGAUGGGUAUAUUAAUUCCCUUUAAUUUGCCAAGAAGACAAACAAUUUGUUAUGUGACUUCAGUAAUUUCCCACUUGCUAACAUGAUCAUCCAAAAAGGAUUGGUUAAAAGAUUCUUUUUGAUUAGCGAGAUAAUUUUUUUUUUCAUUGCUCUUAUUAAUAGACACAAAUAGUAUAUGAAGAGACUAAAGUCUCACAAUAGAGAAAUAUGAUAUACUGGGAACAGGAUAUAUGAUUGAAAAUAAAACCAAACUUGUAUUGUUUAGUUCCAAUUUCUAUAGAAAAGUUUCCUACCAAUCAUGUUUUCGCAAAAACAGAUUCCAAUGAACUACUAACAGUUUUUUUUUUAACAAAAUGGGCCAUAAGUGAACUUGAUUUUCUAGUUACUUCUAAUGAAAGUGUUAUCACUUAAAAAUACUAUUCAUGAAAAUUACUUUAAAAAAUAAUUAUUUGUAAAAUCAUACUUAUUAUCUAGGGUCAUGCGAGGGCUAGAACCUUUAUGGUCAUGGUGGCGGGGCUCAUCUCCAUCGCGAGUAGUGACUUUCAUAAAAAGAGACACGCAACCAUAGAGUUCAUGACCUCCGUUGAUUCGCACCAGCAGUCAUCUAUAGUCACAGGAAGCCACGACCUUCAUGGCCGAACGAAGUUCAUUUUGGUUUUCGUUUCAGCAAAUGACAUUGUAAGGGAUAUCUAGUUCGAUAUGUUUAUGAUGAAAAAGCCCAUUUGUUAUUGAUAAGCCCACCUAAGAUGCCAAACCUGGCCUAAUUAGGUGAACCCAAUACAUGUUGUAGGGAUUAAAACAAGAGAUGGCAUUUUCAGACUAAGGCGUAUUAAUAAUAUUGCCUUAAAGAUAGUGAUUUAUUCAAUAGGAUUCAUGAUCCAAUUUAGUCGAAUCCAAUGGAAAUCUUAACCCCAGAUACAAUGCCUAGACUCUAAUUUUGCUCGCUUAGUCCAUGUGGCAAGCAAAUGAUGAAUAUGAUUCAAGCCUUGAAGAGACAGUCAUUAUAGAGAAAGCAUGAGAGAGACGAGGAGGAGAAGAAAGAACAUACGAUAGAGAAAUGUUGAUGAUCUCUUGUUCCCGUCUUUUCUAGAAGAUGCCCCUAGAUAAGUAGACAAAGGAAACUACACAUGUAACGAAUCCAAUGGAAAUCUUAACCCCGGAUACGAUGCCUAGACUCUAAUUUUGCUUGCUUAGUCCAUGUGACAAGCAAAGGAUGAAUAUGAUUCAAGCCUUGAAGAGACAGUCAUUAUAGAGAAAGCAUGAGAGAGACGAGGAGGAGAAGAAGGAACAUACGAUAGAGAAAUGUUGAUGAUCUCUUGUUCCCGUCUUUUCUAGAAGAUGCCCUUACAUAAGUAGACAAAGGAAACUACACAUGUAACAUUGGACGCAUCUAUUCAUUGAUGAUAUUUGAAAUCUAAUUUAAAUGAAUGUUAAGUUUUAAACAGUAAUAAUCUAACUGAUGGAUAAGAAUUAAAAGACAAGACAACUAGUGAGCAAUUUUGGCCCUGAAGUUUUAAUUUAUUCAAUGUGCCCCUUGAACUUUUAAUUUGUUCAAUGUAGUUCUUGAACUUUUAGUACAUAUUCAAUACAUUCCUUGAAUUGUAUGAAAAGAUUCAAUAUAGUCAUUCCAUUAAUUUAAGACCAAAGGCUACAUUGAAUAUUUUCAUAUAAUUUAUGAAUUAUAUUGAACAAGUACCGAAAGUUCAUGGACCAUAUUGCACAUUGGGCUAAAGUUCAUGGGCUAUAUUGAACAUAUUAAAAGUUCAUGGACCAAAUUAUAUAUUUGGCCAAAGUUUAUGGAUUGUUUGUAUCAUUUUCCCUAAAACAAAUCCAAAACAAUCUCUCACUAUUUUUCUAAGGAGGAAUUAUUACAAAGCAAACAUUGACUUCCAAUACGAUGUAUGAACCAUAAGGAUAUGUGGUGAAGCAAAGUGUAGUAGUUGAUAGGAGAAACUUUGAUCUCAGAAUUACUAAUUUUGGCUCCGUUUGUUUCAAGAAAAAUAAAUGAUUUAGAGGAUUUUUUUUUCUAAAAAUAGUCACUUGUAUCGUUUACAUAAAUGAAUGAACGGAAUUACCUUUAAUGUUAAUGAAAAUGUUUAGACAUAACUUGUUGUCAAUAAUGAAAAUAUAUUUCAUUAAUUAAUUGUUUCAAACGAGACAAGCAAUCAUUUUUAGGAAAAUAUUGUCCAAAAAUCAUUCAUUUUUAGGGCAAUGCGUUAUAAAUCAUGCACUUACCCCAGCUUAGUGAGAGCUUUAGAGCAUAACCAUAGCUCAUAAGAAGUAGCCCUGACUUCCACAUUAGCAAAGGUAAAUCCCAUCAGGAGCAUUUGCAACCACCAUGUUCGAUCCACUGUUUGUUAAGAUUAGUUCGAUCCUACUUUAUGGCAAAUAAAACAAUGCACAUUUUGAGAUGGAAUUUUUCCUAUUAAAAAUUGUGGCCCUACUAGUUGCAAAGUAACGUGCACUUAAAAUAUAACCUCAAUGCUAACAUUUGAUAGAUUGCAAUUGACUAAAAAAAUUUCAAACUCGUACGUAAUGCAAAUGUAGAGUAGGCUACAUCCAAUGGAUCCUUAAAUAUUGGUACUAAUCACAUCUCCUUCAAAGCUCUUGAUUCCUCUACACGAGUUGAUCUCUUAGUAAGAGGAUUGCCGGGAAAAUUGUUCAAAAAAUCUUAAACUUAUUAUAUGACGGCCAUUUCAACCUUAAACUUACAAAUAUGUAUAUACCAUACAUUUUUAACUUUGUCGUUAACACACAUUUAGAACCUAUAAUUAUAGUGUUAGGAGGAAGAUUAGCUAAUGACCAUAUACUAUCUUGCUUAAUAUAUUUUAUCUCAACUAGGGGUAAGUGGUCCUACGGUUAGUUUAGGUUUUACUUGGAACCUCCAACCUGUUGGAACUGAUUCCCCGAUUUUUAAAACCUAGAACCUACCUUACAUACCUUGGAGCCUUAAACUUGCCCUCUCACAAGUUUUAGGAUCAAUUUCAUGGUCUGUCUAGGUUCUACCUUUAUUUUUUAUUAAACAAUUUCAGUCAAUUAUCACAUCUAAUAUACAAAUCAUAACUCAUAUCUAGAUACACGAAUAAUAUGAAAUAUUAACAACGCAAAAGUCUCACUCAUAGAUAUCAUAGGAAAUUGAAGCUUAUACUAGUGAUUUCAAAUUACACAAUUAUCAUCAGACACAAUGGAAUACUGUAGGAUUUUGCAAAGAACAAGAAAAACAAAAAGACUUGUUCCCAUGUAGUUUUAGUAAUGAAGCAAUUUGGCUAAAAUCAUACUUGACAACUAAUGAAUAAUGUCUAUUGUGUAAAGCACGCCCCAUAUGCUUUCAAAACAAUUUAAGAUUAGAUACGAAUCUAUAUGAUUUAAUUCAAGCAUUUUUACCAAAUAAGAUUGAAAAAAAGAUUUUAGGCAUUUCAAACUCAAAUUCUAACCUAAGUUCAGUCUAAACUAAUAUUAGAUGUUUGAAAUCAGGAAAGCAAACUCAAAUAGAUCAUGUUUCUAUUUCUACAGAGGAUUCAAAGUCUCAAUCACUCUUAACUGGAAACAGAACCUUUCGAAACAAAAGCAUUACGACCGGAUUAGGCCAAAUGANNNNNNNNNNNNNNNNNNNNNNNNNNNNNNNNNNNNNNNNNNNNNNNNNNNNNNNNNNNNNNNNNNNNNNNNNNNNNNNNNNNNNNNNNNNNNNNNNNNNAGGUAAAAGACUACAUUAAGGAAAAAACGAAUAGAGAGAUGACCAAAUCACACAAACAAUAACACUUACUAAAUCUGUACUUAACCCAACUUAAAGAAAAGAAAGCGAGCUAGUCAUCACAAAUGAAUGGAGGUCUCAUUUAUCAUAGCAAACGACACAUAAGAAGUCAAUAUUCAGUUAAAAGAAUAAGAAGAAGAAAAGACCUCACAAGAAAUUAUAAGAAAAACCCAAUCUUCAAAAAUGUGCACCAAACGUAUAUGUGGAAAAAGCAUGGCCCAACAACUCAUAGAUGUCAUGUUUUCUCGGAAAGUGCCCUGUCAAACACUAUGGUUUUGCAAUUUUAUUGUUGCAUUGAUGUUUUGAAAGGAGUGUCCUCAACAAAAUUUUAUAUAUAUCUUUUGUUCAUUUCGACAAAAAAAAGAGAUGAAAAAAAAAGAUAUAUAUCCUAUAUCAACUUCCAAAAAACUGUUGUUCAAUUAUGUCUUAAAAUAAGGCAAGAAAACAAUUAACCGGAUCAGCUCUUCUGCUAAUAACUGCCCCAAAUUUGGCGCAUCAAUUUUCAUCUCAAAAAGGAAAAAAGAAAAAGAAGAGAAGAUGGACUCAACAUUCACAUAGCGGAAAUUCUUACCUUGUUGCUCUCAAGCACAUGUUUGGCUUCCUCCUUAAUCCAUAACCGACUACGUUCUCCAGGCUGGCUUUUAUUUUCUAAGCGAACAAUUUCCCUUCCAAGAUCUCUCAGUUGAUCAUGCAUCAUUAGCUUGCCAUCUUCGCCAAUUUUAAUUAGGGACAUAAGACUUAAUACUUCAAUCCCUUUCCCCGGGUAAAAACCACAGGCAUCCCACAUAUAAGUUGGAUUAUGUUUAGAUGAUCCAAUGAAAAAACAUGCAAUAUCCAAAAAAAUCUGUUGGUCUUCAUAUUCUAAUGCUUCGUAACNNNNNNNNNNNNNNNNNNNNNNNNNNNNNNNNNNNNNNNNNNNNNNNNNNNNNNNNNNNNNNNNNNNNNNNNNNNNNNNNNNNNNNNNNNNNNNNNNNNNACAUUUUUUCUCUUCCUAAACUACCCUCAUUAAUUUUUCAUAUUUCCGUUAUUGCCUCUGUAUUUAUUUAUUUUUUAAAUGAAAAAGGAGCAGCCCUUCGCCGAACCGGCGAAGGGCGACGGCGAGUUAGAUCUGGCGCCAACGGCCAUCGGCUAAGGUCGCCCGAGGUCGGGCGACCUUCGGCGAGGGUCGCGCAACCCAGCUGAGGGUCGCCGGACCUCAGGCGACCCUCGGCAAGGGUUGCUCGACCCAGGGGCCGCGCAACCUAGGUGACCAUUGCUUGGGUCUCGCGACCGCAGGUGGCCCUCGCCUGGGUCUCGCGAGGGUCACACGACCUAAGCGGCGAUCGCCUGGGUCGCACAACCCAGGUGAUGGUCGCCUGGGUCGCGCGGCCCCUGAGUCGAGUGACCCUGGUCGCCCGAGGUCGGGCGACCUCAGCUGAAGGCCUCCAGUGCCAGAUCUGGCUCGCCGGCGGCCGCAGCCCUUCCCGGACUGGCGAAGGGUUUAGCUGAAUUUUCAAAAAAAAGAAAAAGAAAAGAAAAGAAAAGAAAAGAAAUAUAUAUAUAUAUAUAUAUAUAUAUAUAUAUAUGUAUUAUAUCCAUCAAAACUCCUUGCGAAAGUUUUCUUUACCAAACGCACAUUCAACUCAAAGUUCAUUUGCAAAUUUUUUUUACCAAACACAAUUUCAUUUUCCUCAAGUAGCUUUGGGUUUUCAACAUUUGCAUUGGACUCAAAGUCCAUUGCAAAUGUUGAACCAAACGCAGCCCACGUCCUAUGCUCUUGUGAAUCGGAGACAAACAAUAACUGAUGGCAAGUGGCGUCUGACAACAAUGAAGAGACUCUCAAAAAAGCUUUUCCAACUCUCUCUCUCUCUCUCUGACAAUGAAGAGAUUCUCAAAGAAGUUUUUCAAACUCUCUCUCUCUCUCUUGACUCCCCUCAGAGUGGAAAGGUUUCUUUUCUUUCGCUACAUCCAAGCCUCACCAUGUUUGGAUAUGCCAAUUUCUAUUUUAGGGUUUAGUAGGUUCUCAAUCUAGUUCUCUAAUUCUUAAUUCCCGAUCUACCGAGGAAUUAAACCACAUAAUGCAGGUUCAAAAUAAUAUGGAAUUGGGAAUUGGACGGGAUCUCCCCAGAACCUGGAAUUAGAACGGUUCCCAUUGGUUCUCCGAUUCCUUAUUCUACUUUAAAAUCAUGCUCAUCCCUAAUCUCAACAUCCAUUGCCAUUGUCCAAAUAUGAACAUCUGGUCUAGACUUAGCAUCAUUAUAACUCUUUGGAUGAUCUACCAAAACAAUCCCAUAAAUGGUCCAAAGGCUUUUCUUACUCAUUUAGUUAUCAAAUGCUAAACAUACUUCGCCAGCUAAAUUUGCUUAAUAAAUUGAUGUGGCAAAUUCCUCCUAAGUGAUUUGAUGCUUAGAGAACUUAAAUUCUAACGUUAGAAAACUGUCAAGUUUUAAAUAGCAAUAAACUCAUAGAUAAGAGCUAAAAGACUAGAUAAUUACUAAAUAAUCUGAAACUCUUGGUCACACCAAUAUUUUUUUAAAAGAAUUUGAAAUAUUGACAUUUGAUCUUAAUUGCCAAAUACAGAGAAAAUUACCCAAAAAAAAUCCCAUACCUACCCUAUGGUGGUUAGUUUAGUUGUAAACUUUUCAAUUACAUAAUGUAGUCCUAAACCUUAUGAUGAUUUUACACUAUAGUCAUUUCGACCAAUUUUGGAUAGACAUUGCUAAUGUGAUGAGUCAAUGUUUGUCAUCCUAUAUGAUGUGACUGACACUGACAUGAACAAUUUUUUUUUUUAAAUAUAUUUUCCUUUUUUCUUUUUUCUUUUUUUCCUUUUUUGCUAGUGGCUGAUAUUAGGUGAUGGCCAACAAGGGCUAGAACAAAGGGCCACGACCCUCAUUAGAUGUUGACAUGGCUUUGCAAACCCCCCAUUUAUGGGCAAAGGAAAUUGGCCGGGCCGUUGUGGGCCCCACCCCCCCCCCCCCCCCCCCACAAAAGUAAAGAGAAAAAAGAAAACGAAACAAAAAUAAAAAUAAAUUAUAAAAAUUAUUAACGUCAGCACCAGUUGUCCUAGGCCAUGCCAUAUAAGACAGUCCACACCGCUAUAGCGAUUUUCAGCUAGAAUUAGCCAAACUACUACAUUGGUAAAUUGUCAAAAGGUUUAAAAUUAAAUCGGCACAAUUAAAAAAUAUGAUUGAAUUCACAUUCAUAUAAUAGGUUUGGGAUUCUUUUUAGUAAUUUUCCCCAAAUACAAAAGGAUUCAUGUGUAUUGUUUGCCAUAAAUCUAAUAAAAAUUAAUUUAGUUUUUAAAUUUUUGAAGUAAUUGAUGGUAACGUUUAUAUUUUUGAGAAAAUUUGAAGUGGUCAAUAUUAAGGUAACAAAAAAGUACGUCAAAUAGAUGGGUCAAGUCGGACUGAAAAAUGAUCUAACCCAAAUUGAUCUAUUUAAAUUGUUUUUACCCAUUUCCAUCAAUAAAAAUAUAAGGAUAUACACCCAACCUAACUUAUAUUCGAUUCAACCCAUAUUGCAAAAAUACUUAUAUAUUUAAUUCAAUCUAGAAAAAAAUCAUACUUAAACUAAGGUGAGAGCACAAAGUAAGCGAGCGUGAGAUUGAGUGAGAACGUGAGAGUAAAGAGACAAUUAUAGAGGUGAAUUAGGUCUAUAUAAGUAAUGCACUUAUUUAACACCCAUAUUAUUUUAGACCUUACCAUUCUAAACUGAUUUAUGACCUAUUGCUAAAUAUAAGUAAUCCACAUAACAACUCAGCAAUCAAAUAUUGAUUAAGAAAUAAGUCUAUGACCUAUUUUGACAAGUCUUGUUAAUGGUAAAGAUCAUGACUAUUUAAGCGCUUACCACUGUCAAAUCAAGAUGUUGAUCACUUCGGAGAUAACCAUUUCCCUCAUACCUUUCUCUAUUGGGUUCUUUCUCUCCCCCUUGGGUAUGAGAAAUUUUAUCUGGCCCAACACCAUAACUUUUAUUUCGGUCUAUAUUCACAUUAAGUCUACAUUUAUCAUGGCGUGAUAACUAAGGACACGAUGAUUUAUAUUUUCUAAUCAAAUAAGUCUUCGUCUUCAUAUGUCUAAAUAAUCAACAAAAGUAUACUAGAAAUUUCACACCCAUCGCAUGUGACGUUCGCUUUGUAAUUCCUUCCAAUCACAUGGGCCCAACCACUGGACUCGACCUCCAAGGCUAAACCCAAAUGAAAAAUUGUUGGACAGACCUAGGUAGGCCCAUUAGGGCCCAUGGGCUUGAUCAGGACUAAGAAAAAAAGAAAAGAAUAAAAAAGCAAAAUGGCCCAUCAUCUCAUGGGGCCAUGUUUGGGCAUGGGCCAAACAAAGACAACAAAAUUGUUGGGCCAAGAUAGGCCCAUGGGCUUGACCGAGCCUAGGAACAAAGUAGGACAUGGCCCGCCAUCUAACGGGCCAUGCCCUAGCAUGGGCCCAAUCGUGCUUGGUCAACACGGCCCACUAACGAUCCCUAUCCACAAGAAAGGAAGUUGCAUCUGCAUAAAUUCAUUCAUCCAAGACAAAUUUCACUUUGCGUUCACAUUUCAUUAACACAAUACCGAUUAGCAAAAAUGCUGGAACACGGAACACUCUAGAUAAAAAGACGAUGAUAACAUAUCGAAGCAAAUUUUCCAUAAAUUUGAUAUCUCGAAAUUUGCAAUAUGUACAGUUAAUGUGGAUCGUUCCAACGACUGUGAUAAACCAAAGCUAAAAAAUAUCUUUUUAAAGAAGAAAACUUCAACUUCAUGCUACGACUUCCCUUAGCAACUUCACCGGCAGCAACUGAUUCGGAGACACCGGCAGCCUCGCCGGGGACUCCUCGUUUGACUCCCGAUCUGAUUGCCCUUGAAGUUGAGUGCGUAGCUCUUCGGAUCAUACCCGAACUAUGUCACCGCAUCGCGGCCCUACCUUUGACACUUCCCAAUCCGAGCAAUGAGGCUUCGAAGCUUAUGCCGGAUCUCUGGCAAUGAGAGCUCUCAAGUUGUGGAGUAGAGCCACAAGUAGGAUGACCGGGCCACUUUGUGGCCACCGCUGCAGCUAUCACGGUCCGAGAAGGCGGCCUCUUGGUAGGCGGCAGCGUCCCGGAAGCAAUAGAAGAGGAGACGCGGGGAGGAUGAGGUCGCGGGUUUUUAUAGGGUGGACGCGGGAUAAGGACGGGGAUAAAAUGGAGGGACUCGGUGUUUUGAGUCAAUCCCUCCUUUGACGUUUCGUCUUACUUUCCCUAACUUUAAUUUUUGGGCAAUUUAGUAAUUAAGUUAAAGUCAAGAGACCACAAAAUAAUUACAGGUGACGUUAUUUCCACCUCUUAAAUGAUUAAAUCUGACCUACUGCUAUUGAAAAGGCAAAAUUGCAUUUAUUCAUUUUAUUGCAAUUUAUAAGUGGUGGCUUUGCUUUCCUUUUCUUUAGCUUUGCUGUUUUUAUGUAGGAUUUUGUUACCAUAAUGACAAAGUUUCCAUGUAUAUUAAGGGUAUGAUUUUCUUAAUUGUUAGAUUUUAUUUCCAUAAAAAUAAGUUUUGUCGAAAUGAGAAAUACCAAAAAAAAAAAAAAAAUCUAUUUCUUGGUUACACCGUUGAUAAAAUUUAUGGAUAAAUUGUUAAGUAAAAUCUAAAAAUAAAUUAAUAUGGACAAUUUGUUUAGCACAAUCAUUUGUUUACAAAUUUUUUGCUCUUGAUGUGUAUAUUACCAUCAAAUCGCAUCUUAUCAAUUUUAUUAUAUAUAAUGGAAUGCUCCAAAAAAAAAUCUUUGAUGAUUUUCCAAAAAUAAUAUCACAAUUACAUUCUCCAAUGUGAAACUUGUCAGGCUAACAUAUAAUUCACGAAAUAAAUUAGACUAAAGAUACGUUUAAUAACCAUUCCGUUCUCGAAAAUAAUUUAUAUUCAUAAUUUAUUUUUUCAAAUGCUUGGACAAGUUUCUAACUAGAAGAACGUGUACAUUUGAUAUGACCCUAACAAUUUCUAUUUUCAUUUUUUUAAAUUUAAUUAUAAAAAUAUUAAUGGAGAGUUAAAGAUUCGUGUUUGAAUAAAAAUUUGUUGAGCCUAGGCUGGUCCAUGAGGACCCAUGGGCCUGACCCGGCCUAGGCACAAAACGGACACGGCCAGCCACCUUAACAGGCCGUAUCGUGGCCUGGGCCCAAGCGUGUUGUACUCGGGUCAGUACGGCGCGCUACCAAUCUCUUUCCGCAAGAAAAGAAGACGCAGCCAUGUUAUCUGUAAAACUAAGAUUCGCUUCUUGUCGGUUCACGUUUCAAUUUUUCAAUUUUUUUUUUGGUUGAAGGUUCGCAUUUCGAUGAGGUAAGGCCGAUCAGGAAAAAUGCUCGACCGGGGGAUCAACAAUCCACACGAAAAGCGAAAGCGAAAUGGAGAUGACGACAAUGACGACAUAUUGAAGCAGAUCUUCCACAAAUUUGAGAUCUCGAAGCUUUACAGAUAUGUACAAGCGCUACGGAUCGCUCCAAGGACUGUUGAUAUAGCCCAGCUUGUCGAUCCAAAUCAAUAAAAGAUGCUUUUUUUCCAGAGGAAAGGACUUCAACUACAAGCUACGACUUCACCGGCAACAACCGAUCCGGAGACAGCGGCAGCCUCGCCGAGAAGUUCCUUGCUGGGAACUCCUCGUCCGACUCCCUGCUCCGGUCGUCCUCGAAGUUGAGCGCGUAGCUCAUCGGGUCGUACCCGAACUCCGAGGAGGCCGCCGCAGCCGCCGCCGCAUGGCCCGGCCUCCACCGGCACCUCCCGAUCCGAGCGAUGAGGCUACGGCACCUAUACCGGAUCUCCGGCAGCGGGAGCUCCAGGGCCGCUGAGCAGACCUUGCGGGGGUGGCCACCGUCGUCGCAGUCCGAGGAGGCGGUCUCGUGGUAGGCGGCGGCGGCGGGAGAGUGGCCAUCAUGGAAGCAGCAGAAGAGGAGGCUGGGGGAGGAGGAUGAUCCGAGCUUGUGAUGGAACAACAUUUAGACGGCGAGAGCGACGGGACUCGGAAUCUUGGUCUGGUCCGGUCUGGUGUCUGGUCUGCGCAAGAGCGUGAAGAGGGUGAAGAGAGGGGAUGACGAUGAUGAGGAAGACGAUGGAGAAGAGGAUGAGAUUGGAGGGUUUAUUUAUAGCGUGGACGGAUAAGGACGGGGGCGUGUGGCGGCAGAGCAGAGUGGCGUGGUGGUGGUAGGGCUGGGAGUGAGGAUGAGGAAAACCGCGGGUGGUUCGUGGUGGGCAAGUGGGGAAGCGGUUUUUUGCGUUACUCCCGCGUGAGGUUUCAAUCUUACUUUUCUUUAACUUUAUCGUUGUGCAGUCAGGUAAUUAUGCGGAAGUCGAGGGCCCACAUAGCUGCUCUUCCUUUUCAAUUUUAAUAUCCCUCUUUUGUUUUGCGAAAGAUGAAUUUAAAUGACAUUUUUAAGGGUUUUAUUAUACGAUCAUAUAUAUAAUAAACUGCGAGAGUAAAGGGCCAAGAACGGAANNNNNNNNNNNNNNNNNNNNNNNNNNNNNNNNNNNNNNNNNNNNNNNNNNNNNNNNNNNNNNNNNNNNNNNNNNNNNNNNNNNNNNNNNNNNNNNNNNNNAUAAGAGAUAUCCUCAUAACCACUCGGAGGAAAAUCGUUUCGAAAUGCGUGUCUACUAAAUAAAAUCAACGAUUUAUCCAAAGGCAACUUUUCGAGUUCAUAUAAGUGGCAAACCCCAACCUUCUUAAGAAUACUCUUGUUUCUAGUUGUGAUGAUGACUAUACUUCCUGCCUUAAAGGAAAUACCGUCUUCGAUCAAAGCAUCCAAAUGAGUAUCAUCAUCAAUAUCAUCUAAAAGAGUGAGGACUUUCUUACUUGUACAUCGAGAUCUGAGUACAUGGAUUCCGUCAUCAACAUUAGACACGUCCCACGAUGUUCCUAUUAUGCCAGAAAUGAGCUGCUUUUGUAGACACUCAAUACCCUUGUGCUUAGCUGUUUCUCGAAUAUUUGCCACAAAGGUACGAUUCUCAAAAUGGCUGGAUAGCUUGUUGUAUAACACAUUUGCAAGAGUUGUCUUACCGAUACCGCCCAUUCCAUAAAUUCCAAUGAUUUGUGUACCAUUGAAAUUAACAUCUAUCUCGCUCAUAAUCUGUUCCACACGAUCAUCAGUUCCCACCAACUGUUUGGGAACACUUAGGUGAAAAAGUCUUUUUAGCUCACUCAUAACUCUUCUAACAAUCCUUUUGACUAAUACUGCUUCAUGCCUGUCAAAAAACAAUAUAAAAUUUCAAUAUUGUUUAUAUGCCUUUUCAAGUUAGAUCUAUUUAUGAAAAGCUGAACAAAUUAUUGGGUGGAGAAUAAUGUACCCAUCAUCAAUUUUCUCCGAUUCCCAUCCUUUCAAGAAACUAACUUCUUUAAGUGCAUCUUCCCAUUCCUUCACAACCAUUUGGUCCAACUUCUUAUUAUGUGCGUUAACAGCAUCUCCAAAUCUCCCCUUGAGAUGUCGCACCUGUGAGGGUUCCACUUUGUAAAAUAUGGGCAACACGACUUGCUCUCCACUUCUCUUGCACUUCAACAUCUGAGCCAGCUCUUGAAGGCACCAUUUGCUGGAAGCGUAAUCCUCAGAUAUAAUCGGGAUGGAAAUCUUAGACUGCAUGAUACUGCGGAGAAGCUCCGGACCAAUCUCAUCACCAACUCGGAGCUCAUCGUUGUCUCUAUACACGCGAAUUCCUGCAUUAUCGAGGUUCAUAUAGAGGUGAUCGGUGAAGCCUUUACGAGUGUCUUCCCCUCUAAAGCUCAAGAACACUUCGUAUUCACUUUCUUCUUUCAGCCUUUUGGUUCCACCAUCAUCACCUACGUGUGGAGAGGUCGACGACGAAGACGCUCUGUAUGGCAGAUCUUCUGAAUGAGGAGGCUCUUUUCUGAUCAUCUCGAGAGAGAUGGAGUGGAGCCUCAAAAGAAGAGGAGUAUGGAAUCCUAGAUCUAGGAAUUGCAGAAAUGUCUCUCAGAACUCAAUUGAGAGCUACAUUCAAACAAAAACAAAAGCUCUCAUACAAGUCAUCAAAAGAAAAGGGAAAUAAAAACAAGAAAGAGAGAAGAGGAGAAGAGCAAGUAGUCACCGAUUACCUGAGGAGUGCUUAAACAACACAAUCCACACACUGCUGCGAUCUCCACCGAUUCUCACCUUCGACGUUGGAUUACCCACACGCAACCCUCUUUAUUGUGCGUGCUUGAACGAUGCUGAGUUAUGACCAUCCAACGGUCCAAGACUCUUUAUGCUAAUUGAACGGCUGCGAUGCAUGCUGUACGGAAAGGACAAUUAUUGCAGGCGUAAUUUCCGUAGCACCGCGCAGAAGGUGCGUGGGAUGAGCGACGCGGACACGCUCACACGCAAUGCUCUCCAGCAAGGCAAGGCUUGACUUUGACUUGCUUUUUCUGUUAACAAUAAAAAUAGAAAAGAAAACUGACGAGCAACAGUCACAUGCUCCCGGUGCUAAAUUAUGUGAGUCAAUGACGAAAACAUAUCAAUCGCGGAUUAAAUCAGAUUUUGUUGAAAUAAAUGUCCGUGUGACGCUUUUUAUUCAAAUAGGGAAAGUUUAUUAUUUUCAAUCAGCAAUCUGCUUUUCAUUAAGGAGAUUACUCUAAAAUAGUAAAUCACUAGAUAAAUCUCUCCCAAAAAUAAUUUUGUCAAAUUAAAUUUCUCCAUACCACGUCAUAUAUCUAAAAAUUAUGUAGCCAUCCCUCCUCCCUCACGGCACUUUUAUCCCUCUCCUUAUAUUAAUAAAUUUUUAUGCUCUAUAUCCUUUGAGUCGCAUUAGAAAUUCUUGGCCAAUGAAUACUCCACAAUCGAACAUUUAUUUAGUCAUCCCGUUUUACUUUCUUUUUUUUAUUUUUUGCUUUUUUCUGUGGUCAAGUGGAAAUAGAUGCUAUUGAUUUGUUUUAGCAAUGUCUAGAGAAAGAUAUGGUGGCAAUUUUUAGUAGGAAAACGUUAAUAGGAGUAUUUUACACUCUUUUUAUCAUCUAGUCAUUUUGAAAAUGUUAAGCUAAUUUAUCUAUUCAAUUCAAUUUCUUCACAAUCAAGUUGCAUAAUAUGUGUGUGUAUAUAGAGAAAUAUAUUUAUAUAUGAAUCACAGCUUAACAAAUAUCCUUUUCAAUGGGUGAAAUUUUUCAAUGUCUUUCUUGGAGAGUUCCUACAACCCCUUUAUCAAAGUAAAUGCUAUGCCACUUUCAUAGGAAACUCCAAAUUUUUCAAUGUCUUUAAUGUCUUUCUUGGAGAGUUCCUACAACCCCUUUAUCAAAGUAAAUGCUAUGCCACUUUCAUAGGAAACUCCAAAAUUUUCAAUGUCUUUAAUGUCUUUCUUGGAGAGUUCCUACAACCCCUUUAUCAAAGUAAAUGAUAUGCCAUUUCAAUGUCUUUUCAAUGUCUUUCUUGGAGAGUUCCUACAACCCCUUUAUCAAAGGAAAUGCUAUGCCACUUUCAUAGGAAACUCCUCUCUCUCUCUCUCUCUCUCUCUCCUCUUGAGUGCCUCUUGAGUAUGCAUUUAGAAAGAUCCAAUUACGUGAAUCUCAUAAGGUCCCCACAUUUUUUAACUAUUUGUCAGUAUAUUGACAUUGAUAAAAUUGUUGUGUUUAAAGCUAUUGGAUCGUAAUGAAGUGCGAAAGAUGAGGAAAACUUUUAUGGUAUACCUAUUGUAAUGUUACGACAUUACGACACAUAGGGUAGUUAAGUACGAAAACAUCAUAAUAGCACAUUCUAUGACGAUCAAGUGCAAAGUGGUGCGAAACAAAAGUGUGCAACUGAAGAUUUUCUAAAGAUGAAUGGAAUCAACAAUGAUGGAAGUUUCGCAGGAAAAAGAUGAGCUGAGUAAGGCAUGGGUCCGUUGCCUUGUGACUUGCUUUUUUUCACUCACCCACUUUGAUGACCAAAAAGGAGCCUUCGUCCUGCUUUUUUAUCAACAGGAGAAGAGAAACAAAAAAGUGAGAGCAUUUACAAUUCUUGUGGACCUCCAAAUGAUUGUGUUCCUAGUGGAAAUUAGAAUCUAAAAGAAAAACUAAAUAUAUUUGUACAUCUCUCUAAUAAAAAAAUUAUUCUUUUUGACCCUAAUGCUCAAAUAAUAAUUGAGAGAUAUAUGAUUUGUCAAAUAAUACAAACGGUGAUACGAAAGUUAAAUGUAUUUUAGGUCUCAUACUAAUUACGUUCACAAAAAUUGUAGGUUCAUUUUAGAAAUUAGAAUCAUACGUUCAAAUAUCAUGAAAACAAGUUUGAGUUGGAGCUAUAUGCACACAUUCCAAAAGCCUAAACUUAAUCAAUUUAUUAAAUUUGUAGUGUAUUUGAUGUGCUUUCAAGUGGCAAUCCUCUACGCCGAUGCAUAUGAGUUUCAAAAAGUUAUCAUAUAUUUGCUCUCGUUGCAAUUACACCCACUGAAACUAAAAUUGAUUUGAGAAAAUUCUUUGAAUUUUCAUCCUCACUAUUAUUUGAAUGAUUUAGAGAAUUUUCAAACGAGAAUACAGAAAAACAUUUUCACUUUUUGGCUUCAAGAAUAAAAUACACGUUUUCCCUUUUCACCAUUUUCGUUCUCGUCUAAAAAAGCGGCUCAUGCUUUUCUUUAACUCCCUUCUUUUCAUAUUCAUUCACUUUGGACAUUUCCGUGACUUUUUUAAAAGUUAAAGCUUUUUCCAAUGCUAAAGGGAUUAUUCUUUUCAAUCCAUUGCUCCAGGAAGUUUCAAAGAAAUUUCCUGUUCAAGAUUUUUUCUCAUUGUUCUUUAUUCUUUUCAAUUCAUUGCUCCAAGAAGCUUCAAAGAAAUUUUCUAUUCAAGAUUUUCUUUGCAAUCCAUAGCUCUAGGAAGCUUCCAAGAAAUUUCCUGUUCAAAAUUUUCUUUUCUUAUUCUUUUCAAUCCGUAGCUCCAGCAAGCUUCAGAGAAAUUUCCUAUUCAAGAUUUUCUUUUCAUUGUCCUUUAUGAUGUAAGACAAUUUAGCUAAGAAAUUCUAAUGCUAUUAAAUAAUAACGAUGGGUAUAUUAAUUCUCUUUAAUUUGCCAAGAAGACAAACAAAUUGUUAUGUGGCUUCAGUAAUUUCCCACUUGCUAACAUGAUCAUCCAGAAAGGAUGGUUAAAAGAUUCUUUUUGAUUAGUGAGAUAAUUUUUUUCAUUGCUCUUAUUAAUAGACACAAAUAGUAUAUGAAGAGACUAAAGUCUCACAAUAUAAAAAUCUGAUAUACUGAGAACAGGAUAUAUUAUUGAAAAUUAAACCAAACUUGUAUUGUUUAGUUCCAAUUUCUAUAGAAAAGUUUCCUACCAAUCGUGUUUUCGCAAAAACAGAUUCCAAUGAACUACUAACGGUUUUUUUUUUUUUUUAACAAAACAGGCCGUAAGUGAACUUGAUUUUAUAGUUACUUCUAAUGAAAAUGUUAUUGCUUAAAAAUACUUUUCAUGAAAACUACUUUUAAAAAUAAUUAUUUGUAAAAUCAUAUUUAUUAUCUAGGGUCAUGCGAGGGCUAGAACCUUUAUGGUCAUGGUGGCGGGGCUCAUCUCCAUCGCGAGUACUGACUUUCAUAAAAAGAGACACGUAACCAUAGAGUUCAUGACCUCCGUUGAUUCGCUCCAACAGUCAUCUAUAGUCACAGGAAGCCAUAGGAAAAAGGUGUGAUUUUACGAAUUAUGAUUGAUAAGAUAUCCUUGUGCUCAAAAGCCCUUUUUGCUUUUUGCCACUAAAUGGUUUCUGAAUCAACAAUCUUUUUAAAAGUCCAUUUUCUCGUCUCAGCAAUUUGUCCUUUUCUUCUUUAUGUACUAAGAAAAAGGAACGUCAAUGUACCCACCGGUGGACAGCUGUGUUGGUUGGGCGUUUUCUCUUCUUCAAUAAGGUCAAGGAUUCAAAUUCUUGUGUUGUCAAUACAUGUCUUAAAUGGGAGGCCAUGACGACGUAUGACGGUGCCACCGGCACUAGCGAGCGGUGUGACCUUGAAGGGAUCUUAGGCGGAUCCUCGGUUACCUUAAAAAGAAAAGGAAAAAAAAGGAACGUCAUUGUGGUGGGCAAAGUUCAUUCAAAGGGAUCUACAUUGUUCAAUCGGUGCUAUCAAAUUUGCGUCACAACUCACCAGCGAUAGCGACGGGCCUAAGAAAUCCUUUAUCUUUGUGUCUAAGGAAUCAACACGAAGUGAUUAAAAAAACAAUAGUCAAACACAAUUCAUUGUACUUACGUGAUAAAACUUACGAAUUUAAGAUUGUGCAAAUUCAAAUGUUGCUUAGAAUAUUGUCAAUCAUAUUCGUUUGAGCAAAUGACAUUAUAAGAGGUAUCUAGUUCGGUAUGUUUAUAAUGAAAAAACCCAUUUGUUAUUGAUAAGCCCACCUAAGAUGUCAGACCUGGCCUAAUUAGGUGAACCCAAUACAUGUAGGGAUUAAAACAAGAGAUGGCAUUUUCGGACUAAGGCAUAUCAAUAAUAUUGCCUUAAAGAUAGUGAUUUAUUCAAUAGGAUUCACGAUCCAAUUCAGUCGAAUCCAAUGGAAAUCUUAACCCUAGAUACGAUGCCUAGACUCUCUAAUUUUGCUCGCUUAGUCCAUGUGACAAGCAAAGGAUGAAUACGAUUCAAGCCUUGAAGAGACCGUCAAUUUAGAGAAACCAUGAGAGAGACAAGGAGGAGAAGAAGGAACAUGGGAUNNNNNNNNNNNNNNNNNNNNNNNNNNNNNNNNNNNNNNNNNNNNNNNNNNNNNNNNNNNNNNNNNNNNNNNNNNNNNNNNNNNNNNNNNNNNNNNNNNNNUCUUAUUCAUUGAUGAUAUUUGAAAUCUAAGUUAGAUGAAUGUUAAGUUUUAAAAAGUAAUAAUCUAACUGAUGGAUAAGAAUUAAAAGACAAGAUAACUAGUGAGCAAUUUUGGCCUUGAAGUUUUAAUUUAUUCAAUGUGGUAAUUGAACUUUUAAUUUGUUCAAUAUAAUUCCUGAACUUUUAGUACAUAUUCAAUACAUUACUUGAAUUGUAUGAAAAUAUUCAAUAUAGUUAUUCCAUUAAUUUAAGACCAGGGGCUACAUUGAAUAUUAUUAUAUAAUUUAUGAAAUAUAUUGAACAUGUACCAAAAGUUUAUGGACUAUAUUGCACAUUGGGCUAAAGUUCAAGGGUUAUAUUAAACAUAUUAAAAGUUUAUAAACCAAAUUGUAUAUUGAGCCAAAGUUUAUGGACUAUUUGUAUCAUUUUUCCUAAAAGAAACCCAAAACAAUCUCUCACUAUUUUUCAAAGGAGGAAUUAUUAUAACACAAACAUUGACUUCCAAUACGAUGUAUGAACCAUAAGGAUAUGUGGUGAAGCAAAAUGUAGUAGUUGAUGGUUGAAUUGUCGAUUGAUUGUAAGAUAUUAUUGAUAGUGUACGAAAGAUACUUUACAAAUACACGUGAAAAGAGAAAAGAUGUUUUCUCAAUUGAAUUUUUUAGUAGGGUUUUGUUGUGAUAUGAAAAACAGUCGAAUCUUAAAAUUAAAGUAUGUGCAAAAUAAGAUUGGAUUAUUAAUUUAUAUAUUAAUAAUCCAAUUCAUCGAAUAUGAUUUCAUUUCCUCACCGCGCGGUGUAGACUGCUCUCGAAGCGUCUCUACUCUCUACUCAACCGGUGGGAAGCGGAAGCGGAAGCAAGCCAGGAAAUCGAAAUAUCCGCCGAGCAAAUUCGCCGAAUUCUCCCUCCCGACGAUUUCAUCGUGCGUCCCGAGCUUGACCCUCGAUUCCUUCUGUUCAGAUGGUGAGCAGCACCAGCUUCUCUGUGGCAUUUCAUCGAACGGCCAAGUUGCGGUCUUGGUGCAAGGCCAGAAAGUGGGGGAAGUUAACGUUUUGAUGCUGAUGGUAUCCUCCGGUUUGCAGGAGGCGGCGCCGGAGAAGCAAUCGCCGUCGCUCGACGAUUGCCUCAAGCUGUUGAGAGGCGAGAGAGACGAGCAGCGCCUGGCCGGCCUGCUCUUGGUGACCAAGUUCUGCAAAGGGGACGACCUCGCUUCGCUGCGCAGGGUUUACGACGCCGUCGGGGCGCAAUUCCUCGACCGCCUCCUCAGAACCGGUAAUUUUGGGUGACGCCUUGGUUGUUUUUCGGUUCUGUCGUUAGUGGGAGUCGCGCAGCCAUGACUUGGCUAAAAGAAUUACCUUUCCGAUUGGCUAUUUGACCUGCGAGAUGGCAUGUUCAAGUGAAUAUCAGCAUUCUGGGAAUGGUAGGCAGUGCUUCGAGGAACACGCGAGUUCCGAGCGACAUGAAUUAACUUGUGUCAGCAUAUAAGUCUAAUAACAUGUUACCGGCGAUAAUGACGUAGUAGAUUUAACUGUGCAGAAAAGAUUUUUCUACACUACGAUCCCUAUAUGAUGACAGAAGCGGUUUGAAUAUGUGAAGGUUGUUAAUUUUUAUUGUGACUUGCUUCUUUGGCAAGCAAUGAAGAGAUGCUAUAAGCUCUCAUGGUUUGUUAUAUGGCAAAGAGAAUCCUUUAUGAGUAGCAAGUCCCCAAGCUUGCUGACAGUGAUGAGAAAUGAAUACGUGACUCUUGCGCUUAAGUGAUUGUGUGGCUCUUUGGGGUGGGGAUUUGCUGAAAAAAAAUUGAAUGGACUAUCAGUUUGCAUUGGUGGAGCUCUUUCUCCCUAUUGAAGCAUCAGUAAGAGAGGAAUGGCAUGGUGAAAUUGAUAGUAACUGUAUAGGCAUCAGUUUCGGUAAUUUGAACCUCACCUAUUGCAAGGCAUUUCUGUUUCAGUUGGCUACAUGAAGCUCUUGUCUUUGAGUACCUCUGACAGUUCUGUUGAUGGAACCAUUGUGGCUGAUGGAGUUUCUAUAGUCUAAGUGCCGAAAGAUCUCCUUAAGCUUUCAGUUUAGUUAUAUGCCCCUUGAAUUAUAGCGUUGAAUGUGGUCCGGUCUUGUAAAAACCUCUUCAAUUGGAUUGUCAUGGCUGCUUCUGAGGAUAUUGAAG
RNAcentral lists this long non-coding RNA (96478 nucleotides) under Eucalyptus grandis. Its description in RNAcentral is "long non-coding RNA (EGRA_LNC001508)". The record is from RNAcentral. Lineage: Eukaryota; Viridiplantae; Streptophyta; Magnoliopsida; Myrtales; Myrtaceae.